Molecule: long non-coding RNA, 137814 nt
Filed under: Citrus x clementina
Lineage: Eukaryota; Viridiplantae; Streptophyta; Magnoliopsida; Sapindales; Rutaceae
Description: Citrus clementina (C. clementina) long non-coding RNA (CCLE_LNC004418)
Source: RNAcentral
UAUUAGCAUAAUACACACGAAGGGCCAUUGAUAUUGAUGUUCAUACAUCCGAAUCAAUUUUCGAGUCUACGUCAUGAUUCCUACGUCACGAAUUCUCCAAAUUAUGAUGUAUAUCUAUUCUUUCCCCUUUUGGUAAACAUAUCUCACUCUUAUUUAAGGCAAACCUCAUAGAGGCAAUCACAAAACAUGAAGAAAAUUGAUUUUGUUCCUAAUCCUCACUUUCUAAAAAGAAUUUUCGUUGAAGCUAUAUAUAUAUAUAUAUAUAUAUAUAUUGAAUCUUUUGAAAAAAAUUGCUUCCUGAGCAUAUGAUUUCUUGCUGGGUUUCUUCAAUUGCUCUUCUUGUUCAGUUGUUAAAACUUUCCAGUUUCCUCUCUGUAGUACAAAGAAUAUUUGCUCAUUGAAGUGCCACCUUCGUAGUGUUAAUUUCGGUGAUGGAGUCCGCUGCUCAAGUGAGGGAUAUCGAUGCUUUGUAUGAGCUAAUUCGACAUGAUCAAUAUUUUUUGGACAACUUCGACGAGAAACCUUUUGUCGAUACUCCUUUGCAUGCUGCUGCAAGGGAUGGAAAUGUUGAAUGGUCCAUGGAGAUUAUCAGACUAAAGCCAUCAUUUGCCAGGAAGCUAAACCAAGAUGGCUUCUCUCCGGUGCAUUUAGCUUUGCAAAAUGAUCAAACUCAGUUAGUGCUUCAGCUGAUAGAUAUUGAUCCGGACCUUGUUCGUGUCCAAGGAAGAGAAGGCAUCACUCCUUUGCAUUUCGUGUCUGAAAAAGGAGACAUCCAUCUGUUGAGGGAAUUUUUGUCUGCUUGUCCGAAAUCUCUUGAAGAUGUGACCAAUAAAGGCGAGACGGCUCUUCAUAUUGCUUUGAAAAACGAUAAGGUCGAAUCUUUUCAUCAAGCCUUAACAACAGUACGACCACCGUGGCUUGGCCCUGAAGAAGCUCAACAAUACAAUCAAAGAAUCCUCAACUUGAAGGAUAGGGAUGACAACACUUUGUUACACAUAGCAACAUCCAAAAGUCAAGUCCAGGCAAGCUCGAAUCCACACACACAUAUAUAGAAAUUUUUCAAUGAGGUGCAGGCACUUCAUUUUUUUUAAUGCAGACAUGCUAUUAAAUUAUGUGAUUUAAUAAAGUCAAUUUUUAAUUCAUUAUAAAGCCGUGUAUUUUAAUAGCAUGCCUGCAUAUAAGUUAGUAGAGUGUUCGUAUGAGAAAAAAAAAGAGAGUAUUCACAUUAGAGAAUGACUAUAUUUAUAUAUAUAAUAUCUAAUUAAUGACCUUAUCUUCAUUUUAACAAAGUAAAGAUAUCAUUAAUAAAUUUAAAAAAAAAGUAGUUUAACAAAGUAAGGAUAUCACUAAAAAAAAAAGCAGUUUUCAAUAUAUUAAAAUAUGUGUUUUUUUUUUUAAUUUUAUUUGCAUUCUUAUUUUAUUAAAAUUUCUCAUUAGGGAAGCACUAUAUGUAUCUGGUCACAAAUAAAUUUCAGUUGAAUGAUGUCUAAAUUGAUGAAUUUGUUUAUCCAAAGCAGAUUGUCAGGUGUUUAUUGAAUUGCAAAGUUGAUACAAAUGCCCGGAAUUCGGAAGGUUUGACACCUUUAGAUAUUUCAUCACUUGAUCAAACUAAAUCAGAAAACCAAGAGAUUGCGGCAAUGCUGCGGGAAGCUGGAGCACUAGAGGCAACUUCACUUCCUAUUACCGACAAGGAUAGACAUUUAUCGAGGUAACAGGAACACUGCUCUUUUACUAAAUUACAGUCCAUUUAUCGAUUAUCUAUUUAAAAACAAUAUGGCAUUUUCAUAUUAUGUACAUCUCAAAAAUUGUUUAAUGUCCUUCAGAAGUAACGAUCAGAGGCUGAACGAGGCUGCUAAAACAGGAAAUGUUGAUGCCUUGUAUGAAUUAAUAUGGGAGGACGCAUAUCUUUUAGAUCAGAUAGACCAAGUACCAUUCGUGGAUACUCCUUUACAUAUAGCAGCAUCAAUGGGGCAUGUCAACUUUGCCCUGGAGAUAAUGAGGUUAAAGCCAUCAUUUGCGAGAAAGCAAAACCAAUAUGGAUUUAGUCCUCUGCAUCUUGCUUUGCAGAAGCAAAACCAAUAUGUACUUGAUCACGAGCAUCUUAAGGAAAAGAAACAGACCCAAAUGGUGCGUCGGCUCAUAGAUGUGGACAGAAAUCUUGUUCGUGUCCAAGGAAGGGAGGGUGUAACGCCUCUACACUAUGUUGCUGAGAAAGGAAAUGUCGAUCUUCUAUGCAAACUUCUAGAGGCUUGCCCUGAGUCCAUCACAGAGGUGACAAUCCGUAAAGAGACUGCUUUGCAUGUUGCUGCAAAAAAUGACCAGUUGGAGGCCGUUGAGUGCAUGCUAGGAUGGCUUCGAUAUGUCGACAUGGAGGAUAUCCUUAACUGGACGGACGAUGAAGGCAACACUUUAUUGCAUAUCACAAUCUCCAAAAGUCAAAUAAAGGCACGAAAUUUUUUUAAAUUUUACUUCAGUUAGUCCCUAUAUUUUCAUGAUUAUUAAUUGCAUGCAUAUAUAAAUAUAUACUUGCAGUUGGUGAGGCUACUAGUUAAAAGAGCACGUGAUCAAAUAAAUGCCCGGAACUUAGAGAAUAAGACACCCAUGGACAUGGUAGAAGAACAUUUGAGAGGGAAACCUGAAUUUAAAGAAGUAACACGCAUGGUGCGCAAAGCUGGCGGUAGACAAGGGUCCUCCCUUCCUGAUGGGGAUAUUGCAGGUUACUUAAAACAAGGUUUGACAUGGCGUCGAAAGGUGCUUUUGUUCUUUUACCGCUCAUCACAGCGCAUUACGGAUGAAAAUCGAAGCGCACUACUUGUGGUUGCUGUAUUAAUCGCGACAGCCACAUUCCAAGCAGCGCUUACCCCGGCUGACGAUCUUCAGGGAAAUAAGCCAACUGGAACCGGCAACUCUGUUGCCAGUUUUGGAUCACAAUCAGCAUCGACAUCGACAUCGGCAUCAGCAUGGGCAUAUGUAACACCAUCAGGAAUAGCAAAUGCAACCGCCUUUUCUCGGAGCAAUGGAACCAGCAGCAGCAUCCCAAGAAGUGACAAGAUUCUAUUCGCUGCGGGGCAAUUAUAUGGCGAUGCCAUCAGUGAUAUGAUCUCCACACUUUACGCAUUUUCAAAUAUCACAGCAUUUUGUAUAUCUAUGCUGGUGAUUAAUUAUCACCUCCCGUAUGGCUCCGCAGCUACUCUGGUAUAUCCUCUAGUUAUUUGCUUUUGCCUGUUAGUGGUUGGCAGAACCCCGUUGUCGCUACUUGCCUCAUUCUUAAUGCUUAUCGUCUUUCGGAUUUUUUUAUUUGUACAACUGGACUUCUCCAAGAUUCGAUUUAGACGAAGCUUCUGGAUUACACAAGUUUUGGGCUCCGUUUUUAAACAUUACGGAAGCUUCCGCAAUAAGAUGAUGAAAGAAGCUGAAAAAUAGCUAUAAUGCCAAUAAGCUGCCAUGGGCAAAACACAUGUCCGUUGGUUUGUUGAUGUUCUCUGCUGGCUUGGCUAUAUCUACUUAGUGUGACACUUCCUCUCAAGUAAUAUUGCUGGUUUUUUUUUUUGUGUAAGAAGGCGUGCUUUUCUGUAUUGUAUUUUCUGAAUUAUGUUCGUUUGCUUUUGCUCCAUUUUGUAAGGUCUUGCAUGUUUCAAUGUAAAAUUGCUCUUGUUGUAUCUGAUAGUUGUAUUGUUCACCUUUGUGACUGUGAAUAUAAUGAUGUUAAUUUAGUUAAAACUAUAUGCUUGUUUGGCUGAUAAGAAAAUGAAGGAAAAUUUAUUGACUUAGAGAGGAAAAACAGAAAUUGAAUUCAUUAUGAUUGAUACAGUGAAAUGAGAUUACAAUACACUAUAUAUAUAUAUAUAUAGUAGCAUCUGGAACUUUCCAAGCGUAACAGAAUCACAUACACAGUCUCUGAUAUUCACCAUAACAUUUUGGUGGGAAAUAACAAACUAAUAACAAACUUUUAACAGCUUGCAUAACAAUCUUCCAGUAGCUUCCAGCAUCUUGUCCAGCGUGGCAUCUGAUUCAUUACUCUACUUAACAAUUUGCUGACAUCAAUUAGCUGAGUCAACAUAUUCUUAACAAAUUUGUAUGAACAUAUGAAAUAGCAAUAUCAUUGGGCUUUUGAUGCUCCCACAGACUACUUAAAAUUGUACCUAUAAAAGUCUGUUAGAAGAAAAGCUGAUUCAAAAUACUUACGGCAAUAUAUAAGUAUGCCUCCGGUAAUAGGGUGAAAGCCUACACAUGAAGAAAAACAAACAACAAACAGCAAACGCACAAACAUAGCAACAAAAGAAGACAAGACAAUGUCUGAUGAGAUUAAAAAGCUGACAAUUGAUGAACCCUUCAACACCCCUCCAAAAGGCUCAGCUGGGUCAUAAUAAAUGUCAACAUCCUCUGCCCUAAGUGACUCAUCAACCCUAAGUGACUCAUCAACCUAUGUAUCGGGUUUUUCAUUCAUCAGCAAAGAGUUUCAGCACUUGAUCUGAAAAAUAAAGACUGCUUUUGACACUCUAGAAAUUCAAUUUCAUUUUUCCAUGUUAUUGAUGAUCAAACUCAGAUUAGCAACUGAAAAUAUAAUAUAACAAUUUGACAUCAAAAGUAAGUCCACUGAAAAUCUUUGGAAAUAUAUUAAUUAAAAUUAUGUUGAUGAAAUUUUUUAAAAUUUUAUGGUUUUGGUUUACGAAUAGUGUUGGCGAAGGGCUUUAUUGUACAAGUACAGGUGCUGCUUCCUCUUCAUCUAUAUUAUUUUAUUGUUAAUUUAUUUUAGUACUUUGUUUCCUCAUUUGUUGAAAUCCACUGGGUGCUUUAAAGUUACCUGAUUGACACUAAAAUUAUCAUUUUUUUCCUUCAUCCUGUUCUCAAAUUCAGUCACGUUCCUUCGUCAUUUGUUCACGAAAUCCAAGUGCGGGCAACCAAAUGAGAAAGCCUGUAUUUUGACAAGCUCAAUCAAAAUUCUUCGGUUCCUUACGUGUUGAUUUCGACCUCUAUAAAUUAAAUUUAUUUAGCUUGAAGAGAGAAUUUGAUAAAAAUUUAAAUAAAGAAAUUGGGCAAUGAGAAUAUAUUUAUAAUUUUAUUAACAAUAUAUGGACAAAUUGGACAAUUAACAACUAUUUUUUUAUGUGCUAGAAGGGUAUAACGGUAAUUAUAUAUUAAAAUUAUAAUUUCUGUUAAAAGUAACGGUUUCCGUUGAUGAAUGAGGGUGUGAAUGUCUUUUUUGAAAUAUUGGAAGGACUUUUAUCCAUCUGUCUAAACGUUGUGAGUGUGUUAGUCUUUUUCCCUAUUUACAAGUACAAUUGUAAAUUUAUUUUCCCAUUCUUCUUCCCUUCUCUUCAAAAUUCAGCCCGAUUUUCUCCAUUUAAUCAUUCGCAUCUACAACAUUGCAAAUCUAGAAUUAGAAUUAAAAAUUCUUCUGAUUUUCCAAUACCAAUAAGUCAAUAAAUCAACUAUUAUAGUCAAAACCAAACCCUAAAACAAAAUAAUCAUUUUUUUUCCUUCAUCCUGUUCUCAAAAGGGGUUAUCUUUGUUGCUAGGCAUGUGGUGUUUUACGAAUCAAAAUUUCCUUUCUCUACUGAUCCUCAAUUCUCUAAGCAAUCUUCUACCUCUGUUUCCGAGUAUAGACAUCCUAUGUUUAAAACUUCUUUUGUGUUAGUUCUACUACAUGAUCCUUCAGGCUCAAGUGACAACAUUGUACAACAGCUUCAGCUCCAUGCAGUUCCAGCUUCCUCUUCUUCCUCUAGUUCUUCAUCAUCAUCACCUUUACCUCCAAAUCCAUAUUUCCCUGAUCCUUAUCACAAUAUGUCCCAUAAUUCCCAACACUCUUCUUCUUCUACAUCUAUUGUGCCUAUUCCACAGCCUUAUGUCCCUGCUCAUGUACCACUGCCAACUCAUCCAAUGGUUACAAGAGCAAAAGCAGGAAUAUUUAAGCCAAAGUUUCUUGCAUAUUCUUCUGUUCUUGAAGAACAUGAACCUGCUACAAUUUCUCAAGCUCUCUCCAAUCCUAAAUGGAAAGCAGCAAUGCAGGCUGAGUAUGAUGCACUCAUGAAAAAUGAAACUUGGGUUCUUGUUCCAGCCUCUCAAGCUACUAAAGUUGUUGGUUGUAAAUGGGUGUUUCGCAUUAAGUAUAAUGCAGAUGGCUCUAUCUCUGAGUACAAAGCUCGUUUGGUUGCAAAUGGGUUUCAUCAAACCCCUGGUAUUGAUUACUUUGAGACUUUUAGUCCAGUGGUUAAGCAAUCUACUAUGAGAAUUGUACUUAGUCUUGCUGUUAUGAAGAACUGGAAAAUAAGGCAGAUAGACAUCAACAAUGCUUUCCUUAAUGGGCAACUCAAUGAAGAUGUUUACAUGUUUCAACCUGAGGGAUUUGUCUAGCCUUCAUCUGGUCAUGUUUGUAAAUUGCUUAAGGCUCUUUAUGGUUUAAAACAGGCUCCUAGAGCCUGGUUUGAUCGGUUAAGGAAAGCAUUGUUGAAGUGGGGGUUUCAGAACUCAAGAACAGAUUCAUCUUUAUUCUUUAAACAUGAACUUGGAGGUAUUGUAGUUGUGUUGGUAUAUGUGGAUGAAAUUCUUAUUACUGUAGANNNNNNNNNNNNNNNNNNNNNNNNNNNNNNNNNNNNNNNNNNNNNNNNNNNNNNNNNNNNNNNNNNNNNNNNNNNNNNNNNNNNNNNNNNNNNNNNNNNNGUAUUACUGUUGAUCACAAUAUAAGUUGCUACGAGCUAAAUGUAAUUCAUAUAAUCAUAUCAAUAAAAUUUCUCUGAUUUAGUUACUUUCUUCUCUUCCGUCACUUUCUGCUAGCCAAACAAACUAUCAACUAAGAUCCGUGAGUUCUAACUUUUACAAAUGUAAUAAUUACCAUGAAUUUGCAAAAACUUGCAGCAAAUAUUUGUGUCCCAAUAGGUUGACAAUUGCAACACAUAUCGAAAAACUGUAAUAGUACCCUUGAUUAUAAUUACUUGACCAUAGUCAGUGGCGAACUAUGUAUACGCCUGGCAGCCGAGGUGUCAGGAAUUUAAUUUAAUAGGGGUGCCUAAGUUCAAACACUAACAUAAUUAAAAAAAUGGUCAAUAAAUAACAAAUAUUAAAAUAUUUAGGGCUAGUUUGGCAAUCUUAUAACUUUUAAAAUAAUUGUUGUUACUUGCGCUAUAAAAAUAAUAAGUUGUGAAUGGAAUUAGUUAAACGUUUGACAAAAUUUCUUCUUAAAAGUGCUUUUGUAAAUCUCAUUGUUGAACUAUUAUAAGAGUUUAAAUGAUUAAAAUGGACAUAAUAUUAAAUAAAAUAUAUUAUAUAGAUAUAAAUACAUACAUAUAAUAUUUUUUAUUAUGUAUAUUAGUAACUGAUAACUAAAAUAAUUAUCUUUGUUUUAUUAAUUAUUUUUUAUCUCAAUAUAAUUAGUAAUAAUAAUAAUCUCUAGAUUUAAUAAUUUUAUUUCCUAAUUGAAUAAGGAUAAUUUUAGAUUUUUAUAAUAUAUGUAAGGAUAUAUAUGGAAUUUUAUUAAUUAGAAAACUUAUCCUGAAAAUUAGAUUUUGAAAGCCUACUUCUUUUUUGCUUUCCAAAAUAUACUGUAUAUAAGAUAGAGUGAUUUUACCGAAAGUGAUUAAAAAAAAAUCUACCAAACAGUAAAAUUAAAGUUUAGCUUUUAAAAUCACUUUUAAGUCUCUCAAAAGCAAUCCCAAAUAGGCCAUUAAUUCAAUACAAUUAUAAUUGUUCUCAUGUAUUUUCAUAUGUUAAAAAUAUUGAAGAAUAACCUCAUUAUCAUUACUACAAACAUAUUUUUUUCUACGUAUACAAUAAAACUAUCAUUCAACAAUUGGUUUCCCAUAUGAUUUUGUGGAAGAUUUUUCAGAAAAUUCAUAGCUGAAAAUACCCUUUCUAAUUUAGUUGUGUUGCCUGAUAAAAUCAUUGCUAAUGUUACCAACAUAUAAAUUAAUGAAUACAACUAUCCAUUAUCUCAACCAUUUUUCUUGCUAACUCACCAGUCUCUUUUAAUCUUAAAAAUGUUGUCAAAACCCACAUUCAUAAUAUAAUCAUCAAGUUGAAUUUCAAGUGCCAUAAUGCAACAAUCUUUCUUUAUGGGUUCAAAGUGUUAAAAAGAAUAUUUAAUAUUUUACUUGUUUUUAAAUUUUAACAAGGGCAUUAUGGUAAAUCAAAUAAAAUAGGACAAAUAUUAAAAAAAUUAAAAAAUUGAAAAAGGGUUUCAGCCCCUGCUAAAAUGGCACCGCAUCUAAAGCCUAGGGUGCCUUGAGGCAACAUACCAAUAAUAAUAAUAAAGAAAGAAAUCAAGAAAAAAGAGACAUAAUAAUAAGUAGUAACAUUAGCAAUGUUAAUUGUAUUUUAUGUUUUGACCCCUAUAAUUUUACAAGUUGAUUUUAUGUCACCGCCUACUCAAAUUUAUGGUUUUGGUCAUUGUGUUUGGCCCUCUCAAUUUUAGUGAUUCUAUACUGUAUGAAAUGUAAGUUAUGCAACCCAAGAGGGGGGUGAAUUGAGAUUUUAAAACUUACGCUAAACAAUUCGCACAACAAUUUAAUGUAUUGCCUUAAUCAAAUGUAAAAACAAUAAAUUCAAUAAAACACAAUGCUAAAAGAGUAAGUACAAUAAUAAAAGAGUAAGAGAAAAGAAAGCAAACACAACAAUUUUUACGUGGUUCGGCAAUCCUCGCUUACGUCCACGCCUCCAAGCCAACCAAACUCGAGAAUUUCACUAUCAAAGCCUCCCAAAUCUUGAAGUUCUUACAAUUAAUUUCCAAUGUGUCAAUGAACCUUUACAAUCAAGAGAUUAUCUCUCCAAUCUAUUCACCUCAAUUAUUUCUCACACUUGUACACUUACAAUUUGAUGAGAAAUGAACAAUUACAACAAAAACUCUCUUUAAGAGUGGAUUUGUAAAUAAUAGCAUAAUAAUAAUUCAAUAAAUGAUGAUUUACGAAAUGGAACCUCAAUAUGUGUUAUAUGAUCUUAUUUAUGCUUGCAUUAGUCUUGAAAAUGAAGAUGGAGUUAAGGUUUUAUAGCUAAAGCCCGAAAACUAACCGUUAUAGGCAAAUUCCAGCGCUCAAGCGGUUAGCCGCUUGAUUUAUCCAGCUAGCCGCUCCAGAACAAUGAUGUUACCAUUAAAUUUGAAUUUUCCUAUAGUAUCAUUGUUCAUUAAAUUACAUUUGUGACCAAAACUUUCUAUAAUUAUAUUAUAGCCCAACAUGUCAUAAAACUUUGCAAAUAAGUCUAAUUUCAGAAUUUCUAAAUAAUACCUGUCAUUCCUAAAUCUUAUUGUAAUUAUGAUAUGACCUAGUAUAUAAUAACAUUGUUCAAAAAGGUCCUUUUCAAAAUUUAAAAUAAUACCCAUAAAUUUUAAAGUUCUCAAAUCUUUUUAAUUUAGUCCAAAAUUUGAAAAUAUGAGACUUUCCUCAAGCGGUUAGCCGCUCACUCUCUGUCCAAUUUUUUAUUUCAAUUGUUUGGAUUACGUUUUGGUCCUCAAACUUUCUUAAAUUGUAAUAUGACCUAAAAUAUUUCAAAUAUUUGCAAAUAAAUCUAAAUUCGAAAUUCAAAACAAUACUUAAUAAAAUAAAAGAUUGCAAAACUUUUUCAUUUUAGUCCAAAUUACUCAAAUCCACAAAAUACUUUAUCUUAUAAAUAUAAAACCUUUUAGUUUAUGAAAGGUAAUUANNNNNNNNNNNNNNNNNNNNNNNNNNNNNNNNNNNNNNNNNNNNNNNNNNNNNNNNNNNNNNNNNNNNNNNNNNNNNNNNNNNNNNNNNNNNNNNNNNNNNNNNNNNNNNNNNNNNNNNNNNNNNNNNNNNNNNNNNNNNNNNNNNNNNNNNNNNNNNNNNNNNNNNNNNNNNNNNNNNNNNNNNNNNNNNNNNNNNNNNNNNNNNNNNNNNNNNNNNNNNNNNNNNNNNNNNNNNNNNNNNNNNNNNNNNNNNNNNNNNNNNNNNNNNNNNNNNNNNNNNNNNNNNNNNNNNNNNNNNNNNNNNNNNNNNNNNNNNNNNNNNNNNNNNNNNNNNNNNNNNNNNNNNNNNNNNNNNNNNNNNNNNNNNNNNNNNNNNNNNNNNNNNNNNNNNNNNNNNNNNNNNNNNNNNNNNNNNNNNNNNNNNNNNNNNNNNNNNNNNNNNNNNNNNNNNNNNNNNNNNNNNNNNNNNNNNNNNNNNNNNNNNNNNNNNNNNNNNNNNNNNNNNNNNNNNNNNNNNNNNNNNNNNNNNNNNNNNNNNNNNNNNNNNNNNNNNNNNNNNNNNNNNNNNNNNNNNNNNNNNNNNNNNNNNNNNNNNNNNNNNNNNNNNNNNNNNNNNNNNNNNNNNNNNNNNNNNNNNNNNNNNNNNNNNNNNNNNNNNNNNNNNNNNNNNNNNNNNNNNNNNNNNNNNNNNNNNNNNNNNNNNNNNNNNNNNNNNNNNNNNNNNNNNNNNNNNNNNNNNNNNNNNNNNNNNNNNNNNNNNNNNNNNNNNNNNNNNNNNNNNNNNNNNNNNNNNNNNNNNNNNNNNNNNNNNNNNNNNNNNNNNNNNNNNNNNNNNNNNNNNNNNNNNNNNNNNNNNNNNNNNNNNNNNNNNNNNNNNNNNNNNNNNNNNNNNNNNNNNNNNNNNNNNNNNNNNNNNNNNNNNNNNNNNNNNNNNNNNNNNNNNNNNNNNNNNNNNNNNNNNNNNNNNNNNNNNNNNNNNNNNNNNNNNNNNNNNNNNNNNNNNNNNNNNAAUAUAAAACCUUUUAGUUUAUGAAAGGUAAUUAUUUAAAUAAACUCUUGAGUUUCUCAAAUGCUAAAUCAUGUAUCAAUUAAAUCAUACCGACUUUACAAGAAUUUGUCACAAUAAUUUGUUCGUUGAGCUCUAAACUUUAUUCUUGAUUUUGCCGUUGUCCGUUGAGUGUCUUGAACUUGAUUCACUUGCAUAAAUAUUAUCCUUAAAAAACUAGUAAAAAUGUGAAAUACAAUAUUUAUUAAAUCACUUAAGACAUGUUUGUUAUCAUCAAAAUUACAUUAUGGGUAGCCCUUUAGGCUAACACUGUAGCCUACUCAAGUAUAUAGUUUCUUCAUUAGGCCCCAAAACCAAAAUCCUAAAAGUAUCUCCAAAAAGUUCUAUUAAUUUUACUCUUCAAAUAUUUAUUUGCUUACCUAUGUGGUAAAAAGGAGAGUGAAAAAAUAUGUUAUUCUCCAAAAGACUCUUUAAAUAGAAAUAAGUUAAUAUUAUUUUAAUCAAAUAAAUAUUUUUUCAAAGGAAAAAUAAAUGGUAAUUAAAGCAUUUCUCUCUCUCUUUCUACCCAAUAAAAAGUAAUAAAAUAUAAAUUGAAGAGAGAGAAAGUAACUCUACAAAUUAAAGAGAGAGAAUUAUUUCUUAUUUGAAAAAUCUUAAUUAGAGUAUCUUUUGAAGUCUUAAAUACUGAUGUAACUCUUCAAAUAAGUAAUAAAAUCUUAUUUGAAGAUUUUUUUGGAGAUGCUCUAACUUCACCACUAGAUUUACUUGAGUAUUCAACAAUACUCGACUUACUCGAGCGUAGGUGAUUUAGUUAUACUUAAUUGACUACUAAAACAAUUUAUUCGACUUACUCGACGAUACUUUACUUAGCUCACUCCAUGUACUAAUAUUUUACUAUUUUUCUAAGUGGUACAUUUAAUUACAAAAAUCCAUGAAAAUUUGAUAAUGAUGAAAUGCUUAAUAAAUAAGGGUAUUUGGUCGAAUUAUAACAAUGUUUGUUAAACACUGGUCUAAUAAUAAGUAGUCAUUUUCUGAUGAAAUAAAAUUAAAGCUGACAAAAUUUAACAUUACUGGUUUACUCUAUACAAAUACAACAUGAAUAAAUAUGUAUCUAUCAUGAAAAUUGACAUGAUUAUUAAAUGAAUUUGGUCUAAGUCAACCCAAUUGUUUCCCGUGUCAGGCUAGAAUUCAAUUUUUCAAUGCAUUUACUUGGUCAAUGACGUGAUUGUUAAAUAGUUAACCAAAACUAAUUCAUAUUUGCAUUAAAAUAUACUUAUAUUUUCAAUUCUAAAUUAAUUUAUAGAAUCUUAUCAUUAAAACUCAAAAUUUGGUCAUGAUUCUAGAUGAACAUAUAUUUGAUGUUCUAUUUUGUAAAAUUCUUGAUAGAUUUAAAACUUCAAUGGUUCAUACAUGUUGUAUUUGCAUCAAAUGAGUGUGUAGUAUUUGAUGUAAAUCGUGUUAGAAUUUAAAUAGGUAUUCAGUGAAUUUUUAGGUUAUAUCAUGUUAGAUGACACAACUACCUAGUUAUUAAAAGAGCGUAUCAAGUCACUAUUUUAUUUUUCGUAUCGAGUUCAAAUUUUAAUAUUUUAACAUUUUAUUUUUCGUAUCAAGUUCAAGUUUUAAUAUUUUAACACGAUUAUUAAAUAAGUCGUGUUUUAACCAACAUAAAUUUAAAACAACACAAAAUUGACACAAUAUGACUGGCUUAAUGACCUAUUUUGUUAGUUUUAUUUAAAACCAUCUAAUCUAUUAAAAAAAAAAAAAAAGGGUCCAUGGGCCUAGCCCAAAUAUAAAUUCAACAAAACCAGCUCCCGCUCAAUCACACUCUCUCGGUCGUUCCCUUCACUCUCCAAAACCCCCCAUUCCAAACAAAACCCUCAUUUUUCCCUCUUAACGAAGUCACUUUCUCGAGAACCAAACAUUCCCUUAGAUCUCCAAUUUCAUAAUGAGAGAAGAAGAAAUAGAGAAACUUCGAGGAUUGGUUCGCGACUGUGUGAGUAAGCAUUUGUACUCGUCGGCCAUUUUCUUCGCCGAUAAAAUCGCCGCUUUGACCAAUGACCCUACUGGCCUGUACAUGCAGGCUCAGGCUCUGUUCCUUGGCCGCCACUACCGCCGUCCAUUUCACCUCCUUAACGCCUCAAAAAUUGUGCUCCGUGACCUCCGAUUUCGUUACUUGGCUGGUAAGUGUCAGGUAAAGUUCUGUUUUUUGAUUGCAUUAGAAAAUUUGAAUUUCAGAUUUUGGGAUUUGUGCUUUUUGCGUUUUUAGUUUUUUUUUUUAUGUUAUGAAAAAGGGAAAUUUUGAAAAUUUUAACUUGAAAUUCGUGUUCUUUUUAUUUUAGAACAAAAGAAUUUCAAUGAAAAAUAUUUGGAAAUUGAAUUGCUCUAGCAAAUUUGCAUGUGUUGUGUGUUUUAAGAAAAUGAAAACUAGAUUUUGAGCAAUUAAGGAGAGAUUAUGGACUUUGAGCUGAAUGGUUUUGAUCAAGUUUUUCUUGAAUGUUUAUUUGUUUAUACAACUGGGUAGUUUUUCUUUUACUUAUUUAUUUCUGGUCUGUCCUUUGUAUAAUUAGGAGGAACUGAAGGAGUGGGACUAGUGUUUGUCGAUGCUCGGUGAUGCUAAGGUUGAUGAAGAUGGUAAUGUUUAUGACACAAAGGAUAUCAAUGUCAUGUACUUAGAUAAAGAUGGGGAAGACGGAGAAAUCAAUGUAAGUUUUUGUUUGUAAUCUCAUUUUAUCUGGCCUUUUAUUUUUUAAUUUGUUGCACAUUUGUUGUAUACUUGACCCAAUAUUUCUUUUUUCUAUUACAGAUCUCUUCAGCUAUAUGCUUUUUGAGAGGCAAAGCAUAUGAAGCCUUGGGAAAUUGUGCCCAAGCUCGGCUGUGGUUAGUUUCUUGCGAUGAAUUUACAUGAAAAUCACUCUGCUUAAUUGUAAAAUGCUUUAUGGUUAUUUUCCCUUAGUUUUUCAGUCAAAAUGAUACCAACUUAUACUGUCUAACGGUCUUCUGUUAUAGUAACUUAGGUGUAGUAAUUUAACGUACUGUUAAAGAAAGGAAAUGACUUUAUUGUUUUAAUGGGAGAAUUUUGAACAUUGUUAUAAACUUGUUUAAGUUGGGCAUAAGUAAAUUUAUCUUCAAUUUCAUUACUGAGCAGAUUUUGUUUGAAUGCAUGAAUGUUUGAUAUAUGUGUUUAAUAACCAAGGAGUUUGUUUAGAUACUACUUUAAGAAUUAUCUAUAUAUAGAUUGGGUAGUCUAGAAAACUCUCCUUGAUUAAAUCAAUGUAUAAUUUUGAUAAGACAGUUUAAAAUGUUAACAUCCCAUGUCUUCUGGAGUCCAUUUGGUGACAGAGGAAUGGUAGUAUAUGCUGGGAUGGUUUAGUUCAAUAAGGCUAUUAGUUCUGUUCUGCUUUUUCAAAGAGGUUGAUUGCCAAAUUAACAGCCACAUGAAGGAGAUUGUCUUUUUUUUUUUUUUUGUAUCCUGAAUUGUUUUUGCUUCCAACCACAAUUCUGGUCUUCUAUUGGUUCACACUUCCUACUUGUAUCUCGAUGAUUUUAGCUGCAAUACCUCAUUACUAAAUUCAGCUCUAACAACAGAGGAACUUAUUUGCUUCCUCUUUAUCUUGUUCCAUUACUAACUUUCAUGUGCAGCAUUUUUAGAAGGUUAAAACUAAUAGUACAGAAAGGUGGUUUUAAAUCAAAUGUAACAAGAUUCAAUUGACAGAUCAGCUAUGCUUCACUCCAUGUGGUUACCUACACACCUGGAUAUUUGUUUUAGAGUUUUAUGCUGUCUGAAUUAGUGGCCUCAUUUUGUUAUCUGAUUGAAAGCUUGCAUGUAUUUCAGUAAGUUAGGUUCUUCCCUCAACUCUUUUUCUUUAGUAACUAUUAUGGUAUUGUUUUAUAACCUUAAUUAGCUUCUCUUUGGUUUUUCAUUUGUCAUUAUAUCUGCUCUAUUCUGUUCAAUUCCUUUUUCUCUAUUCUCUCAGUUAUGUUGAACUAAAACGCUAUAGUUCAUACAAAGGCUUACUAUAUUUUUUCAUAAUGAUUUAAGGUACAAAGCAGCAAUCAUAGCUGAUCCUUUGUGCUGUGAGGUAUGCAUGACACGCUAUCAAUGUUUUUUUUUUCCUUUCCCCCUAGGGAUAAGCUGGUGGGGGGAGCGUCCCGUUCUCAAAAACUCCUUACCUUGAAUUUUGUGGCUGCAUAAAUUUCAGACAUGACUUUCUAUGCAAAAUAUUACAACCUGUGGAAACUGUUGCCUUCUCAAGGAUUAGAAAAUUACUCAAAAGAGGGCUAGAUUUUUUGAGCUAGGCUUGUCCCUUUUUUUUUUUUGUAAAUAGAAUUUUAAUCCUUUUCUUUAAUUUGACCUCUGCUGAUCACAUAGAUGUCUCAUUUGGAUGUUCCUUAUAAGAUAUAUCGAUUCUCAUUCUUUAUGAUUUUUUUUAUGGCUGUACCUUGAUUUCUUUUUCAGGCUUUGGAAUGCCUUAUAGAAAAUCACAUGCUAACAUGCGAGCAAGGUAAUGAUGUAGUUUUUUCCUAGUCAUCUGUUUCUUUCAUCUGAGAGAAGUGGAUUAUGAAAAUGUUUACAUUUUGAAUUAUAGUUCUUACAUAAGUGUGCACGCGCACACACACACACACACACAUAAAUGAAAUUAUAGUCACACACAAACAUGUUGAUAUAAAUUUAAUUUUGGUAAAAAUUUCUUUGGCUGUGUUCAACUAGCAUUGGAUUUUUCAUGGAACAUGUUAUAAUAGGCUAAUACUUUAAAUUAUUGGAUUUGCUGUUGAAUUUCAGAAACAAGUUUACUUUCAUCAUUGGAAUUUGGUUUUGAAGAUGGAUGGCUUUGUUCAUUCUACUCAUGUUUGAUAAAAAAGGUGAACUGUGUGCAAAUUUAUAUGCUCUUCCAAAUGUAACCAUUUCAAUAAUAAGUUUCCCAUAUGUUUUCGUGAUGUUGAUUCUUUUUGCUGUGUUUGAGUGCAGUGAACAAUUUCUUUCCUUCUUUCCUGUCUCCCUUUGUUUUAUGCAGUAUGACAAAGAGAAUGUUGUAGAAGCCAAAUUCAGAGAAAUUGAAAAAGAAAGAUGUGACAGUGUCCAUUCGAGCCCAUCCUUCUCACACAGUCUGAAAAACAAUACUGAUCUUUUAGAGGGCUUAUUAUUCUGUCAACCAGCGAUACUAGAUUUCAGAAAUCUUCUCUUCACACAGUGUUCUUGGCUCUGUAAUUGUCAAAAAGUUGAAAAGCCUUUUUUCUGUCUGAUGCAUUAUAUAUAUGCAGUUUAAUAUUUGUGGACUUCAAUAAUAUUGAUUACCUUGAUUAUAAUAUUUUCAAUUGUAUGGUUUUUGGGUUUCUUCUUGGUAGGGAAGAUUUUUGUCUUUAUCUUUUUUUGGCUUGAUUCUUCUUUAUUAUUAUUAUUGUUACUAUUUCCCUUUCACAAGGAAAAAAUUGGAACUUGCUCCACCUCGCAAAAGUUUUAGAGCGCAUUUAAUUCUCGAAUUGGAGAAUUGGAAUGGAGAAUGGGAAUGAUUGAUUGUGGUUACUUGCUAAAAACAUGAAGAAAUGAGGAUUGAUUUUGCGUGGAGCCCACAAGUUUGGAAAUGAGGUACUGGAAUCCCAUUGCCAUAAAAGAGGUGGGAAUGAAAAUGGGAAAAUUAACACUUUUAUUCUUAAAGAAAAUUAAAUAUUUUUUUUACCUUAUAUAAAUAAAUAAUUAAUAAUAAUAGUAGUAGUAGUAAUAGUUAUAAUAAUAAUAAUAAAAAUUUAAUGAUAACAUUAGUAGUAGUAAUAAUAAUAAUAAUAAUAAUAAUAAAUAUUUCUUUUUUACCUUAUGUAACUAAAUAACUAAUAAUAAUAGUAAUAGUAGUAAUAAUAAUAAUAACAAAAUUUAAUGAUAACAAUAGUAGUAGUAUUAAUAAUAAUAAUAAUAAUAAUAAUAAUAAUAAUAAUAAUGAAAAUUAUAGUAUUACGCUCAAUAUUAUAAUAAACAUGUAUAUAUUUAUUUAUUUUGUUAGUGAAAUAUAUAUAAUUUUAACUAAGGGCAUCAUGAUAACUUUCAAUAAUCUAUUCUGACUACGAAAUAAAAUAAAUGCAUAAAUGAAAUUCAGCUCAUUCGAUAGUAAACAAUUUAUUAUGGUUCUCAUUUCUUAUUCUGGUUCCAAAUUCUAUCCCAUUUCAACUCCUGCUCAUUUUGAUUCAUGGGAAGUAAACGCACUGUUAAUUUGUCGCUGUUGUUAAAUAUAUCCUUUGUGGAUUUCAUAUGAGGUUUGAAAUGUUAUUUAGUGAAAUUUAAUUUCUUGUUGGCUCUAUUCACCACAGCAAGGCUACAAAUCUUGAUGGGACAUUCGCCCCCGCUUGGAUAGGUUAUGGAAAUGCUUUUGCUGCUCAAGAAGAGGGUGACCAAGCAAUGUUGGGUUAUCGCACUGCUGCUUGUUUGUUUCCAGGGUAAUUUUUAGCAUUAUUUAUUCAUUUUUGUACCUUCCUGAUUUUCUUUUCCUUGGAUCAGCAUAUUCAUGCAAUGAGGACAAGGACAAAGCCACUAACUUGCUUUUGAGCAAGUUUCAGAACACUUUUAGAAUUUCAUUUUUGGCUUUUUUUUUACUUUCUUGGUCUCUGAAAGAUAUCUUAAGGGUAGGGUUUGGUUGAUUUUGCUCAUCUUGAUAUUAUUCAAUUCUUGUUCAAUUAGAAGAACAGUGUGCUUUGGGUGUAUAAUCAUGUGGGUAAAAAUUUUUUUUGGUCCCUCAAGUUUCUAUUAGGUUUCAUGUAAUCCAUGAAAUUUCUGUUGCUUCAGCUUAAUCUGUUUCAAGUGCGCUACCACUAAAAAAAUUGGGUUUCAUGGGUUAUCAACCAAGAUUUUUUUUUCUCCUUUGAUUUAAUAUUAAUAAACUGUUUUACCAAUAUAAACUUUUGAUGAAUGCUUCGCAUUUGAUUUCCAUAUUUCUUCCUGAGAAAUGUUGUAAGUUGAUUAAACAUAGUCUUAAAUCAACCCAAGGCAUUGUUGUAAUGUCUUUCUAUUGUGAUAAUAAACCACACUGUCAUAGUAGUUUUAUGGUCGUAAAGAUCAAUGAAUUUCAUUGUUUAUUGUUUAGUGAUGGUAUGCAUUGUGUUGUGGGAGUACUCUUAUCACUAUGAAUUGUCUUUUUACAGGUUGAAUCUUGAUGUUCUCUUAUUCCAGGUGCCAUUUACCAACUUUGUAUAUUGGAAUGGAGUACAUGCGAACUCACAGCUUUAAGCUUGCCGAACAGGUGUAUUACCUUCUUCUAAAUAUAGGCUGCCUUUCAUUUUUCUCUUUAGAUUUCAAUGAGAACUCCUAAGAGGUUGUUUGUUUGCAAUAUGAAGUCUGAUUGUUGGAUAUUCAGAUGUUGGUCUAUACGAUUUGCUAGUUGAUGUUGUCUUGGGGGUUUCAUUUUCCUCUUUGGAUUUAAUGUGAAUACGACUUCUUUCCUCUUUGUUUAAUUGUGACAACUUCUAACAGAUGCUAAUCACAAUCUUUAUUCAUGAUUCUGAGACCUGUGUAAUUAGAAUUUUGGUCAUAUCGUCCAUUUUCCUUUGUUGUCAAAAUAAUGUCUUCUUUAUCCAAAUCUCUUAGUCAUAAUUCUUUGAAUAUAUUGUUGAAUUUCUGAUUAGCUGCCCUUUCUCCAGUUUUUCAUGCAGGCAAAGACCAUAUGCCCAUCAGAUCCACUUGUAUAUAAUGAACUUGGUGUUGUUGCUUACCACAUGAAGGAUGUUUGGUUCACUUGAGUUGCUGUUUUCUGUUGAUCCGUUUACCUUAUUAGUGUUUCAUUUUUAAUAAUAUUAUUACUUAAGUAUAUGAAAUUCUAGUUGAUUUAAACUUAGGUCUUGUUUGGUGUUGAGGUGUUAUAGCUUUUAAGCUACAGGUGUUGUGGAAAAAAGCUGCAACUAUUAAAUAAAAGUUAAUAGCUUGUAGUAAAUAUAAUUUUUAAAUAAUAAUUUUGACAAAAUUAGUAAAGAUAUAAUAAAGUUUUCAUCAUACAAGUGUAAAAUCAAAUCAAGUUAACUUUCAAGCUACAACAGCUGGUGUUUACCAAAUACUUUAGUGCUUUAGUUUUUAAGCUAUAGUUGUCCAAUUCAAUCCCAAACGGUGCCCUUCAGGAAUUGUGCUCUUUUUAUUGUUAUAUGUUAUGGCUUUUGUAUGAGUUCCCAAUCACCAGUUUGACCAGCAAUUAUUUGAAAUGUGUGGUGGUUUGAAAAGACCUUAGCGCACAUUCCGUCCUCUUUAAGUGAAAUGUGGGAACCAACCGUGGUGAAUCUUGCACAUGCUUACAGAAAGUUAAAGUAUGUUUAAAUUUAUUGGAAUAGGCUGUGUCACUUGCAUUUUCUUGUUCUAUUGCCUACUCAAGAUAUUUAUCCUUUAUUUUAUUGUGUUUUUGUUGAAUUUUACAUGAAAUAUCAUUCAGAUAUCUAGAUUUGUUUUUUUUUUUUUGGCUAAAUUUUCAAGUAGAGGAUCAUCUUUAUCUUGAUAAAUGCAUUUUAUUUUAGGGAUUCCAGCAUAGGGUAAUAAUGUAAGAUUUUUCAGUUUGCAUCGUCUGAGAUUGUGAGCAGCAUGAAGAUAUAAGAAAGAAGUAUAACCUUCCUUAUACCGUCAUGGCUGCUUAUGAUCAGCUUUGCCCAAUAAGCUUGAGAGACUACUAGGAGCCGUAGAAGUUGUCUGUAGCACUUCCUAAAAGGACUUGAUGCAAAUAGUUUAAAUAAGGAUAUGCCGGAUUAUGGAUUGGUCUACUCUCUACUGGCUACUUCAUAUGCUACCCGUUUAUAUAUUUUUCUCUUUAUGGAAGAGUACUUUUUUUUUCAUGUUUUUGUUUUUUUCCUUCUUAGUAGGCGGUGGAUUUAGGUUUAUUUCUAGUAUUGCUAAUCUAUAAACAUACAUUUGACUUAUUGUUUAUUGAACCUGAUUCUAGAAUCUAUCAUGUUUCAGGAUAUAUCAUGAGGCAAUAUCCAGUUACGAGCGAGCGCUGACGUUGUCGAAUAGAAGUUUGAGCACAAUAGAAGUUUGAGCACCUAUGCAGGUCUUGCUUACACUUACCAUUUGCAGGUAUGGUGGAUUUAUUAUUAAUUCAUUUUUCAAUGAAAACUUGUGUGCCUAUGAAUAUUCUGCUGAUGUGAGGAGUAGUUAGCAAAUUGAUCUAAGUAGUAUUUGUUAGCAAAUACUAGUUUAUUGGAUGCAUCUAAUAUUUGCAGCUUAGGGUUUAAAAAACUAUUGUCAGAUCUUCACCGUUGCGUUAAAAAAACUGCUAGAGUCUAUGGUGGCGAAUUUGUUUCUUUUGGGUCUCUUGUGCAGGAUAACUUCUCUGCGGCCAUUACAUAUUAUCACAAGGUAAACUCAAAAGUGCUCUUGCUGUUUCCUUUAUGUGCAAUAAGCUUACUGUCUAUCGUAGUCAUCCACUGUUGAAGAGACAACUCUAAUCUCGCUACAUUAUAUGGAUCAUUGAUUUGCUUUUUCAUUCUAAUCUGCAAAUCAGGCAUUGUGGCCGAAGCCAGAUGAUCAGUUUUGUACCGAAAUGUUAAGUUUGGCUCUUGUUGAUGAAGAUCGCCAUGGCAUUGACCCCAAAAUCGAAUUUGAGUGUAAUUUGUUAUUCAUACCUAUAACAGUUUAAUUAUUUUGGUAUUGGUGAAGGGCUUUUAUUGUAUAAGCUCAGGGGCGUCAUCUUCAUCUAUAUUCUACCUUUUACAUUAUUAAUUUAUUUCCUCAUUUGUUGAAAUCUACUUGGCUUAGAAGUGAUUUAAAUUGCUUUCUUUCAUGGAACCAUUUUCUUCACAGUUUUUAUUAUUUACCACCAAACAGUUAAGUCUAGGGAAAUUUACAAAAAGAGCCAAAAAAAUUAAGCAUUUUUCAACUUUAACCCCCCCCCCCCCAAAUUUUUUCUAUCAACAUUAGUCAAAUCACCAAAUUGUGGACGAAAUUACCCUCAGCAUUCUCACGUUUCCCUCAAGCAAAUUCCUCCCCCUCUCACCAAAAUCUCAUCACCGGAAUCCUGUAUACAUCGUCGGCGGCAUAGAUCGGCAGUGGAGGAAGUUGUCGGCGGCUGAAACAAGCUAAAUCACGUUGAAAAUCUUCGGAGAUCUCCAAAAUCAAAGACAAAAAUUGGAAACCUUAGGUGAGUUGUUAUUGUCGUUGUUGUUGUUGUUGUUGUUGUUGUUGUUGAUGUUGUUGUUGUUGUUGUUGUUGUUUGGGCUGUUGUUGUUCUUGUUGUUGUUUGGGUUGUUGUUGUUGUUGUUAUUUGGGUUGUUGUUGUUGUUGUUGGUGUUUAAUGGCGGUGGUGGGUGAGAUGCAUGUGGGAAAGGGAAGGGAAGAGAAAGGGAAGGGAAAGGGAAGUGAAGGGGAGCGCGAGGCCGCGGCUGUUGCACGCGAGAUGCUCAUCUCGCGCGCGCGAGGCCGCGCCUAACGCACGCGAGAUGCGCAUCCCCCUCACGCGAGGCCGCGCCUGUCGCAAGCGAGAUGCGCACGAUACGCUCAUCCCGCGUGCACGGAUGGGCAUGCCACGCACAUUCCGGAUGAGCGUGCUGCGCGCAUUCCAGAUGAGCGUGCCGCGCGCAUCUCGCGGGCGACAGGCGCAGCCUCGCCCACGAGAUGCGCAUGUCGCGCGCGAGACGCGUGCCAGCCUGCGCGCUUGGCGCAGCUCUUGGUGCCUGUCGCACCCCCGUCGCACCAAGAGACAGCUCGUUGUUUGGUGUUGCCUUUUUUUUUUUUUGCUUUUGUUCAUAAUUUAUUAACAUAUAAUACUUUUAACUUGUACUAGAUAAAUGGGCAAAUCAAAAAUAGCAUUGCAUAACCCACCCGGACCGACGAAAGAACGAGGAAUGAUGAAGAUACCUUAUGCUGAUCACUUUCCCGGGCGUAUCACGAGUAUGUGCAAAUUAGAUGUCGUUGUUAAUGUCAUCUGGGAAAAAUUAACAAAGCAACAGUUGCAACUAUUCAAAGACAAUAUAUUUGGGCAUUUCUUACAGUGCCGAAGCUAUCCGUUCAGUGGCGCAAUUGUGCACAAUAUAUUGCUUCGGCAAGUGUCCCAUGGCGCUGGAAAUGAAUAGAAUGAGUUAUGGUUUCAAGUUGGCGACCAUUUAAUAUGGCUAUCGAUUGGAGAGUGGUGCCUAGUAACGGGACUUUGCUAUGGCAAAAAUGUCGUCCUGACGAAGCAUAAAACAAUGCAUAGGUUACUUAAGAAGUACUUUGGAGGUAGGAAUCGAUAUAAAUCUUGGCCAAUUCGAGGAAAGAUUUAUGAACUUAGACUUUAAGACUAUGGAUGACACCGAUGCGCUAAAAAUCGUCAUGUUUUACUUUGCUGAUAGACCACUAAACGGAAGAAAAGAUCAUUGUCAAAUCAAUUUCAAGUUGCUUAAUAAGGUAGAUGACAUAAAUCACUUUCGAAGUUGUUCGUGGGGUCGUUUGUCAUAGGAAACAAUAUAUAAAAGCAUUAAUAAUGCAUUGAACGGCACAGCCAAUAAAUUUAAGAGGGCAAGCGCAGAAAAUCCCUUGCAUAGAAUUAAGAAAUACAAUUUUUACGACUUUACGUCUGCAGUGCAUGUGAGUGAAGAAUUUUUUUUUAUAACUUAGUUUUGUUAUAAUAAUUAUUUAAUGACACGUUUUUUUACUUCAUAUCUUUCCUUGUUGAAGGCAUGGAUUUUUGAAGCGAUUGGAGGACUACCAUCAUAGUGGGUGGUGAAAAUUAGGAGGAAGGGUCCUCAGAUCGUGCGAUGGAAGCCCAUGGCUUCUUCAAAUAUAAACUUCGGCGAAGUCUAUAUAUACCUCAACGAGCGUCUUGAAGUCAUUUAUAUGUAUGUAUGUAUAUAACCGUUAAAUAAUAGAUGGUUAUACUAAUUGAAAAUUUGGUAUUCUUUACGAUAGGAUGGCACCAUUUUCCAAACCCUCAAACCGGAUGCAAAUGAGAAAGCCACAAAUUAUUGGAAGACCGUCGAGGAUUACGUGCCAUAUUUGCCAAGUUAGGUCCGUAAUGUGGGUAUCCUUUAUAGUAUCAUUGAAAACUGGAUGCAAAGUCAUUUAUAUGUUUGUUUUUUUUUUGUAUUUACUAUUUUCUGUUUUACUUGGUGCAGCACCAGCCUUCAAUCAACGAGGUGGAUCAUGACACCACGAGCCAAAUAGGACUGCAGCAGAGUCAUGUUGAGGAUGACUGUGCUGCCGACGACCAUUAUGAAUCCGCACACGAUUCAGAUGAUAGAAAUGAGCCGGAGGUAACUUUUUUCAUCCUGAACAUUUUGUUUAAUCACAUAUACCUAAUUUCAGCACUUUGUCAUUACUUUCUUAUUUUGUAAUAAUAAGUAAGGACUAAGUUUCGCAAUGAUUAUUUCGUUCAACGACUGGACAAAAUAGAGUCUUCCAUUCACGAGUUGUGGUCGGAACUUCAGACUGGACACAGUUCCAUUAACGAACUGAGGUCAGAACUUCUGGCAGAACGCAGAGAAGCACAACAAUACAGAGAAGCAGUCAUGGGUUUAUGGCUUCGUUUGGCGCGGGUUCUUCAAAGGGCACGUACGUUGAUUCUCCGUUUGGCCCCUCGCACACAGUGAGCAAGUUUCAUAUGCUUUUGUUAUGUUAUUAUAAUUUCAAACCCGAAAUUAUUUUAAUAUGUUCAUCUCCUCGAAACAACAAGCCCCAGAUGGCUAUGGUCCAAACGUUGAUGCUAGCUACGGUACGCAUACUGAUGCUGGUAAUGACGACGAGCACACCCCUAUGUCGUUGUACAGUUUAUAUGGGGACAUAAGUGGCGACAGUGUACAGAUAUUCACGGAGGUACCUCCCGGUGUUUGUAAGUUUGGCCGUCCGUACUGACCGUCGUAUAUCAUUGGCAGUCCUUACUUCAUUCCUCCUUUCAAGAGAGUUAGGAAUGCCAGGCCUAUGAAAUUGAUGAAAUUGAUGAACAUUACAGACUAUGAAAUUGAUGAAAGAUCGAGUGUGGAUAUGAAUCCACUUAGGGGAUUAGAAGAUUCAAGGCUAUGUGAGAAGUUUGAUCAGUGGUUUGCCGGCAAAUUUUUCGUGGAUCAGCCCGUCCAACAGUCCCGAAAUUUCUUUGAAAUACUCAUGGGCAAUGCUUUGAUGGGGUGGCUUGGUGACGAGGUAAGUGUGUUUAAUGGUCAGUACAUUACAAUAUUGUUCAUAUUUCUGCUAGCAUGAAUUAUGUUCUAAAUUUACUUGGUUUAAUCCCUUCACAACAUAUUCACAUGUAUUACCGCUUGAUUAGCGAGAAGCAACGUCGGUUUUCAAAUGCACUACCGCAGCGUGUCACACAUACAGAUACAUACUUUUGGGCAUGUUUACGAACUCUAUAAUCAUUAACUAUAAUUUUGAUAUUUUAAAUAUCUCGAAAUGUUAUUAAUUUUCUACUCAUCGUAUAAUAGGUGUUCCUAAAGCAAUUAUGGAACAAUGGUAGUUGUGAUGUCCAUUCAUUACAAUAUGGCAGCAACUUGAACUGAUAUAUGGAUGGGCGGAAAGAUAUUAUGUCCAAACCGUUUACGGACGUUGAUAUGGUAAGAAUUGUCACUCAAUCUUAUGGUAAUUGUGUAUAAAAUAUACUAAUUUAGUAUUUUUUUAUGUAGAUAUUCAUCCUUGUGAAUUUGGGCGGCGAUCAUUGGGUACUAGCUCAAGUAGACCUUCGCGCGAAGAGGGUGCGGAUUUACGACUCGUUGGUUAUCUUUCGCGAUGACAAAACAUAUUUGCGUAAAUUCAAACCUCUUUAGGUCGUCUUCCCUCAAUGGCUACAAGAUGUUGGAUUCUACAACAUCUGACCUGAGCUGCAGAAUGCCAACCCUUGGAAAGUAAGAAUCGUUAAGGAUGUGCCCCAACAAGAACCUGGAAGUGGUGAUUACGGCGUAUUUAUGUUGAUGUUUACAAUGUAUUUGAUGUUCGGGCUAAAACUUGAUUUUGAUAGUAGCCACGGGCAUUACUUUAGGAAGAAAAUUGUUGUAGAUAUAUUCACUGGCGAUAUUGCCUUGUAAGUCAUUGUAUUGUGUUCAGACUUGAUAUAUGGAUGUAGAUUAUUUUUUUAAUAGAUAUAAACUUUUGAUAUAUUCAUAUAUUUAGCUAUAAGUAAUUUUGAUCUACUUUAAUACUCAUUAUGCAAAUGAACAUAAAAUAAUAUACCUCAUUACAUAUAAUUGUAAAAUAAAUUAUAAUAAGAGUUCAGAAUUUAUAAUUAGUUACAAUGAUACAGUCAGUUUGGAUUCGACACAAUGAGAUUUUUACAUCUCUUGCGGUUAUGACCUGGUUGGUUGCAUCGACCGCAUCUCACAGUUCUUCGGUUAACAUUCUCACCGAUAGAAGGAAUUCUUAACUCUGGACGACGACCAGGUGGUGGUGCUUCGAUCGGUGGGUUAACUCUGAUUUCCUGGAUUUCUUCUGGAAUGUCCCAAUCUGUCAUGUCACCAACCAACGCCACUGGUUUUGCAUAUGCCAUGACCAAUGAAUAUUUAAAGUAAUAAUCAGAGCAAAGACUUAUGUAAUCCACACGGACAGUCAGACAAGCAGCAAUUGCAUGCGCACAAACAAGCUGAUCGAGUUGGAAUACUCUACAGGAGCUAGUUCUUUCAUGAAUGUCAACUAUCCCUUCCUUCAUACCUUCACCCAAAACGUGAAAUCGAUGCUGAGACACAGGCCGAAUGGUCAUUCUUUCGGCCAAAAUUCUCCUUUCUCCGACUAUCUCAUCUGCCUACGUCCUUAGACGAGUGCUCAUCGAUUCAGCCACAAUUUUCCUAUCAUAAAGCCAUUGUUGUAAUAUUUUUCUAAAGUGAUCAAUAAGAUAAGUUACAGGAAAUUUCGGUGGUUCCCUAAUUAAAGAAUUCACGCUUUCCACAAUGUUGGUGGUAAGUAUAUUGUAUCUCCUACCUUUAAAUUCAAACCUUGCCCAAUUACACGUACCCACAUUAUUCUCUAAGUAAUCAGCCGUGCCUGAGUGGAGCAUCCACAACCCUUCAAGUUGUCUUUUAAAUUCUUCGUGUCCAUAUGCCUUUGCUGCAUUAAUAAAGGCUGGCUCGAAUUGAUCCCAAAUAGCUUUGGACAUCCUAAAUUUAGACUUAAUGUUGCCUUUGACAUGGUAAAAAAAAAAACUCCAUGAGCAGCAGUGUGAAAUGCUUUUAAAAUGGCUCUUUUGAUGGCAGUGCAUCGAUCAGAGAUAAAUACUAACUCUGUUCUAUCGCCAAUCACUCCGUGUAACUUCGUCAUAAACCAUUCCUAAGCAUCAUUAUUUUCUGAAUCCAUGACCCCAAUAGCUAACGGAUACAGUUGAUUAUUACCAUCCAGACAUGCUGCUAUAAACAUGCUUCCACGAUAUAGCCCCUUUAAAUGAGUGUCAUCUACAGCGAUCACAGGCCUAAUGUACUGCGUGAAGCCCUUGAUGGAAGAUCCAAGCGCAACAAAGUAAUAUAAGAAAUUAUCAUCUCCAUCCAGCUAAAGGUAUGUCACUGUGCCCUCAUUCGCUUUGGUCAAAACGUGAGAGUAUUUGGGAAAUAAGUUGUAUGACUUUGCAGGGUUCCCUCGUACUAUUUCAAGACCGACUUCUUUAGCCCGAUAUGCUUGCUGAUAUGUUAAUUGGACCCCGUAUUCUUACUGCAUGUCUGCUCUAAUGUCAUUCGGCGUGUAUAUCCGUUUAGCUUGAAUAAAUUUAUCUGCAAUAAGAUGGCCAACAACCCGACUCUUAACUUGACGGAGGCCACUAGGUAAAACCUUAUUAGAGCACGUAUGAACAUUGUCAACUCUUCUCACUAUCCAAGGAACAUUCUGCUCAUUCGAAUCUUUCGUUGCGCAAAGAUGCCAAUUACAUGAUUCCGAAGAACAAUUAGCCUUAAAGCGUGUCGUUAUGGACCGUGCAAUCUUGAAAUCAAACUUUUCCCGCAAUGACACUUUGUGCAAUUCCAGUAUUAACUCAUUCUACUCAGCGAAUAACUUUCCCACACCAAUGUCAGCAGAAUUACAGCUUCUAACUAAGUCUGGGGCAACCAAGUUUAAAGGCAAAACUGGAGCAAGACUCACCAGGGGAUUAACUGUUGUCCUCCUCCUCGAACGGGCCAUCAGAGGAAUAGGUCGGUUGUCUCUAUUGUUAAUAGGAAUAUCAUACUGAUGCUCAUCCUCAUCAUUGAUAGGAAUAUCGGAAUGACCAAUGCCUAUAUCAUCAACUUCAGUAUUGGAGUUCAUGCCUUGCACACUAUUGAACGGUUCCAAACAAGCAUUAUCAGCUUCUGUGUUUUUGGUGUCAUAACCAAGAUCAUCAUAACUGCGGAACUCAUUAUUGUGAAAUGGAGAGUAAUGUUGCCCUAACGAUGUCCCUAAUGGUAACACAUUUUCUUCAACAUCCGCUAACAUAAUGCCAUUAUCAUCAAUAGUGUCAUUGUUUUCGUUGACUGGUGAGUAACGUUGCUGGAACGACAUGUGUUGUGGUAACACAUCUUCCUCAAUAUCGGGGACAGACUCGUUUACUCUAAACGAAGUUUCACUUUCCACAAGUGGCUCAGGAUUUUCGGCCGGAACUCGAGGAUAUGUGGUGACAAAUAUAGGGAGGCAUCCAUAAUUGACCACAUCAGAGGCCAUGUGCAAUACAACAUUAACCAUUUCAUCAUUAAAUAUGUCCAUAGGUAGUGAACAUGCACGAUAUAUUGUGUUACUAGACCUCAAAGUUGUCUUCAUCAUCAAACUAUAUUCAUUAGGAUUUAUCUGUAAAACUUCAUACACCCUUGCCAGAAAUUGCUCAAACGUACAAUCUUUCCGAACUAAAAAUGUUGUAUUCUUCGCAUUCACGUACUCCGUACGGCCAUCUGCUAACAUCUCCCACCAACCGUCGUAACAUAAUUGAAGUACAACGGAAUCCAUUAAACCUAAAAAUUAUAAAAAAAAACAUAAGAGAUAAGAUUUCACGCUACAAAACCUAGUAAAGUGAAUAUGCAGUACAUUUAUGUGGAUGAAAUGAAGUAUACAAUUUUGGAUUUGCUUCGUCUCAUCGUAAGCUUCAAAACGAUAUAUUAUACGCCUAAAACGGACACAUCUAGCCCAAGUUAUUACUUUCGAAAAAUAGCUUAAAUUUAGUGAGACAGGCAGUGGGACAUGUGCCUGUCUCACAUAAAACCAGUGGGAACAAGUGAGACAGGCGCCUGUCUCACAUAAAACCAGUGGGUUUAUAUGUGCGACAGGCGCCUGUCCCACUUGCCCGUCACACAUAUUUUGGUGAGACAGGCAAGUGGGACAAGUGCCUAUCUCACAUAAAUCUGCUGGUUUUAUGUGAGACAGGCGUCUGUCUCACUUGUUCUGGGCUUUUGUUUUGCUCGAUUUUUUAGGAGUUUAAAUGAUUGAUCUUCAUUUCUCAACUCAAACUAACUACUUUAACAAGUCACAUUAUUUUGUUAAUGAAAAAUAACAACGUUUGCAAUAAAAAACGCACUUCAAUUUCGAACUCAAAUGAUAAAAUCAAUAGAUUAAAAGUUUAGGUUAUGGUAAGAGUAUAAACUAACCUUAAGAAGCUCUCCAAUUGAUAAUUAUAUCUUCAAUUAUGUAAUGCUUGUUUGAUGAAAUUUGUUAAUUUAUUGAGAGUGAUGGAGUUUGUUGAGUAAUGAAGUUUGUUAAGUUGAAAAGGGAAAAGUGGUGGAAGUGCUGGAAUUGAAAAGGGAAAAGUGGCAUGCUUUGUAAAUUUGAUGAAAGUGAUGAGGGUAAUGUAGUACAAAAAUAGGGUGUUUGGCUAGUUAUGAUAGAAAAAACUUUGAGGGGUUAAAGUUGAAAAACGCUUAAUUUUUUUGGUUAUUUUUGUAAAUUUCCCUUAAGUCCAUUAAGAAAUUAAUGAUGUCACAUGGAUAUUUCAAGAAUUUUAGUUUAUUAAGCUGGAAGUAUUAUAAUAUUUACAAUUUUAUCAAUUGAUCAAUUUGGAUAAAUAAAACAACCAAUUGAUAAAAGUAUUAUCUCUUUGUGUAUGUUAACUUUAUUUUUUUAUUGAUUUGGAAGAUUAAACUUAUUUUCACAAUUUAGGGGUAAACCAGACUUUUAGUAUAAAUUCUAUUAAAAUUUUGUUAUUUUAGCAAGUAAAAUGUAAUAGUUGGAAUAUUAAACUGUAAAAAUAUAAUUAUUAAAAAAAUUUACUAAUAAAGUGAUAUAUUAGACGAAGUUAGGCGAUAAAGAGAUAACAUCCCUCUUAGGAAUUAAUUAUAUUAGUUUACAACCUUGUAAUCCUUUGUUAAGCAGCAAAGUUAAAUAUCUUUUAUUGAGUAUUUUUGUUUCCUAUUUAACACAUGCAAUCUUUAUUAAAUGAAUAAAGAUUUUUUUUAAAUAAAUAAAUAAAAGAGGAGCAAAGCCGAAAUCAAAAGAGUUAAAUUUCGUCGAGCCUCGUGUACUCAGUUUAGAAUUCUAAAUUCACAAGUCUAAUUAGGUUUAUAUUAUUAUUAUGAUAUUAGUUAGAAAGGCAGCUAGUAAGCAAGUCGAAUAAGACAGCUAUUAUUAUUAUUAUUAAGUUUUUUUGGCCUCCUGCCUUUCCUCUUAUGUGAACUUUGGUGAACGACUAAAGAAAGCAUCAGCUAAGCUUCUGAGUCUCAUCCAAAAAUUAUUGGUUUAUACCAAGAUUCCUAAUUGCUACCAUUUGAAUUGUUUUUCAACUUCUAGUUCUCAUAAUUUUGAGAACAAUGAAACAUGAAAAUAAUUGCUUUCUUUGGUGAUUGAUUGAUGUGAUUCUAUUUCAUUGGAUCAUUUUCUAUUUCAUUAUUAUUAUUAUUAUUAUUAUUGUGGUCGUCGUUUGUUUAGGUCACUUUGUAGUGUAGAUCCCGAUAAGCAAUGAAUUUUUUUGUCAUUUAUUCUUUUAGCAACUUUAAUAUUUUUCCUUAAGACUUUUCGUUUUCAGUGGAAACAGAGAUGCACGCGAGGUAGUUGUUAAUUUAGGAGUUGAGUUGAGUUUUUAUUGAGUAUUGAAUUAAUAUUUAUUAAAUAAAAGAAUAAAAGGAUAAAAUUGUAAAAUAAAUUCUUAUCAUUAAUAUAUUAUUCAGUAAAAAUUGAGUUGAAUAUUAAAUAUAGGUUAUAUUGUAACUUUCUUUUAAGUUAUAUGAUUUUAUAAUUAAAUCUAGAGUCGUGCUAAAUUACCGGGUGAGUAAUUUACGACCCAACCAUUUUGUACAAAUAUGAAUAAUUAUAAGAGUGGAUCCAGGCUGCAAGUUACUACUGAUGCUUUAACUUAGCGAAAAACCUUAAGUCUUUUUUUUUUGGAUUAUUUUCUCCAUUUCGAUAACACCACUCGAACUUUAGUUGACCACGUGUCAACAUUUCAAUGGUAUCAUAUCAAAUUAUUAGCUGUGAAUCAUUGAGUAUGAAAACAUACCGGACCCACAACUUUUGCUUUUACGUGAACGUGAAUCAGAUUCUUGGAAGCUGUGAAGUGGGGACUGAUCGUUUAAAUUAUUUAAAGCCAGCAAUAAUUGAAGUUUUAUUUAUUUAUUUUUUAUUUUUUAAAUGAGGCAAUAAUUGAUUAUUACUUCGGGAGGUUGCCAAUUUUUUCCCUAUAGUAAUUAAUAUAUACCAUUUUUUUUUUUACUGUUUUUAUAAUGGCCAAAAACCCGACAGCAUAAGUUUAUAAUAUUACCUUUAUUUUCAACUACUCUUUUAUUUAUAUUUAUUAUAAGUUAAAUAAAUCACAUAAAUAGAAACAAAAUAAAAAAUUAAAUAUGAAAAAUAAAAAAUAAAUGUUUUGAUAUGAGCAAAAAAAUUAAUAAUAAAUUUUUUUCUUGUACUUAUUUAUUUUGUGAAAAUUUUCUUAUAAUAAAUAUAUAAGAAACUUAUUAUAAAAUGAUAAAAAAAUUAUUAUAAAAAAACUUGAAUGACAAAUAAAAAUUUAUUAUAAGAUAAAUAAUAAAAUAUUUUGCCUAUACUUUUUACAUUUAAUUUUAAAAUAUUACAAAAUGUUUAUUAUAAGAAAAUAUUCACAAAAUAAAUAAUUAUAAGAAAAAAAUUUUAUUAUUAUUUUUUUGCUCAUAUCAAAACAUAUAUUUCUUAUUUAAUUUCUAUUCAUGUAAUUUAUAAUAAAUAUAAAUAAAAAAAUAACUAAAAAUAAGGGUAAUAUUGUAAACUUAUGGUGUUAGGGGAUUUUUAAUAAUUAAAAAAAUAAUUAAAAAAUACAUGAUAUAUUUUAAUUACUGUGAGGGGAAAAGUGGCAAUCCCCUUAUUACCUCCACCAAAGCUUUAUGAAAAGGGAGCUGCUACCUUGUUUUCCACGGCAUAAGACGAUCGCUCUUAAUUUUAAAUGACUCAAGUUGACUUACCGUUGAACUGGAAGGACAUAAAGCGAAUGACCUUCUCAUUUUCCAUCUGCCACAAAAAUUUAUUUAAAAAAUAAGUGCAUAAACUAAGCCGGUCUUAACGUUUAAUUUUUAACCAAUAUAUAUAUAUAUAUAGAAAAAUAAUAUUUACAUUCUAAGGUUUAGGAAAAUAAUCACAAAAACUCUUGAGUUUUUAAUAAAAGACACCGAAAUUCAUUUAUGAUUAUAAUACCCUUUGACUCUAUAAAUCUCUAAAAAUAUAACUCUAAAAUUUUAUAAUAAAUAGAAAUAUGGCAUUAAAAUAAAUGUAAUAAUAUAUAUAUUUCAAAAUAAUUUUAAUAUUUAAAAAUAUUUUAAUAUUUUUAAUCUAUUAGACCUCUUUUAUUAUAUUAAAGCAAUUUUUAAUAAUAAAUAGAAACAAAAUAUUAAAAUUAAAAUUAUUUUGGCUAUUAUGUAAAAGUUAAUUUUAAUAUUAUUAAUAGGGGGAUUUUUUUAAUUGUAAAAUCUAUUUAACCCAAAGAUUUAUUUAAAAUCUUUUUCAUAUUACAAUUAUAUUAUUAAAAUAAUUAUAAUAAUUUAAAAUUUUAAUAUUAUUUUAAAUGUAAAAAAAAUUAUUAUUAGUCUACCAAAUAGAUUUAUAUUAUUUAUAUUAAAUUUGUGUUAAUUAAAAACUUUUAAAAUCAAUUUUUUAAUUACUAUAAUCAAAGGGUAUUAUGGGUAAAAAAGAGUUUUUGUAUCCUUUUUUUUAAAACUUGAGAGUUUUUAUAACUAUUUUCUCAAAUUUGGGAAAUGUCAUUGUCCUUUUUCUUUUUUUAUACGAACUUGGAUCUUAGUUUUUUACAAGUAUUUAAAUAUUAGUACGUGAAAUGUAUUUUAAAAUAUCCAUCAAUUUAUUAUUUCUUAAAGUACAUUUUAUUAAUAAAUAGCAUAAUACACACGAAGGACCACUGAUAUUGAUGUUCAUACAUCGGAAUCAAUUUUCUUUAUGGGGAGUCUACGUCAUGAUUUCUAUGUCACGAAUUCUCCAAAAUAUUAUGUAUAUCUUGAUUUCUACCUUUUAUGAGGAGUCUACGUCAUGAUUUCUACCUUUUAUUAAUAAAUAGCAUAAUACACACGAAGAUAGGGGUGAUCGCGGAUCGGAUUUUAUGGAUUGGACAUCAAUCCAUAUCCGAUCUACGAUUUUACGGAUUAUAAAUUUUCAAUUCAAUCCAAUCCAUGAAUUGGUGAAAUUCAAUUCAAAUCCAAAUACAAUCCAUACAUCUGCAGAUCGGAUACGGAUUUGACCAAAUUCAUAUUCAAUCCUUCAUUUUGCGGAUUAGUUUGCGGGCUGAAAAUUUUUAAUACUGUCAAAUCCACAAACUAACUAAAUAAAAAAAUAAUAUAAAAAUAAUUUUACUACCGAUCAAAUUUAAAAUUAAAUAAGAUUUCAAUAAAUUAAUUGUUUAAAUAAAGUUAGAAAAUACAUUUAAAGUUUCAAAAUAAAACACACCAAAACGAAAAAAAUCUUAUUUGUUUAGAUCGGUACAUUUUUUUUUAUGCGAAUACCACUCUAUUGGUGGGGGGUUAGGUAGGACCCCUACUUGGCAUUUAGAACAGAUAAUGAAAAACACAUAUGGAGGGGGACAUAAACCAAAACCUCCAAUCUAGAGAAAUAAAUAUAACAGUAAAAGAAAUGACUUAGGCAUAGCCUAACAUAAGAAGAAAAAGAGUAAUGCAGACGGUGACAAUAUCUCUUACGAUACUUGCGGCCGGCAAGUAAUUUAAUGUCAUUUUUCGAGUGACCGACAACGAUAAAAUCAGGGCUAGAGUCAAUUCUCUCAGAAUUCUCAAGAGCAGACAGAAAAUAGUCAUUAUUCGCCAAAUGUUCGUCAGAACUAUCAUCAUUAUCAGUAUGAGAAUUGUAAUGCCUAAAAUAUGUGCUGGAUGCUCGAUGAAGCUAUAUAUUAUACUCACUUGGUUCUCAGAUCCUAGAAUCAUGAGUCGUGACAUCCUGGCCAGUCGGCUCCUGAAUGGAAGUAGAGUUUGUAGCGUUAACUUGGUUCUCCGUAGGUACAAUCGGAGACCCCACAUCUGCAAUUUGCUCAGUGAUGGAAGGCUCAAGUCGUGGAGUAUCCAAGGGUUGUGGAGUAUCUGACGGCAGAACUUCUGACUUCUUAUUAUCUACUCUGGUUUGCCAAUUCCCACUGGGUCGCUGGGGAAGGACCCCUGGAUUGGCCACGAAACACGUCUCAAUGGUAUGGCCAAGGCGCUUGCAGGAAGCACAGUAGAGUGGGAUUUUCUAAAAAAUUACACUCUGCCAAAAUCCAAAAUCUCUCACACCGAUUCGUAUUCGUGGCAACGAAGGUUGAGUGACAUCAUACUCCACUAACACCCUAGUUACAGAAGGGCGAUCUAAAGAGGCAGUAGCUUGGUCAAUUCGUAAUGGCUUGCCAAUAGCUGAUGUAAUAGAAAAUAAUGCUUCCUUACAGUGCAUAAAGUGGAAAGCAAGUAAGGAAAUGAAAUCCAUACUGGAACUAUAGGGGACUCCUCGGAACAUCGAAAAUCGAUGGUCUAUUUAAAAAUUCUCAUGGCACUCUCAUUGAUGUACCAUGUCUGUCUAACCCGUAGGCGGGAGUAGUCCUCCUCAACAUCCAAUUGAAUUAACACAUGUCGAUUAUCUAAAAAGGACACCUUGGAAGUUCCCUUCAAUCUCAUAGUAUUAAAAAAAUUUCAAAUUAAUUCCAUACUAGGUCUAUUGUAGGAAAAUUUACCUACCAAUGUCAGCUUGAAAGGAAUAGGCAUCGCUUGAAUUUCCGCAGUGGAAAAUUGCGCUUUAGGCUCUCCCUCGAACGAAGUGACAAUCUUGAUUGGAAUCGACGAGCUAGUUGGGACGUUCAUAAUAUCCACCAAAGAUUUUUUAGUGGGUUUAUUUUGAUUCGGAUUGGGGACAGAUUCUAAAACCGAGGCAUGAGAAUGUGCGGAUGUGGGCUGAAUGGUAUUUUAGAUUAGCGGAUUAUUUUGGGGGUUAUUUAAUAAGAUCGGAGAGGGCAUUUUGGAGGGCUGGGUGUUGGGGUUUAUUUCGAAAACGGAUUGGGCUUGGGUUUGACUAGUGGGAAAGGUUAAUGGGGCAUGGGAAGAGCUAGUGGGAGACACACAUGAGGAACACAAUUCAUGUGCUAUCGAAAGUGUCUUAUGAGCAUGGGAAUUACACGCGUGCAGACUUUUAAGCUGGUGUUGGGUGGAUGUUUGCUGACCAUGGCUGGGUUCUGUGGUGAUUGCUUGCAGCUGACUUUCUGUUGACAGUUGUAGCUGGCCGUGAGCUUGUGAUUUGCAUGGGGUUUUUUGUCGUGUGGGAGUUGUUUGUGUAGGUGGUGAUUGUGGCUGGCUGGUGGUUCUAUCUUGGACCGAAUCUUGAGACAAAUGGCCAUGGAGUACGGGCUGGUUUUGAUGGUGUAUAGGGGCUGUGACAGCAGGAUGAACUCCCGAAUGGUGUGUGGUUUGUGUUGGCUACGGGCUAGAGGCUGGUGGCUGGUUGGUUUGAGAUGAAAACCCAUUCACCAAGUCUGGUGGUGAAAGCUUGGAGUUGGCUGUUGAAGAGGUGACGAUGGCGGUUGGAGAUGGUUGUUGAAGGGACGACGAUGGCGAUGUGUUUGUAGAAGUUGAGGGCUGUUGGGGUUGAGCUGGCGUUUGACUCCUGUAUUUUGAGUGAGUUUGCCUUUGGGAUCUCCUAAGAAAAGGAGGUUCAUUUCUGGAAGUGAGGGGAGGAGCCGGUGGUGGUUGGUUGCUAUUAUCGUCAACCGGCUAGAUAAGAAUCGACUUGUCUCGAGUAUUGGUUUCUUCCCCUUCUUCUAGUGAAUGGAGGGGUGAUUUUGCUACCUCACGGCAGCAUUCAUAGUCAUUGAUGCCACCAUUGAUUGCCAUUUCUUUUUGCUCACUUAUGGCAUUAGGUGUGAUUGAAGGUUGUUGAAGUUUCGAGAGGAUAGCGGCAGUGGACAAUGGUGGUUGGUUUGCAUGGGGUUGGAUUUGAGAUGGAGGGUUUGCAUGAGAGUGGUUUGGUUUGAUUCGCGGUGAUGGCAACUGGACGUCCGGUGGCGGUUCAUUUGUGAAUUUUGGGGGUCGUCUAAAUGAUUUCUUAGGAGGGUUCGAACUCCUAAUAAUUUGUUCUUCUGCAGAGAAGGUGUAGACUGGUGAUGGCCGGUUGCCAUCAUCGGCGGCCGGAGAGGCCAUUAAGGCCAUUUAAGGCUUUUGAAGGGGGAAGGGGGAGACAUGUAGUUGAUAUUAGCAAUUAGAUCAGUAUAUGGAAAUUAACUAUUUAAGAAGUUAUAUUUGUUUAUUUAGUUGUUUUUAUUUUAUAUUAUUAUUGGAUAAAAUAUAAUAUAGUGUUAAUGUAACUAUAUUUUAACUUAUUUAUUUACUAGUAAAUACUAAUAUUAUAUUUACAAGUUUUAUUUUUUAAUUAAAUAAAUACUUUUUAUUUUUUUGCGGAUUCGCAGAUUUUUGCGAAUUUACAGAAGUAGAUCCAUAUCCAAUCCAUCGAUUGCGGAUUAUCAAAUUUUCAAUCCAAUCCAAUCAACGAAUCGGAUUUCUACGGAUCAAACGGAUUGAGCGGAUCGGAUUGGAUUCUGAACACCUCUAUAUGAAGGACCACUGAUAUUGAUGUUCAUACAUCUGAAUCAAUUUUCUUUACGAGGAGUCUACGUCAUGAUUUCUACGUCACGAAUUCUCCAAAAUAUGAUGUCUCUCACUCUUAUUUAAGGCAAACCUCAUAGAGGCAAUCACAGAACAUGAAGAAAAUUAAUUUUGUUCCUAGUCCUCACUAUCUAAAAAGAAUUUUCGUUGAAGCUAUAUAUAUAUAUAUAUUGAAUCUUUUGAAAAAAAUUGCUUCCUGAGCAUAUGAUUUCUUGCUGGGUUUCUUCAAUUGCUCUUCUUGUUCAGUUGUUAAAACUUUCCAGUUUCCUCUCUGUAGUACAAAGAAUAUUUGAUCAUUGAAGUGCCACCUUCGUAGUGUUAAUUUCGGUGAUGGAGUCCGCUGCUCAAGUGAGGGAUGUCGAUGCUUUGUAUGAGCUAAUUCGACAUGAUCGAUAUUUUUUGGACAACUUCGACGAGAAACCUUUUGUCGAUACUCCUUUGCAUGCUGCUGCAAGGGAUGGAAAUGUUGAAUGGUCCAUGGAGAUUAUCAGACUAAAGCCAUCAUUUGCCAGGAAGCUAAACCAAGAUGGCUUCUCUCCGGUGCAUUUAGCUUUGCAAAAUGAUCAAACUCAGUUAGUGCUUCAGCUGAUAGAUAUUGAUCCGGACCUUGUUCGUGUCCAAGGAAGAGAAGGCAUCACUCCUUUGCAUUUCGUGUCUGAAAAAGGAGAAAUUCAUCUGUUGAGGGAAUUUUUGUCUACUUGUCCGAAAUCUCUUGAAGAUGUGACAAAUAAAGGCGAGACUGCUCUUCAUAUUGCUUUGAAAAACGAUAAGGUCGAAGCUUUUGAUCAAGCCUUAACAACAGUACGACCACCGUGGCUUGGCCCUGAAGAAGCUCAACCAUACAAUCAAAGAAUCCUCAACUUGAAGGAUAGGGAUGGCAACACUUUGUUACACAUAGCAACAUCCAAAAGUCAAGUCAAGGCAAGCUCGAAUCCACACACAUAUAUAUAGAAAUUUUUCAAUGAGGUGCAGUCACCCUCAUUUUUUUUAAUGCAGACAUGCUAUUAAAUUAUGUGAUUUAAUAGAGUCAAUUUUUAAUUCAUUAUAAAGCUGUGUAUUUUAAUAGCAUGCCUGCAUAUAGGUUAAUAGAGUGUUCAUAUGAGAAAAAAAAAAUGAGAGUGUUCACAUUAGAGAAUGACUAUAUUUAUAUAUAUAGUAUCUAAUUAAUGACCUUAUCUUCAUUUUAACAAAGUAAAGAUAUCACAAAUAAAUAAAUAAAAAGUAGUUUAACAAAGUAAGGAUAUCAUUAACAAAAAAAAGCAGUUUUCAAUAUAUUGAAAUAUGUGUUUUUUUUAAUUUUAUUUGCAUUCUUAUUUUAUUAAAAUUUCUCGUUAGGGAAGGACUAUAUGUAUAUGGUCACAAAUAAAAUUCAGUUGAAUGAUGUCUAAAUUGAUGAAUUUGUUUAUCCAAAGCAGAUUGUAAGGUGUUUAUUGAAUUGCAAAGUUGAUACAAAUGCCCGGAAUUCGGAAGGUUUGACACCUUUAGAUAUUUCAUUACUUGAUAAAACUAAAUCAGAAAACCAAGAGAUUGCGGCAAUACUGCGGGAAGCUGGAGCACUAGAGGCAACUUCACUUCCUAUUACCGACAAGGAUAGACAUUUAUCGAGGUAACAGGAACACUGCUCUUUUACUAAAUUACAGUCCAUUUAUCGAUCAUCUUUUUAAAAACAAUAUGGCAUUUUCAUACUAUGUACAUCUCAAAAAAUGUUUAAUGUCCUUCAGAAGUAAGGAUCAGAGGCUGAACGAGGCUGCUCAAGCAGGAAAUGUUGAUGCCUUGUAUGAAUUAAUAUGGGAGGACGCAUAUCUUUUAGAUCAGAUAGACCAAGUACCAUUCGUGGAUACUCCUUUACAUAUAGCAGCAUCAAUGGGGCAUAUCAACUUUGCCCUGGAGAUAAUGAGGUUAAAGCCAUCAUUUGCGAGAAAGCAAAACCAAUAUGGAUUUAGUCCCCUGCAUCUUGCUUUGCAGAAGCAAAACCAAUAUGUACUUAGUGGCGAGGAUCUUUUGCAGAAGAAACAGACCCAAAUGGUGCUUCGGCUCAUAGACGUGGACAGAAAUCUUGUUCGUGUCCAAGGAAGGGAGGGUGUAACGCCUCUACACUAUGUUGCUGAGAAAGGAAAUGUCGAUCUUCUAUGCAAACUUCUAGCGGCUUGCCCUGAGUCCAUCACAGAGGUGACAAUCCGUAAAGAGACUGCUUUGCAUGUUGCUGCAAAAAAUGACCAGUUGGAGGCCGUUGAGUGCAUGCUAGGAUGGCUUCGAUAUGUCGACAUGGAGGAUAUCCUUAACUGGACGGACGAUGAAGGCAACACUUUAUUGCAUAUCACAAUCUCCAAAAGUCAAAUAAAGGCAUGAAAUUUUUUUAAAUUUUACUUCAGUUAGUCCCUAUAUUUUCAUGAUUAUUAAUUGCAUGCAUAUAUAAAUAUAUACUUGCAGUUGGUGAGGCUACUAGUUAAAAGAGCACGUGAUCAAAUAAAUGCCCGGAACUUAGACAAUAAGACACCCAUGGACAUGGUAGAAGAACAUUUGGGAGGGAAACCUGAAUUUAAAGAAGUAACACGCAUGGUGCGCAAAGCUGGCGGUAGACAAGGGUCCUCCCUUCCUGAUGGGGAUAUUGCAGGUUACUUAAAACAAGGUUUGACAUGGCGUCGAAACGUGAUUUUGUUCCUUUACCGCUUAUCACAGCACAUUACGGAUGAAAAUCGAAGCGCACUACUUGUGGUUGCUGUAUUAAUAGCGACAGCCACAUUCCAAGCAGCGCUUACCCCGGCUGACGAUCUUCAGGGAAAUAAGUCAACUGGAACCCCCAACUCUAUUGCCACUAAUGGAUCACACUCACCAUCGACAUCGGCAUCGGCAUCAGCAUGGGCAUAUGUAACACCAUCAGGAAGAGCAAAUUCAACCGCCAUUUCUCGGGGCAAUGGAACCAGCAGCAGCAUCCCAACAAGUGACAAGAUUCUAUUCGCUCCGGGGCAAUUUUAUGGCGAUGCCAUCAGUGAUAUGAUCUCCACACUUUUCGCAUUUUCAAAUAUUUCAGCCUUUUGUAUAGCUAUGCUGGUGAUUAAUUAUAACCUCCCGUGUGGCUCUACUCUGGUAUAUCCUCUUGUUAUUUGCUUUUGCCUGUUAGUGGUUGGCAGAACCCCGGUGUCGCUACUUGCCUCACUUUUAAUGUUUAUCGUCUUUCGGAUUUUUUUAUUUGUACAACUGGACUUCUCCAAGAUUCGAUUUAGACGAAGCUUCUGGACUACACAAGUUUUGGGCUCUGUUUUCAAACAUUACAGAAGCUUCUUCAAUAAGAUAAUGAAAGAAGCUGAAAAAUAGCUAUAAUGCCAAUAUGCUGCCAUGGACAAAACACAUGUCCGUUGGUCUGUUGAUGUUCUAUGCUGGCUUGGCUAUAUCUACUUAUUGGUGGUUUUAUUUUGAGUAAGAAGGUGUGUUUUUGUGUACUGUAUUUUCUGAAUUAUGUUCGUUUGCUUUUGCUUCAUUUUGUAAGGUCUUGCGUGUUUCAAUGUAAUUGUUAGAGUGCAAUUUAUGCACUAGUUUUGCAUUGUUUACUUCCCUUAAUAUCGAUGUUUUGCACUUAAUAAUAAUGUUUUACUUGUGUUUUACUUUUGUAGGUGCAAUUCUAUUGAUUGAUGAUAAAAUUGAGCUAAAAGAUGAUGUUUAAGGAGGAUUGUUCUCUUGGAGAAAUUUCUGAGCGUCAGAAGAACUUUGUUGAUAAGGCGUGGGCGCGUGCUGUCAACUGCGGACCUGCAGUUUUUAGUUUAACGUGUUUUGUAUUUUUGGUUAUUUUUGUAAUUACGAAUUUAAUAUUUCAGAUAUUAGUAUUUUAUUUUAAAUAGAAUUCUAAAAGAGAAGAGAGAGAGAGUAUUUAAGAGAGGAAUCUAUUGUGAAAAAGGGGGGAUUUUGGAUUGGAGAAAAAGAAACCCUAGAUCUAAUUUUUCUCUUCUCUCUAUGAGGAACUAAACCCAUUUUUCUGGUUGAAGGUUAAUGAAGCUUUGUUAUGUGAAUAUCAAUCUUAGUUUGUUUAUUCGAGAACUUGCUUUGUUAUGCAUGUUGAAGCCGCAUUACGAGAUUUUAUGCAUUAAAAUGAUAAGGGCAAAUCCUUUUCCAUUUUUCUAUUCUCGCAUUUUUUUUUCUCUACCCGAAGACCUUUAUUUGCUAUCUUUGUUUGAGCCUUAACCAUUACCCAUCUAAUUUUCUCCGUCUACUUAACCAUUUUUCUUCUUUUUGAGCCUCAAUUUAAGGAGAUUUUUGGACUCAUUGUGUGGAUAUAUUUUGUUGCUUUUUCUACCUUGUAAUAAAGUUUCUCAAUUAGAUCAACAAGCAUUAUGCUUGAAUUAAAUUGUGCAAGGUUCAUUUCCUUGUUUUGAUUCAAAAAAAAAAACAAAACAAAAAAAAAAGAAAAAGAAAAAAAAAGAAAAAUCGAAAAUCACUGUUCACUAUUCACUGUUCACAAAAUCCCUAAUUUUCCAGAACUUGUUUUCUUCUCCAGCCGCUUGCAGCACACCAGCAGCAAACCAGCCCGCCGGAAAACGCACCAUCCCGUGAGCGCAGCACCAGCAUCCCGUGUCUCGCAGCCCAGCAGCGCGCAACGAAGUCCCACCAGCGAAAGCAGCCGCGCGCAACGCAGCAAGCCCCAGCCAUCACCAUCGUGCGAAAUCAGCAGCAACCGUGCACGCAACACAUCCCGCGAAGCAGUAGCAGUAACGCCCCGCAACGCAGAUCCUCAGCUCCAGCCCGCGCGCACAGCGCAAAUCAAUCCAGCAAUCACCCUCGUGAAGCAGCAGCAGCAACGCCUCGCAACACAGCCACGCACCAGCAUCCCGCACGCAACCAGCAAUGUGCAACUAGCAACCAACAGCCACAGCCCACGCAUCAACAGCAACGCGCGCGCGCAACACAAUCAGUGCCAUCCCGCGUCCAUCAAGCAAGCUCCAGCCGAGCAGCAAUCGCAACGCAACCAGCCUACGACCUGCAUUCCAGGCGCGUGAAUCGAAAUCCGUGACAAGAUGGAGCAGAAUUUGGCCGCAUACUUCAAGAGUGUGGGAUUUAUCCCACCAUUCCCGCCAAACCCAUAGACGUUAUGAGGAUCAAAGCUCACAAUUCAGGGAAGUUUCUUUUUGCCCUUAAUCUUUUAUCCUUACGCUUUAAUUUUUAUGUGAGCUUUGAUUAUCUUACAUUGGGGACAAUGUAAGUUCUUGGUGUGGGGGAAGGAUUUUUGCAUUAUUGAUGUCUGGAAUUAUUGUUUUCACUCUACUCAUCUAUUUUCACUCUACUCAUCCUUAAAUGAUUUUGGAGUUAGUAUGCUUCAUAUAUUAUUAUUCUUCUUUUCUUUUCUUUCUCACUACUUUUUUCCCAUCUAUCUCAAACUAUUCAUAUCUAUUUUUAUUUUACCAUACUCUUUCAUCACUCACAUUUUAUCUUUCACUUUUCAUAUUACUACAUACAUCUUUCUCACUUCUUAUCAUUUUUACCUUUUCUUUUAUAUAUCACUCAUACUUUCUUCUCAUUCUACACCACUAUUGAUGGUUGAUUCAUUUGAAGAGUGUACAUGAUUUGAUGGCAAAUUUACCAACUUUGUGAGGAUUUGAGCCUAUGAGCAACCACUUUGCUAUAAUAUUUUUGUUAUGUGAAUAUCAAUCUUAGUUUGUUUAUUCGAGAACUUGCUUUGUUAUGCAUGUUGAAGCCGCAUUACGAGAUUUUAUGCAUUAAAAUGAUAAGGGCAAACCCUUUUCCAUUUUUCUAUUCUCGCAUUUUUUUUUCUCUACCCGAAGACCUUUAUUUGCUAUCUUUGUUUGAGCCUUAACCAUUACCCAUCUAAUUUUCUCCGUCUACUUAACCAUUUUUCUUCUUUUUGAGCCUCAAUUUAAGGAGAUUUUUGGACUCAUUGUGUGGAUAUAUUUUGUUGCUUUUUCUACCUUGUAAUAAAGUUUCUCAAUUAGAUCAACAAGCAUUAUGCUUGAAUUAAAUUGUGCAAGGUUCAUUUCCUUGUUUUGAUUCAAAAAAAAAAAACAAAACAAAAAAAAAGAAAAAGAAAAAAAAAGAAAAAUCGAAAAAAAAGAAAAAAAAUGUUUACAUUCUUGGUGACUUGAGUAGAAAUAAGCAUUUUGAUAUCAUAAGUUCAUUCAAUGAGUUCAUUCUUCUCAUUUUGAUCUCUUUUUCUUUCGUAAACCUUUCUUUUUCAUUCAACCUAUUUAACCCCAUUACAACCCUUUUAAGACCCUUAGAUUUUUGCAAUUUUAUUCAUGUUUUGUGGAUUGAGAUGUGAUAUAUGAGCAAGCUUAUGGUAAUAGCAUUCUUUGAUUUGAUUUGAGUGAAUAAAUGACACCCUAAACACUUUGAGUGCAUAGAGUGAAGUUAUUGAGAGGGCUAUUACAUCUUGUUGCACUUGAAUUUUGAAUGGAUCUUCUUGGUGGUUGAAUGUUCUUAUUCUAUCUUAUGAGAUUCUAUGCUUUAAAAUCCUUGUCUCUCGAAUGUUGAUCGACUUAAUUUCUUGAGGUAUGCUUGCUUAAAAUUAUUUUUGGAUGAGUUGAGAUGAGAAUUGAGUGGAGAUUUGGGAUUAAUCUUGAGUUAUAUGCUUGAGGACAAGCAUCAUCUUGGUGUGGGGGAAUUUGUUAGAGUGCAAUUUAUGCACUAGUUUUGCAUUGUUUACUUCCCUUAAUAUCGAUGUUUUGCACUUAAUAAUAAUGUUUUACUUGUGUUUUACUUUUGUAGGUGCAAUUCUAUUGAUUGAUGAUAAAAUUGAGCUAAAAGAUGAUGUUUAAGGAGGAUUGUUCUCUUGGAGAAAUUUCUGAGCGUCAGAAGAACUUUGUUGAUAAGGCGUGGGCGCGUGCUGUCAACUGCGGACCUGCAGUUUUUAGUUUAACGUGUUUUGUAUUUUUGGUUAUUUUUGUAAUUACGAAUUUAAUAUUUCAGAUAUUAGUAUUUUAUUUUAAAUAGAAUUCUAAAAGAGAAGAGAGAGAGAGUAUUUAAGAGAGGAAUCUAUUGUGAAAAAGGGGGGAUUUUGGAUUGGAGAAAAAGAAACCCUAGAUCUAAUUUUUCUCUUCUCUCUAUGAGGAACUAAACCCAUUUUUCUGGUUGAAGGUUAAUGAAGCUUUGAUUCAUCACUACUGUGAGAUCUUUCUUGUGCUUUAAUUGUUUUAUUACUUUUUGGGUAUUUGUUUAUUCUCUGAAUUAUUUUCAUGAUUAUGUUUGUUAAUUAGGUAAUUGGCCACUAUUUAAUUAUCAACUUAAUCUAUUGUCAAUUAAAGGAUUCAUCGUAUGAAGAAUUUAAUGUUUGUGACAAAUAACAUAGCAGAGAGUUGUGUUGUGAGAAUAAACAAUCUAAUUUAAAUGAAUCAUCAUAUGUGUUGAUUAGGAUUUGGGUCUCUCUGGUUUUUCAGGCUGUCAAUUGAUUAAAUUCUAUGAUCGUAUCUAGGGUUGUCUAUUGAUUAGGGAAAUAACCAACGGUCGUACCUUGGUUAUCGACUAGUUAAGGAGAGAUUGGCUAUUAGAGAGUCUCAGUAGCUAUAACCGGUCUAUUCAUGAGUAAUAAUAAUCUAUAUUUGAAUCAAUGAUCAGUAGUCGAAUCAAGCUGAGUUAAUUCCUUCAACCAGAGCUUUCUCCAAUUUGAAUUACAACUUUAAUUUGCAUUCUUGUUAUUUUAAUUUGAUUUUUAUUAUUGUCAACAAUUCCCCUAUUUUACGUUUUACGUUUCAAAAGGAUUUAAUUAAUUACCUAUCUCUGUGGACACGACCCUGCUCAAUCACUAUACACAAUUUAUUUAGAGUAGGAAUUUACUUUUGUUGGCUUCGACACCCAUCAAAUAUUAAUUACUCUUGUUGUAUCUGAUAGCUGUAUUGUUCACCUUCGUGACUGUGAAUACAAUGAUGUUAAUUUAAUAAAAUUAUAUGCUUGUUUGUUUGAUAAGAAAAUGAUGGAAAAUUUAUUGACUUAGAGAGGAAAAACAGAAAUUGAACUCAUUAUGAUUGAUACAGUGAAAUGAGAUUACAAUACACUAUAUAUAUAUAUAUAGUAGCAUCUGGAACUUUCCAAGUGUAACAGAAUCAUAUACAGUCUCUGAUAUUCACCAUAACAUUUUGGUGGGAAAUAACAAACUAAUAACAAACUUUUAACAACUUGUAUAACAAUCUUCCAGUAGCUUCCAGCAUCUUGUCCAGCGUGGCAUCUGAUUCAUUACUCUACUUAACAAUUUGCUGACAUGAAGAAAAACAAACAACAAACAGCAAACGCACAAACAUAGCAAAAAAAAGAAGACAAGACAAUAAAGACUGCUUUUGACAACCUAAGUGAUUCAUCAACCUAUGUAUCGGGUUUUUCAUUCAUCAGCAAAGAGUUUCAGCACUUGAUCUGAAAAAUAAAGACUGCUUUUGACACUCUAGAAAUUCAAUUUCAUUUUUCCAUGUUAUUGAUGAUCAAACUCAGAUUAGCAACUGAAAAUAUAAUAUAACAAUUUGACAUCAAAAGUAAGUCCACUGAAAAUUUUUGGAAAUAUAUUAAUUAAAAUUAUGUUGAUGAAAUUUUUUAAAAUUUUAUGGUUUUGGUUUACGAAUCGUGUUGGCGAACGGCUUUAUUGUACAAGUACAGGUGCUGCUUCCUCUUCAUCUAUAUUAUACGGUUUACAUUGUUAAUUUAUUUUAGUACUUUGUUUCCUCAUUUGUUGAAAUCCACUGAGUGCUUUAAAGUUACCUGAUUGACACUAAAAUUAUCAUUUUUUUUUCCUUCAUCCUGUUCUCAAAUUCAGUCACGUUCCUUCGUCAUUUGUUCACGAAAUCCAAGUGCGGGCAACCAAUUGAGAAAGCCUGUAUUUUGACAAGCUCAAUCAAAAUUCUUCGGUUCCUUACGUGUUGAUUUCGACCUCUAUAAAUUAAAUUUAUUUAGCUUGAAAAGAGAAUUUGAUAAAAAUUUAAAUAAAGAAAUUGGGCAAUGAGAAUAUAUUUGUAAUUUUAUUAACAAUAUAUGGACAAAUUGGACAAUUAACAACUAUUUUUUUAUGUGCUAGAAGGGUAUAACGGUAAUUAUAUAUUAAAAUUAUAAUUUCUGUUAAAAGUAACGGUUUCCGUUGAUGAAUGAGGGUGUGGAUGUCUUUUUUAAAAUAUUGGAGGGACUUUUAUCCAUCUGUCUAAACGUUGUGAGUGUGUUAGUCUUUUUCCCUAUUUACAAGUACAAUUGUAAAUUUAUUUUCCCAUUCUUCUUCCCUUCUCUUCAAAAUUCAGCGCGAUUUUCUCCAUUUAAUUAUUCACAUCUACAACAUUGCAAAUCUAUAAUUAGAAUUAAAAAUUCUUCUGAUUUUCCAAUACCAAUAAGUCAAUAAAUCAACUAUUAUAGUCAAAACCAAACCCUAAAACAAAAUUAUCAUUUUUUUUCCUUCAUCCUAUUCUCAAAAGGGGCUAUCUUUGUUGCUAGGCAUGUGGUGUUUAACGAAUCAGAAUUUCCUUUCUCUACGAAUCCUCAAUUCUCUAAGCAAUCUUCUACCUCUGUUUCCGAGUAUAGACAUCCUAUGUUUAAAACUUCUUCUGUGUUAGUUCUACUACAUGAUCCUUCAGGCUCAAGUGACAACACUGUACAACAGCUUCAGCUCCAUGCAGUUCCAGCUUCCUCUUCUUCCUCUAGUUCUUCAUCAUCAUCACCUUUACCUCCAAAUCCAUAUUUCCCUGAUCCUUAUCACAAUAUGUCCCAUAAUUCCCAACACUCUUCUUCUUCUACAUCUAUUGUGCCUAUUCCACAGCCUUCUGUCCCUACUCAUGUACCAUUGCCAACUCAUCCAAUGGUUACAAGAGCAAAAGCAGGAAUAUUUAAGCCAAAGUUUCUUGCAUAUUCUUUUGUUCUUGAAGAACAUGAACCUGCUACAAUUUCUCGAGCUCUCUCAAAUCCUAAACGGAAAGCAGCAAUGCAGGCUCAGUAUGAUGCACUCAUGAAAAAUGAAACUUGGGUUCUUCUUCCAACCUCUCAAGUUACUAAAGUUGUUGGUUGUAAAUGAGUGUUUCGCAUUAAGUAUAAUGCAGAUGGCUCUAUAUCUUAGUACAAAGCUCGUUUGGUUGCAAAUGGGUUUCAUCAAACCCCUGGUAUUGAUUACUUUGGGACUUUUAGUCCAGUGGUUAAGCAAUCUACUAUGAGAAUUGUACUUAGUCUUGCUGUUAUGAAGAGCUGGAAAAUAAGGCAGAUAGACAUCAACAAUGCUUUCCUCAAUGGGCAACUCAAUGAAGAUGUUUACAUGUUUCAACCUGAGGGAUUUGUCUAGCUUUCAUCUGGUCAUGUUUGUAAAUUGCUUAAGGCUCUUUAUGGUCUAAAACAGGCUCCUAGAGCAUGGUUUGAUCGGUUAAGGAAAGCAUUGUUGAAGUGGGGGUUUCAGAGCUCAAGAACAAAUUCAUCUUUAUUCUUUAAACAUGAACUUGGAGGUAUUGUUGUUGUGUUGAUAUAUGUUGAUGAUAUUCUUAUUACUGUAGAUAAUAAUACAGUGAUUGAAAGGUUCAUCAAAUAUCUUGGAGAUACUUUUGCUUUAAAAGACCUUGGUUAAUUCAAUUACUUCCUUGGUAUUGAAGUUACUCAAGGUACAAAGGACAACUUACAUCUCUCACAAGCCAAAUAUGUAAGAGAUUUGCUCACAAAAACUGCAGAGAAAGUGAUACUCAAAUGAGUACAAGACAAAAACUAAGAAGAGCAAGAAAUGAAGAUAAUUUGAUUGUUAAUGUUACUGAAUAUAGAAGCAUAAUAGGUGCAUUGUAGUAUUUGGUACUCACAAGACCAGAGCUUGCUUUCUCAGUAAACAAGUUGAGUCAAUUUCUUGCUGCAUCUACAGAGAAGCAUUGGACUGCUUGUAAGAGAAUUCUAAGAUACUUAAAGGCAACUGAGGAUUAUGACUUGCUAUUUAAACCAGGUGGUGGUGUUGUCUUAACUGCAUAUACUGAUGCAGAUUGGGCAUGUGAUGUUGAUGAUAGGAAAUCAGUUGGAGCAUAUUGUGUUUAUCUUGGGCAAAAUCUUAUAUCAUGGUCUUCUGAGAAGCAACAAACAAUAGUUAGAUCUAGCACAUAUAGAGCAUUAUCAACAUCAUGUGCAAAAAUCGUUUGGGUUCAGGCUUUGCUUGGUGAACUUAAUAUUAAGUGCAAUCAAACACCAAUAAUCUGGUGUGACAACAAUGGUACUGCUGCAUUGGCAACAAAUCCAGUAUAUCAUGCUAAAACCAAGCACAUAGAAUUAUAUGUACAUUUCAUAAGAGAGAAUGUGACAAAUAAACAAGUGGAAAUCAAGUAUGUGCCUAGUGAAUGGAAUAUUGCAGAUGUGCUUACAAAGCCUAUGGCUUACUGUUGAGUGUUAGAAAAUGCAUAUUUAUAAAGGAGAAAACCGUCAUUUUACAUUUUAAGUCUUACUAACAACCCUUACUUUUAUAUAUUUAACCUUCUUGUGAUUUAAUUACAUGUGUUUUAUUUUAAUUAAGUAUUUUAUGUAUUUUAGGGGCAUUAUAGUCAUUUCACAAUAAAGGAGAGAUCAGACAGCAAAACGGACAUCACUUUUGAACUCAGGACGGUCGAAAACCUUAGGAGGAGCAUAAAAGGAAAAAUGGCACUAUUCACAUGUACGGUACUAUUCACGUGUACGGUACUGUAUACGUUACUGUUCACGACACUGUUCACAUAGACGGAUGAUGACGUGGCAUUGACCGAUGAUGUGGCAUUGACUGAUGAGGUGUCACGAUCCUGUUGGACUAAAAUUCUUAUGUACUGUUGAUGGUGACGUGGCAGCAUAUCAGUGGACGAAAAAUCUCGCGUACGGUGCAUGCAUCACACAGGAUUAUUUUCAACCAAACCGCGUUACUGUUCAUCCGGGUCAAACCGCGUUACUGUUCAAAGUCGGGUCAAACCGUGUUACUGUUCAUCCGCGUGGUCAAACCGUGGACUGUUGACUGAUGACGUGGCGCAAUCCUGAGCGUCCAAACUGUUUUUAAUCCGAUGGCCAUGAUUUACUCCAUGUAUCUAUAAAAAGGGGGCCUCCCCCCCCUAAUUUGAUAUCUCUGAAUCCAUUUUUGGGAUCCAUUUUCUGUAAUUCCUUCUCCAUCUUGUAUUUUCUUCGUAUUUUAAUAAAUUCUCAUUUUGCCUCUAGUUCAACUAUGAGUGGCUAAUUUUCUUUCAAGCUUGGGUUGAAGGUGAAGUCUCAACAUGUGUCAUGGGCUUAAUUUGGUAAAUUUAUUUUCUCUUCCCCUCUAAUUUUUGUGGAUGUUUUGACUUCUCGUCGACAAAUAAUAAUAGUCUUGUCUAGAUACCGCCUUGGUUACACCGGCUCUCUAGUAUAAGGUUAUUAUUAUUUGGCACGAUAAGCCCUUAGCACCAUAUUGAUUAGAGCGUGGUUCAUGAGGUGUGGAUUCCCCCCUCAUGAUUUAAUUGGCAUUAAUACGGAUUAUUUAGCCCAUGAUGCAUGUUGAUACGGAUCCAGAUACCCAAGUACGUCAUUUCAAUAGAUCUUCGCUUCAAUUUAUUCUCGUCAUUUCAAUUCCAAUUUCAGAAUUUAUUAUCGCCAUUUUAAUUUAAGUUUUAGCAUAUUCCAAUCAUUUCCACCACAAAUCCAAUCACCCAUUCACAAAAAUUAAUUCUACACAAUUAAAAUCCACCUCCUCGUGGGAUCGACACUCGUCACCAUUAAUCUAUACUACAACAGAUUCGUGCGCUUGCGAGUACAUUAAAAUUUGCACAACACUUACUGCUUUUUAAAUUACUAUAGAGACAAGCUUAAUGUUGUUUCAUGACCGUUAAGCUUGAGGAGGAGUGUUAAGAUGCUUAAUCAACAGCAGCAGACCAGUGGCUGAGAUUUGUGCGACAAGGAUUGCUGAGCUGAACAAAUUAGUUAAGUUGUUGUAAUUAGUUUUGGUUUAGCCAAUAGAUGUAUUACAGUUGUACAAAAGGUUGUUAUUACUGUUGAUCAACAAUAUAAGUUUGCUACGAGCUAAAUGUAAUUCAUAUAAUUCAUAUCAAUAAAAUUUUCUCUGAUUUAGUUACUUUUCUUUCUUCUUUCCGUCACUUUCCUGCUAGCCAAACAAACUAUCAACCUAAGAUCCGUGAGUUCUAACUUUUACAAAUGUAAUAAUUACCAUGAAUUUGCAAAAACUUGCAGCAAAUAUUUGUGUCCCAAUAGGUUGACAAUUGCAACACAUAUCGAAAAACUGUAAUAGUACCCUUGAUUAUAAUUACUUGACCAUAGUCAGUGGCGAACUAUGUAUACGCCUGGCAGCCGAGGUGUCAGGAAUUUAAUUUAAUAGGGGUGCCUAAGUUCAAACACUAACAUAAUUAAAAAAAUGGUCAAUAAAUAACAAAUAUUAAAAUAUUUAGGGCUAGUUUGGCAAUCUUAUAACUUUUAAAAUAAUUGUUGUUACUUGCGCUAUAAAAAUAAUAAGUUGUGAAUGGAAUUAGUUAAACGUUUGACAAAAUUUCUUCUUAAAAGUGCUUUUGUAAAUCUCAUUGUUGAACUAUUAUAAGAGUUUAAAUGAUUAAAAUGGACAUAAUAUUAAAUAAAAUAUAUUAUAUAGAUAUAAAUACAUACAUAUAAUAUUUUUUAUUAUGUAUAUUAGUAACUGAUAACUAAAAUAAUUAUCUUUGUUUUAUUAAUUAUUUUUUAUCUCAAUAUAAUUAGUAAUAAUAAUAAUCUCUAGAUUUAAUAAUUUUAUUUCCUAAUUGAAUAAGGAUAAUUUUAGAUUUUUAUAAUAUAUGUAAGGAUAUAUAUGGAAUUUUAUUAAUUAGAAAACUUAUCCUGAAAAUUAGAUUUUGAAAGCCUACUUCUUUUUUGCUUUCCAAAAUAUACUGUAUAUAAGAUAGAGUGAUUUUACCGAAAGUGAUUUUAAAAAAAAAAUCUACCAAACAGUAAAAUUAAAGUUUAGCUUUUAAAAUCACUUUUAAGUCUCUCAAAAGCAAUCUCAAAUAGGCCCUUAAUUCAAUACAGUUAUAAUUGUUCUCAUGUAUUUUCAUAUGUUAAAAAUAUUGAAGAAUAACCUCAUUAUCAUUACUACAAACAUAUUUUCUUCUACGUAUACAAUAAAACUAUCAUUCAACAAUUGGUUUCCCAUAUGAUUUUGUGGAAGAUUUUUCAGAAAAUUCAUAGCUGAAAAUACCCUUUCUAAUUUAGUUUUGUUACCUGAUAAAAUCAUUGCUAAUGUUACCAACAUAUAAAUUAAUGAAUACAACUAUCCAUUAUCUCAACCAUUUUUCUUGCUAACUCACCAGUCUCUUUUAAUCUUAAAAAUGUUGUCAAAACCCACAUUCAUAAUAUAAUCAUCAAGUUGAAUUUCAAGUGCCAUAAUGCAACAAUCUUUCUUUAUGGGUUCAAAAUGUUAAAAAGAAUAUUUAAUAUUUUACUUGUUUUUAAAUUUUAACAAGGGUGUUAUGGUAAAUCAAAUAAAAAUAGGACAAAUAUUAAAAUAAAUUUUAAAAAAAUUAAAAAAUUGAAAAAGGGUUUCAGCCCCUGCUAAAAUGGCACCACAUCUAAAGCCUAGGGUGCCUUGAGGCAACAUACCAAUAAUAAUAAUAAAGAAAGAAAUCAAGAAAAAAAAGACAUAAUAAUACGUAGUAACAUUAGCAAUGUUAAUUGUAUUUUAUGUUUUGACCCCUAUAAUUUUACAAGUUGAUUUUAUGUUACCGCCUACUCAAAUUUAUGGUUUUGGUCAUUGUGUUUGGCCCUCUCAAUUUUAGUGAUUAUAUACUGUAUGAAAUGUAAGUUAUGCAACCCAAGAGGGGGGUGAAUUGAGAUUUUAAAACUUACGCUAAACAAUUCGCACAACAAUUUAAUGUAUUGCCUUAAUCAAAUGUAAAAACAAUAAAUUCAGUAAAACACAAUACUAAAAGAGUAAGUACAAUAAUAAAAGAGUAAGGGAAAAGAAAGCAAACACAACAAUUUUUACGUGGUUCGGCAAUCCUCGCUUACGUCCACGCCUCCAAGCCAACCAAACUCGAGGAUUUCACUAUCAAAGCCUCCCAAAUCUUUAAGUUCUUACAAUUAACUUCCAAGGUGUCAAUGAACCUUUACAAUCAAGAGAUUAUCUCUCCAAUCUAUUCACCCCAAUUAUUUCUCACACUUGUACACUUACAAUUUGAUGAGAAAUGAACAAUUACAACAAAAACUCUCUUUAAGAGUGGAUUUGCAAAUAAUAGCAUAAUAAUGAUUCAAUAAAUGAUGAUUUACGAAAUGGAACCUCAAUAUGUGUUAUAUGAUCUUAUUUAUGCUUGCAUUAGUCUUGAAAAUGAAGAUGGAGUUAAGGUUUUAUAGCUAAAGCCCAAAAACUAACCGUUAUAGGCAAAUUCCAGCGCUCAAGCGGUUAGCCGCUUGAUUUAUCCAACUAGCCGCUCCAGAACAAUGAUGUUACCAUUAAAUUUGAAUUUUCCGAUAGUAUCAUUGUUCAUUAAAUUACAUUUGUGACCAAAACUUUCUAUAAUUAUAUUAUAGCCCAACAUGUCAUAAAACUUUGCAAAUAAGUCUAAUUUCAGAAUUUCUAAAUAAUACCUGUCAUUCCUAAAUCUUAUUGUAAUUAUGAUAUGACCUAGUAUAUAAUAACAUUUUUCAAAAAGUCCUUUUCAAAAUUUAAAAUAAUACCCAUAAAUUUUAAAGUUCUCAAAUCUUUUCAAUUUAGUCCAAAAUUUAAAAAUAUGAGACUUUCCUCAAGCGGUUAGCCGCUCACUCUCUGUUCAAUUUUUUAUUUCAAUUGUUUGGAUUACGUUUUGGUCCUCAAACUUUCUUAAAUUGUAAUAUGACCCAAAAUAUUUCAAAUAUUUGCAAAUAAAUCUAAAUUCGAAAUUCAAAAUUCAAAUUUCAAAACAAUAUUUAAUAAAAUAAAAGAUUGCAAAACUUUUUCAUUUUAGUCCAAAUUACUCAAAUCCACAAAAUACUUUAUCUUAUAAAUAUAAAACCUUUUAGUUUAUGAAAGGUAAUUAUUUAAAUAAACUCUUGAGUUUCUCAAAUGCUAAAUCAUGUAUCAAUUAAAUCAUACCGACUUUACAAGAAUUUGUCACAAUAAUUUGUUCGUUGAGCUUUAAACUUUAUUCUUGAUUUUGCCGUUGUCCGUUGAGUGUCUUGAACUUGAUUCACUUGCAUAAAUAUUAUCCUUAAAAAACUAGUAAAAAUGUGAAAUACAAUAUUUAUUAAAUCACUUAAGACACAUGUUUGUUAUCAUCAAAAUUACAUUAUGGGUAGCCCUUUAGGCUAACACUGUAGCCUACUCAAGUAUAUAGUUUCUUCAUUAGGCCCCAAAACCAAAAUCCUAAAAGUAUCUCCAAAAAGUUCUAUUAAUUUUACUCUUCAAAUAUUUAUUUGCUUACCUAUGUGGUAAAAAUGAGAGUGAAAAAAUAUGUUAUUCUCCAAAAGACUCUUUAAAUAGAAAUAAGUUAAUAUUAUUUUAAUCAAAUAAAUAUUUUUUCAAAGGAAAAAUAAAUGGUAAUUAAAGCAUUUCUCUCUCUUUCUCCCCAAUAAAAAGUAAUAAAAUAUAAAUUGAAGAGAGAGAAAGUAACUCUACAAAUUAAAGAGAGAGAAUUAUUUCUUAUUUGAAAAAUCUUAAUUAGAGUAUCUUUUGAAGUCUUAAAUACUGAUGUAACUCUUCAAAUAAGUAAUAAAAUCUUAUUUGAAGAUUUUUUUAGAGAUGCUCUAACUUCACCACUAGAUUUACUUGAGUAUUCAACAAUACUCGACUUACUCGAGCGUAGGUGAUUUAGUUAUACUUAAUUGACUACUAAAACAAUUUAUUCGACUUACUCGACGAUACUUUACUUAGGUCACUCCAUGUACUAAUAUUUUACUAUUUUUCUAAGUGGUACAUUUAAUUACAAAAAUCCAUGAAAAUUUGAUAAUGAUGAAAUGCUUAAUAAAUAAGGGUAUUUGGUCGAAUCAUAACAAUGUUUGUUAAACACUGGUCUAAUAAUAAGUAGUCAUUUUCUGAUGAAAUAAAAUUAAAGCUGACAAAAUUUAACAUGACUGGUUUACUCUAUACAAAUACAACAUGAAUAAAUAUGUAUCUAUCAUGAAAAUUGACAUGAUUAUUAAAUGAAUUUGGUCUAAGUCAACCCAAUUGUUUCCCGUGUCAGGCUAGAAUUCAAUUUUUCAAUGCAUUUACUUGGUCAAUGACGUGAUUGUUAAAUAGUUAACCAAAACUAAUUCAUAUUUGCAUUAAAAUAUACUUAUAUUUUCAAUUCUAAAUUAAUUUAUAGAAUCUUAUCAUUAAAACUCAAAAUUUGGUCAUGAUUCUAGAUGAACAUAUAUUUGAUGUUCUAUUUUGUAAAAUUCUUGAUAGAUUUAAAACUUCAAUGGUUCAUACAUGUUGUAUUUGCAUCAAAUGAGUGUGUAGUAUUUGAUGUAAAUCGUGUUAGAAUUUAAAUAGGUAUUCAGUGAAUUUUUAGGUUAUAUCAUGUUAGAUGACACAACUACCUAGUUAUUAAAAGAGCGUAUCAAGUCACUAUUUUAUUUUUCGUAUCGAGUUCAAAUUUUAAUAUUUUAACAUUUUAUUUUUCGUAUCAAGUUCAAGUUUUAAUAUUUUAACACGAUUAUUAAAUAAGUCGUGUUUUAACCAACAUAAAUUUAAAACAACACAAAAUUGACACAAUAUGACUGGCUUAAUGACCUAUUUUGUUAGUUUUAUUUAAAACCAUCUAAUCUAUUAAAAAAAAAAAAAAACGGUCCAUGGGCCUAGCCCAAAUAUAAAUUCAACAAAACCAGCUCCCGCUCAAUCACACUCUCUCGGUCGUUCCCUUCACUCUCCAAAACCCCCCAUUCCAAACAAAACCCUCAUUUUUCCCUCUUAACGAAGUCACUUUCUCGAGAACCAAACAUUCCCUUAGAUCUCCAAUUUCAUAAUGAGAGAAGAAGAAAUAGAGAAACUUCGAGGAUUGGUUCGCGACUGUGUGAGUAAGCAUUUGUACUCGUCGGCCAUUUUCUUCGCCGAUAAAAUCGCCGCUUUGACCAAUGACCCUACUGGCCUGUACAUGCAGGCUCAGGCUCUGUUCCUUGGCCGCCACUACCGCCGUCCAUUUCACCUCCUUAACGCCUCAAAAAUUGUGCCCCGUGACCUCCGAUUUCGUUACUUGGCUGGUAAGUGUCAGGUAAAGUUCUGUUUUUUGAUUGCAUUAGAAAAUUUGAAUUUCAGAUUUUGUGAUUUGUGCUUUUUGCGUUUUUAGUUUUUUUUUUUAUGUUAUGAAAAAGGGAAAUUUUGAAAAUUUUAACUUGAAAUUCGUGUUCUUUUUAUUUUAGAACAAAAGAAUUUCAAUGAAAAAUAUUUGGAAAUUGAAUUGCUCUAGCAAAUUUGCAUGUGUUGUGUGUUUUAAGAAAAUGAAAACUAGAUUUUGAGCAAUUAAGGAGAGAUUAUGGACUUUGAGCUGAAUGGUUUUGAUCAAUUUUUUCUUGAAUGUUUAUUUGUUUAUACAACUGGGUAGUUUUUCUUUUACUUAUUUAUUUCUGGUCUGUCCUUUGUAUAAUUAGGAGGAACUGAAGGAGUGGGACUAGUGUUUGUCGAUGCUCGGUGAUGCUAAGGUCGAUGAAGAUGGUAAUGUUUUUGACACAAAGGAUAGCAAUGUCAUGUACUUAGAUAAAGAUGGGGAAGACAGAGAAAUCAAUGUAAGUUUUUGUUUGUAAUCUCAUUUUAUCUGGCCUUUUAUUUUUUAAUUUGUUGCAUAUUUGUUGUAUACUUGACCCAAUAUUUCUUUUUUCUAUUACAGAUCUCUUCAGCUAUAUGCUUUUUGAGAGGCAAAGCAUAUGAAGCCUCAGGAAAUUGUGCCCAAGCUCGGCUGUGGUUAGUUUCUUGCGAUGAAUUUACAUGAAAAUCACUCUGCUUAAUUGUAAAAUGCUUUAUGGUUAUUUUCCCUUAGUUUUUCAGCCAAAAUGAUACCAACUUAUACUGUCUAACAGUCUUCUGUUAUAGUAACUUAGGUGUAGUAAUUUAACGUACUGUUAAAGAAAGGAAAUGACUUUAUUGUUUUAAUGCGAGAAAUUUGAACAUUGUUAUAAACUUGUUUAAGUUGGGCAUAAGUAAAUUUAUCUUCAAUUUCAUUACUGAGCAGAUUUUGUUUGAAUGCAUGAAUGUUUGAUAUAUGUGUUUAAUAGCCAAGGAGUUUGUUUAGAUACUACUUUAAGAAUUAUCUAUAUAUAGAUUGGGUAGUCUAGAAAACUCUCCUUGAUUAAAUCAAUGUAUAAUUUUGAUAAGACAGUUUAAAAUGUUAACAUCCUAUGUCUUCUGGAGUCCAUUUGGUGACACAGGAAUGGUAGUGUAUGCUGGGAUGGUUUAGUUCAAUAAGGCUAUUAGUUCUGUUCUACUUUUUCAAAGAGGUUGAUUGCCAAAUUAACAGCCACAUGAAGGAGAUUGUCUUUUUUUUUUUUUUUGUGUAUCCUGAAUUGUUUUUGCUUCCAACCACAAUUCUGGUCUUCUAUUGGUUCACACUUCCUACUUCUAUCUCGAUGAUUUUAUCUGCAAUACCUCAUUACUAAAUUCAGCUCUAACAACAGAGGAACUUAUUUGCUUCCUCUUUAUCUUGUUCCAUUACUAGCUUUCAUGUGCAGCAUUUUUAGAAUGUUAAAGACUAAUAGUACAGAAAGGUGGUUUUAAAUCAAAUGUAACAAGAUUCAAUUGACAGAUCAGCUAUGCUUCACUCCAUGUGGUUACCUACACACCUGGAUAUUUGUUUUAGAGUUUUAUGCUGUCUGAAUUAGUGGCCUCAUUUUGUUAUCUGAUUGAAAGCUUGCAUGUAUUUCGGUAAGUUAGGUUCUUCCCUCAACUCUUUUUCUUUAGUAACUAUCAUGGUAUUGUUUUAUAACCUUAAUUAGUUUCUCUUUGGUUUUUCAUUUGUCAGUAUAUCUGCUCUAUUCUGUUCAAUUCCUUUUUCUCUAUUCUCUCAGUUAUGUUGAACUAAAACGCUGUAGUUCAUACAAAGGCUUGCUAUAUUUUUUCAUAAUGAUUUAAGGUACAAAGCAGCAAUCAUAGCUGAUCCUUUGUGCUAUGAGGUAUGCAUGACACGCUAUCAAUGUUUUUUUUUUCCUUUCCCCCUAGGGAUAAGCUGGUGGGGGGAGCGUCCCGUUCUCAAAAACUCCUUACCUUGAAUUUUGUGGCUGCAUAAAUUUCAGACAUGACUUUCUAUGCAAAAUAUUACAACCUGUGGAAACUGUUGCCUUCUCAAGGAUUAGAAAAUUACUCAAAAGAGGGCUAGAUUUUUUGAGCUAGGCUUGUCCCUUUUUUUUUUUUUUGUAAAUAGAAUUUUAAUCCUUUUCUUUAAUUUGACCUCUGCUGAUCACAUAGAUGUCUCAUCUGGAUGUUCCUUAUAAGAUAUAUCGAUCCUCAUUCUUUAUGAUUUUUUUUAUGGCUGUACCUUGAUUUCUUUUUCAGGCUUUGGAAUGCCUUAUAGGAAAUCACAUGCUAACAUGCGAGCAAGGUAAUGAUGUAGUUUUUUCCUAGUCAUCUGUUUCUUUCAUCUGAGAGAAGUGGAUUAUGAAAAUGUUUACAGUUUGAAUUAUAGUUCUUACAUAAGUGCGCACGCACACACACACACACAUAAAUGAAAUUAUAGUCACACACAAACAUGUUGAUAUAAAUUUAAUUUGGCAAAAAUUUCUUUGGCUGUGUUCAACUAGCAUUGGAUUUUUCAUGGAACAUGUUAUAAUAGGCUAAUACUUUAAAUUUUUGGAUUUGCUGUUGAAUUUCAGAAACAAGUUUACUUUCAUCAUUGGAAUUUGGUUUUGAAGAUGGAUGGCUUUCUUCAUUCUACUCAUGUUUGAUAAAAAAGGUGAACUGUGUGCAAAUUCAUUAUAUGCUCUUCCAAAUGUAAACAUUUCAAUAAUAAGUUUCCCAUAUGUUUUCGUGAUGUCGAUUCUUUUUGCUGUGUUUGAGUGCAGUGAACAAUUUCUUUCCUUCUUUCCUGUCUCCCUUUGUUUUAUGCAGUAUGACAAGGAGAAUGUUGUAGAAGCCAAAUUCGGAGAAAUUGAAAAAGAAAGAUGUGAUAGUGUCCAUUCGAGCCCAUCCUUCUCACACAGUCUGAAAAACAAUACUGAUCUUUUAGAGGGCUUAUUAUUCUGUCGACCUGCGAUACUAGAUUUCAGAAAUCUUCUCUUCACACAGUGUUCUUGGCUCUCUAAUUGUCAAAAAGUUGAAAAGCCUUUUUCUGUCUGAUGCAUCAUAUAUAUGCAGUUUAAUAUUUGUGGACUUCAAUAAUAUUGAUUACCUUGAUUAUAAUAUUUUCAAUUGUAUGGUUUUUGGGUUUCUUCUUGGUAGGAAAGAUUUUUGUCUUUUUCUUUUUUUUUGGCUUGAUUCUUCUUCUUUUAUUAUUAUUAUUGUUACUGUUUUCCCAUUCACCAAGGAAAAAAAUUGGAAACUUGGCUCCACCUCGCAAAAAGUUUUAGAGCGCAUUUUAAAUUCUCGAAUUUGGGGAAAUUGGAUUGGAGAAUUGGGAAUGAUUGAUUGGUGUUUUCCUUGGCUAAAAACAUUGAAAGAAUGACGAUCGGAUUUUUGGGUGGAGCUCACAAGUUGGGAAAUGAGGAUUGGGAAUCCCGUUGCCAAAGGGGAGGGGGGAAUGCAAACGGAAAUUAACACUUUUACCCUUAAAGAAAUUAAAAUUUUAUUUUUUUCCUUNNNNNNNNNNNNNNNNNNNNNNNNNNNNNNNNNNNNNNNNNNNNNNNNNNNNNNNNNNNNNNNNNNNNNNNNNNNNNNNNNNNNNNNNNNNNNNNNNNNNUUUGUCGCUCUUGUUAAUAUAUCCUUUGUGGAUUUCAUAUGAGGUUUGAAAUGUUAUUUAGUGAAAUUUAAUUUCUUGUUGGCUCUAUUCACCACAGCAAGGCUACAAAUCUUGAUGGGACAUUCGCCCCCGCUUGGAUAGGUUAUGGAAAUGCUUUUGCUGCUCAAGAAGAGGGUGACCAAGCAAUGUUGGGUUAUCGCACUGCUGCUUGUUUGUUUCCAGGGUAAUUUUUAGCAUUAUUUAUUCAUUUCUGUACCUUUCUGAUUUUCUUUUCCUUGGAUCAGCAUAUUCAUGCAAUGAGGACAAGGACAAAGCCACUAACUUGCUUUUGAGCAAGUUUCAGAACACUUUUAGAAUUUCAUUUUUGGCUUCUUUUUUUUAACUUUUUUGGUCUCUGAAAGAUAUCUUAAGGGUAGGGUUUGGUUGAUUUUGCUCAUCUUGAUUUCAUGUAAUCCAUGAAAUUUCUGUUGCUUCAGCUUAAUCUGUUUCAAGUGCGCUACCACUAUAAAAAUUGGGUUUCAUGGGUUAUCAACCAAGAUUUUUUUUUUCUCCUUUGAUUUAAUAUUAAUAAACUGUUUUACCAAUAUAAACUUUUGAUGAAUGCUUCGCAUUUGAUUUCCAUAUUUCUUCCUGAGAAAUGUUGUAAGUUGAUUAAACAUAGUCUUAAAUCGACCCAAGGCAUUGUUGUAAUGUCUUUCUAUUUUGAUAAUAAGCCACACUGUCAUAGUAGUUUUAUGGUCGUAAAGAUCAAUGAAUUUCAUUGUUUAUUGUUUAGUGAUGGUAUGCAUUGUGUUGUGGGAGUACUCUUAUCACUAUGAAUUGUCUUUUUACAGGUUGAAUCUUGAUGUUCUCUUAUUCCAGGUGCCAUUUACCAACUUUGUAAAUUGGAAUGGAGUACAUGCGAACUCACAGCUUUAAGCAUGCCGAACAGGUGUAUUACCUUCUUCUAAAUAUAGACUGCCUUUCAUUUUUCUCUUUAGAUUUCAGUGAGAACUCUUAAGAGGUUGUUUGUUUGCAAUAUGAAGUCUGAUUGUUGGAUAUUCAGAUGUUGGUCUAUACGAUUUGCUAGUUGAUGUUGUCUUGGGGGUUUCAUUUUCCUCUUUGGAUUUAAUGUGAAUACGACUUCUUUCCUCUUUGUUUAAUUGCGACAACUUCUAACAGAUGCUAAUCACAAUCUUUAUUCAUGAUUCUGAGACCUGUGUAAUUAGAAUUUUGGUCAUAUCGUCCAUUUUCCUUUGUUGUCAAAAUAAUGUCUUCUUUAUCCAAAUCUCUUAGUCAUAAUUCUUUGAAUAUAUUGUUGAAUUUCUGAUUAGCUGUCCUUUCUCCAGUUUUUCAUGCAGGCAAAGAACAUAUGCCCAUCAGAUCCACUUGUAUAUAAUGAACUUGGUGUUGUUGCUUACCACAUGAAGGAUGUUUGGUUCACUUGAGUUGCUGUUUUCUGUUGAUCCGUUUACUUUAUUAGUGUUUCAUUUUUAAUAAUAUUAUUACUUAAGGAUAUGAAAUUCUAGUUGAUUUAAACUUAGGUCUUGUUUGGUGUUGAGGUGUUGUAGAUUUUAAGCUACAGGUGUUGUGGAAAAAAGCUACAACUAUUAAAUAAAAGUUAAUAGCUUGUAGUAAAUAUAAUUUUUAAAUAAUAAUUUUGACAAAAUUAGUAAAGAUAUAAUAAAGUUUUCAUCAUACAAGCGUAAAAUCAAAUCAAGUUAACUUUCAAGCUACAACAACUGGUGUUUACCAAAUACUUUAGUACUUUAGUUUUUAAGCUAUAGUUGUUCAACUCAAUACCAAAUGGUGCCUUUCAGGAAUUGUGCUCUUUUUAUUGUUAUAUGUUAUGGCUUUUGUAUGAGUUCCCAAUCACCAGUUUGACCAGCAAUUAUUUGAAAUGUGUGGUGGUUUGAAAAGACCUUGGCGCACAUUCCGUCCUCUUUAAGUGAAAUGUGGGAACCAACUGUGGUGAAUCUUGCACAUGCUUACAGAAAAUUAAAGUAUGUUUAAAUUUAUUGGAAUAGGCUGUCUCACUUGCUUUUUCUUGUUCUAUUGCCUACUCAGGAUAUUUAUCCUUUAUUUUAUUGUGUUUUUGUUGAAUUUUACAUGAAAUAUCAUUCAGAUAUCUAGAUUUGUUUUUUUUUUUUGGCUAAAUUUUCAAAUAGAGGAUCAUCUUUAUCUUGAUAAAUGCAUUUUAUUUUAGGGAUUCCAGCAUAGGGUAAGAUUUUUCAGUUUGCAUCGUCUGAGAUUGUGAGCAGCAUGAAGAUAUAAGAAAGAAGUAUAACCUUCCUUAUACCGUCAUGGCUGCUUAUGGUCAGCUUUGCCCAGUAAGCUCGAGAGACUACUAGGAGCCGUAGAAGUUGUCUGUAGCACUUCCUAAAAGGACUUGAUGCAAAUAGUUUAAAUAAGGAUAUGCCGGAUUAUGGAUUGGUCUACUCUCUACUGGCUACUUCAUAUGCUACCCUUUUAUAUGUUUUUAUCUUUAUGGAAUAGUACUUUUUUUUCAUGUUUUUGCUUUUUUCCUUCUUAGUAGGCAGUGGGUUUAGGUUUAUUUCUAGUAUUGCUAAUCUAUAAACAUACAUUUGACUUAUUGUUUAUUGAACCUGAUUCUAGAAUCUAUCAUGUUUCAGGAUAUAUCACGAGGCAAUAUCCUGUUACGAGCGAGCGCUGAUGUUGUCGAAUAGAAGUUUGAGCACCUAUGCAGGUUGUGCUUACACUUACCAUUUGCAGGUAUGGUGGAUUUAUUAUUAAUUCAUUUUCAAUGAAAACUUGUGUGCCUAUGAAUAUUCUGCUGAUGUGAGGAGUAGUUAGCAAAUUGAUCUAAGUGGUAUUUGUUAGCAAAUACUAGUUUAUUGGAUGCAUCUAAUAUUUGCAGCUUAGGGUUUAAAAAACCAUUGUCAGAUCUUCACCGUUGCGUUCAAAAAACUGCUAGAGUCUAUGGUGGCGAAUUUGUUUCUUUUGGGUCUCUUGUGCAGGAUAACUUCUCUGCUGCCAUUACAUAUUAUCACAAGGUAAACUAAAAAGUACUCUUGCUGUUUCCUUUAUGUGCAAUAAGCGUACUGUCUAUCGUAGUCAUCCACUGUUGAAGAGACAACUCUAAUCUCGCUACAUUAUAUGGAUCAUUGAUUUGCUUUUUCAUUCUAAUCUGCAAAUCAGGCAUUGUGGCCGAAGCCAGAUGAUCAGUUUUGUACCGAAAUGUUAAGUUUGGCUCUUGUUGAUGAAGAUCGCCAUGGCAUUGACCCCAAAAUCGAAUUUGAGUGUAAUUUGUUAUUCAUACCUAUAACAGUUUAAUUAUUUUGGUAUUGGUGAAGGGCUUUUAUUGUAUAAGCUCAGGGUGAAGGGCUUUUAUUGUAUAAGCGCAGGGGUGUCAUCUUCAUCUAUAUUCUACCUUUUACAUUAUUAAUUUAUUUCCUCAUUUGUUGAAAUCUACUUGGCUUAGAAGUGAUUUAAAUUGCUUUCUUUCAUGGAACCAUUUUCUUCACAGUUUUUAUUAUUUACCACCAAACAGUUAAGUCCAUUAAGAAAUUAAUGAUGUCACAUGGAUAUUUCAAGAAUUUUAGUUUAUUAAGCUGGAAGUAUUAUAAUAUUUACAAUUUUAUCAAUUGAUCAAUUUGGAUAAAUAAAACAACCAAUUGAUAAAAGUAUUAUCUCUUUGUGUAUGAUUAACUUUAUUUUUUUAUUGAUUUGGAAGAUUAAACCUAUUUUCACAAUUUAGGGGUAAACCAGACUUUUAGUAUAAAUUCUAUUAAAAUUUUGUUAUUUUAGCAAGUAAAAUGUAAUAGUUGGAAUAUUAAACUGUAAAAAUAUAAUUAUUAAAAAAAUUUACUAAUAAAGUGAUAUAUUAGACGAAGUUAGGCGAUAAAGAGAUAACAUCCCUCUUAGGAAUUAAUUAUAUUAGUUUACAACCUUGUAAUCCUUUGUUAAGCAGCAAAGUAAAAUAUCUUUUAUUGAGUAUUUUUGUUUCCUAUUUAACACAUGCAAUCUUUUAUUAAAUGAAAAAAGAUUUUUUUUUUAAAAUAAAUAAAUAAAAGAGGAGCAAGGCCGAAAUCAAAAGAGUUAAAUUUCGUCGAGCCUCGUGUACUCAGUUUAGAAUUCUAAAUUCACAAGUCUAAUUAGGUUUAUAUUAUUAUUAUGAUAUUAGUUAGAAAGGCAGCUAGUAAGCAAGUCGAAUAAGACAGCUAUUAUUAUUAUUAUUAAGUUUUUUUGGCCUCCUGCCUUUCCUCUUAUGUGAACUUUGUUGAACGACUAAAGAAAGCAUCGGCUAAGCUUCUGAGUCUCAUCCAAAAAUUAUUGGUUUAUACCAAGAUUCCUAAUUGCUACCAUUUGAAUUGUUUUUCAACUUCUAGUUCUCAUAAUUUUGAGAACAAUGAAACAUGAAAAUAAUUGCUUUCUUUGGUGAUUGAUUGAUGUGAUUCUAUUUCAUUGGAUCAUUUUAUUGAAUCUAUUUUUUCAUUGCUACAACCAAAAAUGCUAGUGGGAUCUCUUUCUAGUUUCUAGAAGUACUCUAAUCGCCCUGUUCCUUCUUGAACAUUAAUUGUAGGCUUUUCUGCUACACAACCUUUAAUCUUUUUGAAGUUAGAAUCAAAAGGGGUUUAUCAAAUCUCGAUCCUCCCCAAUUUAGGAUUUCAUAAACAAAAAAUAACUUUGAGAAUAGGGAUCUCUUUUAAAAAAAAAUAAAUUAAUUAAGAAUAAGAGUGAACUACUAUGAAAUUAGUGAGUUCUAAUUAGUUUAAUUAAUAAAUCUUUAUACUAAACUAAGAGAUUUAGAUUUUAAUCAUGUUCACGUGCAUAAGUAGUUACCAAUAUUACUAUGUUUAAGAAAAGUGGUACAAUAGUUUGUUUCAUGUACAUUAUUUUAUUAUUUAUAAUUAAUUAUCACAUUUCUUUUUUUUUUUUAUUAUUAUUGGUUAAAUGAAUCACGAGAUCAAUGGUACGGAUUUAUGAUUGGGAUAUAAGGAAGAAAUCAAUAUGAACUAGCUAAGAAAAUGGAGGAUUAAAAUGAGAAUGGAACAUGAAUCUCUUAAAACAUGGGCAUUUGGUAUCUUGAAUUUUUCUAGUUUAUUAUUAUUAUUUUUGUCGUCGUCGUCGUCUUUGAGGGUGUUUAGGUCAAUUUAUAGUGUAGAUGCCGAUAAGUACAGAAUAGAUGAGUCAACAUAUGUUGAUAGGGAGGUGAAUUCUUUUUCUUUUUUUUUUAUCAUUUUUUAAUGAUUUUUUUUGUCAUUUAUUCUUUUAGCAACUUUAAUUUUUUUUUAAGACUUUUUGUUCUCAGUGGAAACACGAGAUGCACGUGAGGUGGUUGUUAAUUUAGGAGUUGAGUUGAGUUUUUUUACUGAACAUUAAAUUAAUAUUUAUUAAAUAAAAGAAUAAAAAGAUAAAAAUGUAAAAUAAAUUCUAUUAAUAUAUUGUUCGUAAAAAUUAAGUUCAAUAUUGAAUUCUCUAAUUCGUUGUUUAACCUAUAAUUUUGAAAAAAAAUAAAAAAUGGAAAAAAUAAAAAGAAAACAUAAUAAACUAUUAAACCAUAUGACGUUAUAAUAUGAAUACGUUAUCUUGUCACUUUCUUUUUAAGUUAUAUGAUUUUAUAAGUAAAUUUAGAGUCCAGUUAAAUUACAGGGUGAGUAAUUUACAACCCAACCACUUUGUACAAAUAUGAAUAUUUAUAAGAGGGGUCUGGGCUGCAAGUUACUACUAAUGCUUUAACUUAGCGAAAAACCUUAAGUCUAUCUUUUUUGGGAUUAUUUUCUGGGAGAUUGCCACUUUCUCCUUUACAGUAAUUAAUAUAUACCAUUUAUCCCUUUGUUAUUUUGAAAAUGAUAAAAAUCUCAUUGACAGUAUAAGUUACAAUAUUAUCUUUAUUUGUAACUACUCUUUUAUUUAUAUUUAUUAUAAAUUAAAUAAAUUACAUGAAUAUAAACUAAAUAAAAAAAUUAAGUAUUAAAAAUAAGAAAUAUAUGUUUUGAUAUGAGCAAAAAAAUUAAUAAUAAAAUUUUUUUCUUGUAAUUAUUUAUUUUGCAAACAUUUUCUUAUAAUAAACAUUUUGUAAUAUUUUAAAAGUAAAUGUAAAAAGUAUAGGCAAAAUAUUUUAUUAUUUAUCUUAUAAUAAAUUUUUAUUUGUCAUUCAAGUUUUCUUAUAAUAAUUUUUUUAUCAUUUUAUAAUAACUUUCUUAUAUAUUUAUUAUAAGAAAAUUUUUACAAAAUAAAUAAGUACAAGAAAAAAAUUCAUUAUUAAUUUUUUAUAUUAAAAUAUAUAUUUCUUAUUUUUAAUGCUAAUUUUUUAUUUAAUUUAUAUUUAUGUGAUUUAUUUAAUUUAUAAUAAAUAUAAAUAAAAAAAUAAUUAAAAAUAAAAAUAAUAUUAUAAAUUUAUACUAUCAGAGGAAUUUUUAUCCAUUAUAAAAAUAAUAAGAAAAAAUAAUAAAUGUUCAUUACUGUUGGGAGAAAUUCACAAUCUCCUUAUUUUCUCCAUUUGGAUAACAUCACUCGAACUUUAGUUGACCACGUGUCAACAUUUCAAUGGUUUCAUAUCAAAUUAUUAGCUGUGAAUUAUUGAGUGAGAAAACAUACCGGACCCCCAACUUUUGCUUUUACGUGAACAUGAAUCAGAUCCUCUUUUUUUUUUUUUUUUUUUUUUUUCUUUUUGAUAUAGUGAAUCAGAUUCUUGAAAAGCUGUGAAGUGGGGAGCGAUCGUUUAAGUUAUUUAAAUUUAAAGCCGGCAAUAAUUGAAGCCUUAGGAUUGUUAUUGAUUAUUACCUCCACCAAAGCUUUCUGAAAAAACAGAUUAAGAAAAUUUUUUUUUUUUUUGUUUUCCUCGAAACGACAUAAGACGAUCGCUCUUAAUUUUAAAUAACUCCAGUUGACUUACCGUUGAACUGGAAGGACAUAAGGAGAAUGACCUUCUCAUUUUCCAUCUGUCAUAAAAAUUUAUUUAAAAAAUAAGUGCAUAAACUAAGCCGGGCUUAACGUUUUAUUUUUAACCAAUAUAUAUAUAUAUAUAUAUAUAUAUAUAUAUAUAUAUAUAUAUAUUAUAGAAAAUGAUAUUUACAUCCCAAGAUUUAGGAAAAUAGUCACAAAAACUCUUGAGUUUUUAAUAAAGGACACCAAAACUCUUUUUGACCAUAAUGCCUUUUGACUCUAUAAAUCUAAAAAGAAAAAUAACUCUAAAAUUUUAUAAUGAAUAGAAAUAUGACAUUAAAAUAAAUGUAAUAAGAUAUACAUUUCAAAAUAAUUUUAAUAUCUAAAAAUAUUUUAAUAUUUUUAAUCUAUUAGACCUCUUUUAUUAUAUUAAAGCAAUUUUUAAUAAUAAAUAGAAACAAAAUAUUAAAAUAAAAAUUAUUUUGACUAUUAUGUAAAAGUUAAUUUUAAUAUUAUUAAUAGAGAGAUUUUUUAAAUUGUAAAAUCUAUUUAACCCAAAGAUUAUUUAAAAUCUUUUUAAUAUUACAAUUAUAUUAUUAAAAUAAAUAUAAUAAUCUAAAAUUUUAAUAUUAUUUUAAAUGUUAAAAAUAAUUUAAUAUUAUUAGUCUACCAAAUAGAUUUAUAUUAUUUAUAUAAAAUUUGUGUUAGUUAAAAAUUUUUAAAAUCAAUUUUUUAAUUAAUAUAAUCAAAAGUAAUUGUGGGCAAAAAAAAGUUUUUGUAUCUUUUUUUUAAGACUUAAAGAGUUUUUUGUAACUAUUUUCCCAAAUCUUGGAAUGUAGUUAUUCUUUUUCUUUUUUUAUCCCAUCUCAGUUUUUUUACAAGUAUUCAAAUAUUAGUACGUGAAAUAUAUUUUAAAAUAUCCAUCAAUUUAUUAUUUCUUAAAGUACCUUUUAUUAAUAAAUAGCAUAAUACACACGAAGCACCAUUGAUAUUGAUGUUCAUACAUCUGAAUCAAUUUUCGAGUCUACGUCAUGAUUUCUACGUCACGAAUUCUCUUAUUUAAGGCAAACCUCAUAGAGGCAAUCACAAAACAUGAAGAAAAUUGAUUUUGUUCCUAGUCCUCACUUUCUAAAAAGAAUUUUUGUUGAAGCUAUAUAUAUAUAUAUAUAUUGAAUCUUUUGAAAAAAAUUGCUUCCUGAGCAUAUGAUUUCUUGCUGGGUUUCUUCAAUUGCUCUUCUUGUUCAGUUGUUAAAACUUUCCAGUUUCCUCUCUGUAGUACAAAGAAUAUUUGAUCAUUGAAGUGCCACCUUCGUAGUGUUAAUUUCGGUGAUGGAGUCCGCUGCUCAAGUGAGGGAUAUCGAUGCUUUGUAUGAGCUAAUUCGACAUGAUCAAUAUUUUUUGGACAACUUUGACGAGAAACCUUUUGUCGAUACUCCUUUGCAUGCUGCUGCAAGGGAUGGAAAUGUUGAAUGGUCCAUGGAGAUUAUCAGACUAAAGCCAUCAUUUGCCAGGAAGCUAAACCAAGAUGGCUUCUCUCCGGUGCAUUUAGCUUUGCAAAAUGAUCAAACUCAGUUAGUGCUUCAGCUGAUAGAUAUUGAUCCGGACCUUGUUCGUGUCCAAGGAAGAGAAGGCAUCACUCCUUUGCAUUUCGUGUCUGAAAAAGGAGACAUCCAUCUGUUGAGGGAAUUUUUGUCUGCUUGUCCGAAAUCUCUUGAAGAUGUGACCAAUAAAGGCGAGACUGCUCUUCAUAUUGCUUUGAAAAACAAUAACGUCGAAGCUUUUGAUCAAGCCUUAACAACAGUACAACCACCGUGGUUUGACCUUGAAGAAGCUCAACAAUACAAUCCAGGAAUCCUCAACUUGAAGGAUAGGGAUGGCAACACUUUGUUACACAUAGCAACAUCCAAAAGUCAAGUCCAGGCAAGCUCGAAUUCACACACACACAUAUAUAGAAAUUUUCCAAUGAGGUGCAGGCACCCUCAUUUUUUCCUUUUUAAUAUAGACAUGCUGUCUUUUCUUUUUUAAUAUAGACAUGCCGUUAAAUCACGUGCUUUAAUAUAGAUAAUUCUUAAUUCAUUAUAAAGCCAUAUAUUUUAAUAGCAUACCUGUAUAUAGUUUAAUAACGUAUCCGCAUGAGAAAAAAAUGAAAGUGUUUGCAUGAAAAAAAGGACUAUAUAAAUAUAUAUAUAUAUAUAUAUAUAGUAUCUAAUGAACUUAUCUUUAUUUCAACAAAGUAAGGAUGCCAUUAAUAAAUAUAAAAAGAAAAUCUUGAAUAAAUUAAAAUAUGUGUUCUUUUGUAUUUUAUUUACAUCUUUACUUCAUUAAAGUUUCUCUCAUAUACGGUCACAAAUAAAAUUCACAAAUAAAAUUCAGUUGAAUGAUGAUUAGACAGAUUAUUGCUAUUUCCACUUCCUGAUGAUGUCUAAAUUGAUGAAUUUGCUCAUCCAAAGCAGAUUGUAAGGCGUUUAUGGAAUUGCAAAGUUGAUACAAAUGCCCAGAAUUCGGAAGGUUUGACACCUUUAGAUAUUUCAUUACUUGAUCAAACUAAAUCAGAAAACCAAGAGAUUGCGGCAAAGCUGCGGGAAGCUGGAGCACUAGAGGCAACUUCACUUCCUACUACCGACAAGGAUAGACAUUUAUCGAGGUAACAGGAACACUGCUCUUUUACUAAAUUACAGUCCAUUUAUCGAUUAUCUUUUUAAAAACAAUAUGGCAUUUUCAUACUAUGUACAUCUCAAAAAUUGUUUAAUGUCCUUCAGAAGUAAGGAUCAGAGGCUGAACGAGGCUGCUAAAACAGGAAAUGUUGAUGCCUUGUAUGAAUUAAUAUGUGAGGACGCAUAUCUUUUAGAUCAGAUAGACGAAGUACCAUUCGUGGAUACUCCUUUACAUAUAGCAGCAUCAAUGGGGCAUGUCAACUUUGCCCUGGAGAUAAUGAGGUUAAAGCCAUCAUUUGCAAGAAAGCAAAACCAAUAUGGAUUUAGUCCCCUGCAUCUUGCUUUGCAGAAGAAAGAUACCCAAAUGGUGCGUCGGCUCAUAGAUGUGGACAGAAAUCUUGUUCGUGUCCAAGGAAGGGAGGGUGUAACGCCUCUACACUAUGUUGCUGAGAAAGGAAAUGUCGAUAUUCUAUGCCAACUUCUAGAGGCUUGCCCUGAGUCCAUCACAGAGGUGACAAUCCGUAAAGAGACUGCUUUGCAUGUUGCUGCAAAAAAUGACCAGUUGGAGGCCGUUGAGUGCAUGCUAGGAUGGCUUCGAUAUGUCGAUAUGGAGGAUAUCCUUAACUGGACGGACGAUGAAGGCAACACUUUAUUGCAUAUCACAAUCUCCAAAAGUCAAAUAAAGGCAUGAAAUUUUUUUAAAUUUUACUUCAGUUAGUCCCUAUAUUUUCAUGAUUAUUAAUUGCAUGCAUAUAUAAAUAUAUCCUUGCAGUUGGUGAGGCUACUAGUUAAAAGAGCACGUGAUCAAAUAAAUGCUCGGAACUUAGGCGAUAAGACACCCAUGGACAUGGUAGAAGAACAUUUGCGAGGGAAACCUGAAUUUAAAGAAGUAACACGCAUGGUGCGCAAAGCUGGCGGCCGACAAGAGUCCUCCCCUCCUCCUCGUAGGGACGUUGCAGGUUACUUAAAACAAGGUUUGACAUGUCGUCGAAAGGUGCUUUUGUUCUUUUACCGCUCAUCACAGCGCAUUACGGAUGAAAAUCGAAGCGCACUACUUGUGGUUGCUAUACUAAUCGCGACAGCCACAUUCCAAGCAGCGCUUACCCCGUCUGACGAUCUUGAGGGAAAUAAGUCAACUGGAACCCCCAACUCUAUUGCCACUAAUGGAUCACACUCAUCAUCGACAUCGGCAUCGACGUGGGCAUCAGUAUGGGCAUCAGUAAACCAAUCAGGAACAGCAAAUGCAACGGCCUUUGGUGUGAGCAAUGGAACCAGCAGCAGCAUCCCAACAAGUGACAAGAUUCUAUUCGCUCCGGGGCAAUUAUAUCCUGAAGCCAUUAGUGAUACGAUCUCCACACUUUUCGCAUUUUCAAAUAUUACAGCAUUUUUUAUAUCUAUGCUGGUGAUUAAUUAUCACCUCCCGUAUGGCUCCGCAGCUACUCUGGUAUAUCCUCUAGUUAUUUGCUUUUGCCUGUUAGUGGUUGGCAGAACCCCGGUGUCGCUACUUGCCUCACUUUCAAUGCUUAUCGUCUUUCGGAUUUGUUUAUUUGUACAACUGGACUUCUCCAAGAUUCGAUUUAGACGAAGCUUCUGGAUUACACAAGUUUUGGGCUCCGUUUUCAAACAUUAUAGAAGCUUCCUCAAUAAGAUAAUGAAAGAUGCUGAAAAAUAGCUAUAAUGCCAAUAUGCUGCCAUGGAUAAAACACAUGUCCGUUGGUCUGUUGAUGUUCUCUGCUGGCUUGGCUUUAUCUACUUAGUGUGACACUUCCUCUCAAGUAAUAUUGCUGGUUUUAUUUUGCGUAAGAAGGUGUGCUUUUGUGUACUGUAUUUUCUGAAUUAUGUUCGUUUGCUUUUGCUUCAUUUUGUAAGGUCUUCGCAUGUUUCAAUGUAAUAUUAAUUACUCUUGUUGUAUCUGAUAGUUGUACUGUUCACCUUCGUGACUGUGAAUAUAAUGAUGUUAAUUUAAUUAAAACUAUAUGCUUGUUUGUUUGAUAAGAAAAUGAAGGAAAAUUUAUUGACUUAGAGAGGAAAAACAGAGAUUGAAACUAUAUGCAUCUGGAACUUUCCAAGUGUAACAGAAUCAUAUACACACUCUCUGAUAUUCACCAUAACAAUUUGGUGGGAAAUAAAAAACUUUUAACAACUUGCAUUACAAUCUUCCAGUAGGUUCCAGCAGCUUGUCCAGCUUGGCAUCUGACAUCAAUUAGUUGACUCAACUUAUUCUUAACAAAUUUUUAUGAACAUAUGAAAUAUCAAUAUCAUUGGGCUUUUGAUGCUCCCACCCACAGGCUACUUAAAAUUGUACCUAUAAAAGUCUGUUAGAAGAAAAGCUGAUUCAAAAUACUUACGGCAAUAUAUGAAGAAAAACAAUCAACAAACAGCAAACACACAAACAUAGCAAUAAAAGAAGACAAGGCAAUGUUUGAUGAGAUUAAAAAGCUGACACAUGUAGCAUAUAUAUUUACGUUUUCUUGGAGAGAGGAAACCGCUGUUGGAUCUUCAUUGAUGAACCCUUCAACAGGCCUCCAAAAGGCUCUGCUGGGUCAUAAUAAAUCGCAACAUCCCCUGGCCUAAUUGAUUCAUCAACCUAUGUAUCAGGUUUUUCAUUCAUCAGCAAAGAGUUUCAGCAAUUGAUCUAAAAAAUAAAGACUGCUUUUGACACUCUAUAUAUAUGUGUGUGUGUGUGUGUGUCUUUUCCAGACAUUAGCAGAUCUAAAAUACUGUAGUAGAACAUACAUACAUAUGUAUAUGUAUAUAUAUCCAGCGGCUCAUGGAGCCCUUUUUCUUUUUUUCUUUUUAUUUUGCAGGCUGCACGUGGUGGGAGCGCCCUUUAUCCUCCUCUUUUUUUUUUUAAUUUUGCAGGCUGCGCGUGGUGGACCUUUGAUGUCCCGCAUCGGAUUACUAUCCUCUCUCUCUCUCUCUCUAUAUAAUUGUCCAGUUAUUUCUAAAUUUUAAGCAAUUUAGAUUUAGUGAUGAUUUAAAUGUCAAAAUUUAAAAUUUUUAUUUUUCUUUUUGAAAUUUCGAUAUCCAAGAGAUUGCAGUAAUAAUAACCCAAUUAAACUUCCACCAGUGAAACCACUUCUCCAUGAGAUCUUAUUGUAAAUGCACAAAAAGUUGAGGGUACCAUGCAUAUACAGGAGCGCCGUAGCUGAACCCUCAAAUUAUUUAAUUGAGGACAAAUUGUAAAAAGAUAACCUUAUUAUCGAAGUCAUGGAGUUCUAAUAUGAAAAUGGCUAUAGCUUUCUAUUGGAACAGAAGCCUGUUAAAAUAUAAUAUUUCUCUCUAAAAUCAUCUAACAAAUUAAUAAUGAAGAUUUCUUUAUAAUGUUGUAUGAGUUUUUAUAGUAUUAAUAGUCGAAUUGUUGUAGAUUCUUGAAUUUUAAUGUUUUAAUCUCUACCAUUCAUUUGAUAUAGUGGAUAAAAAAAAUUAAUUAUUUAAAUAAUAACAGGUAACCUUCAGGUUGCAAGUAAAUGUGGAUUUUUUUUUUUAAAGAAAAUUUAUAUUAUGUUGGAUAAAAACCCCACAUUCAAUGGUGGGAUCAUUUGAUUUAAUAUUAUAAUCUUUACCCUUAAUUUAAUUUUAAUAGUUAAGUAAUUAUGUAGCAAAUAAUUUGCAAGUUGUGAUAUUUCUUCAUACUUUAAAUUAUUUUUUAUCUAAUCAACUGAUAAAUACAAAUAAUUAAUUUUGGAAUUAAAAUUGUUAUGUACUGGUUCUAUCACUUUACAAUUUUACAUUUUUUUUUUUGCUUUUACAUUUAGCAUUAAAAAUAUAUGUAAUAACAUUAAAAUAAAUGUAAUUAACCAGUAAUAUUAUUUCAACAAUACUUUAUUUAAAGAUAUUUCAUAAAAUCUUAUAACAAUUUGUAUUGUAUGAAUUUAAUUACAAAGCCAUUAAUACUUAGACAAUAAUGAAUUGGCAAUGGAGAUUAUUAAGCUAAAGCCUUCAUUUGCCAAGAAGCCCAACCAAGAUGGCUUCUCUCCCAUGCACUUGGCUUUGCGAAAAUGGUCAAACUCAAACAGUGCUUCAGUUGAUAGAUACUGAUCCGGAACUCGUUCGUGUUAAAGGAAGGGAAGGCAUCACUCCUCUGCAUCAUGCGUCUGAAGAUGGAGACCUGUAUCUCUUGGAGAAAUUUUUGUCUGUUUGUCUGAAAUCUCUUGAAGAUGUGACAAAUAAAAGCGACACUGCUCUUCAUAUUGCUUUGAAAAACGAUAAGGUUGAAGCUUUUCAAGUCCUAACAAGAUGCCCUCCGUCGGUCAUUGGCCUUAAAGAAGCUGAUCAAUGCUACAACAAAAGAAUCCUCAACUCGAAAAAUAGGGAUGGCAGCACUCUGCUACACAUUGCAACAUCAAAAAAUCAAGUCCAGGCAAGCUUGAAUUAAUAUGCUAAAAAAAUCGGUUGAGUGAUUACAUUAUUGAUAUUGCCACCUGUUUUUUGUUUUAAAGUUUCAGAGUUUGUAUAUUACAUAGUGUCGCGCCUUCUAUUUUUGUGAGCUGUAGAGCUCUCACUCACACCUAACUUACUUAGGACCGUUUUCUAAGUAUUUAGGGAGUAGAUGAUUCCUAAUUAAUUAGAUUAGGAGUAAGUUUUUCUAAAGAUAAUCAUGCACAUAUUAUUAUGUUUUCCCUUUUAAGUAUGGUUUCUUCUCAUUCGAUUAGGAUACCUUAUAGUAGCAAUAUUACUUAAGACUUGUAUAUAAAGACCUCUUUGCAAGCAUAUAAUACAACAAGAUCUAAGCCAUAAUUAAUUUGCUCUCUAAGUUCCCACAUUCUCUCUUUCUUUGCCGUGAUGCUACAUUAAGAGUGUGAAAAUCAGAAAAAGGACAAAAGACCCCUGUGGUUUAGUGAAAUAGUUAUGAAACCUACUUAUUUUUAGAAAUAAUCAUAAAUACACCUUUUAGGAUACACAAACCCAAUUUAUUUGCCAAACUUUAGGGGUCUAUAUGACUUUUCUAAAUGUGAAAAUGAUUUACAUGUCCCCAAAAGGGGUAAUGUCGGACUAUUUCUGAAAACAAUCAGUCUCUAUAUGAUCAAUUUACUGAAUUUAUGAGUGUUGAUGUCUUUUUUCCUACUACAUCUUAUAGCUUAAACACAGACUCACAAGCAAAUAAAGAAUUGAUUUUUUCCAUAUUAAACAUGUCUCAUUACGUUAUUCUAGUUUUGUACCAUAUUGUUACAUUCCUUCAUCAUCUAGACCUAAUAUCAAUGGCUUUCAAUCAAUUACAUUACAUUACAAAAUGAUGUAGAAGAUAUCAUAUGAUAUUUGUCUUAUUACAGUAUUACACAUGACAUUGCAACCUUAAUUAAUAUAAUCAACCUAGAGUGUUCUUGCUCUACAAGUUAUACACUAGGUGAAAUCAUAGCCCUUGAUUUUGACACUUGAUGAAGAUUCAAUCAUUACUUGAUAACUUGUAGAAUUCAAAUCAAAUGCUUCUCUGAAGCAUUUCAUCAAACAACUUAUUCCAAAUAUCAAACACCCACUCUUUUAACUUCAAAACUACCUAACGACUUUGUAUUCACAUGUCCCAGCAGAUUGUAACGAGUUUAUUGAACUGCAAAGUUGAAAUAAAUUCUUUGAAUUCUGAUGGCUUGACACCUUUAGAUAUUACAUUACUUGAUCAAACUCAGUCAAGAAAUCAGGAGAUUGAGGAUAUGCUAUGCAGCGCUGGAGCAUUAGAAGCAACUCCACUUCCUAUUAUGGCCAACUGCACAAAUGUAUUGAGGUAAAACAACUCUUUUGCUAAACUAUGGUCCAUAUAUGGAUAAUAAUUUUAAAUAAUAUAUUUCAUUAAUUUGCAUUUUCCAUGUUAUGCACAUUGUAAUUACUUGCUAAGAAUAUUGCUUAAAUCAAUUAAUUAAUGUCCUUCAGAACGGAUCAGAGGUUGAACGAGGCUGCUCAAGUAGGAAAUGUUGAUGCCUUGUAUGAAUUAAUAUGGGAGGACGCAUAUCUUUUAGAUCAGAUAGACCGGGUACCAUUUGUGGAUACACCUUUACAUAUAGCAGCAUCGAUGGGGCAUGUCAACUUUGCCUUGGAGAUUAUGAGAUUGAAGCCAUCAUUUGCAAGAAAGCAAAACCAAUAUGGGUUUAGCCCUUUGCAUCUUGCUUUGCAGAAUUCACACACUCAAAUGGUGCUUCGGCUCAUAGAUGUCGAUAGAAAUCUUGUUCGUGUCCAAGGAAGGGAGGGUGUAACGCCUCUACACUAUGUGGCUGAGUGAAGAAAAUAUGAAACGAAGUGUUUGGCUUAAAAGAAAAUAACAGAGAAAAUAAUCUUCUGAUUUUCCAGAACUUUUAUUUUCAUAUAAAGAAUGAUUACAUCACUUCUAUUUAUACUAACUAAACAAUAACUAAUUAAGAAUCAACUCCAGCUAAUCAUUUUUUCAGUACACACUGUGAGUAAUAACAAACUUUAACUAAUUAUGCUAAGCUAGCAGUCUGGACUGUUGCGUUGCUUAACAGCUUCUGAUAGUUUGACUUGAGUUGACCCAAGCUUUGUUUUCUCAUGCUCUGCAUAAUGUGCUUCCUUAACACUGAGAAGGGAAAUGUCGAUCUUCUAUAUAAAUUUCUAGCAGCUUGCCCAGAGUCUAUCCUGCAGGUGACAAUUCGAAAAGAAACUGCUCUGCAUGUUUUUUUCGAAAUAUUAGAGGGACUUUUAUCCAUAUGUCUAAACGUUGUGAGUGUGUUAGUCUUUUUCCCUAUUUACAAGUACAAUUGUAAAUUUAUUUUCCCAUUCUUCUUCCCUUCUCUUCAAAAUUCAGCCCGAUUUUCUCCAUUUAAUCAUUCGCAUCUACAACAUUGCAAAUCUAGAAUUAGAAUUAAAAAUUCUUAUGAUUUUCCAAUACCAAUAAGUCAGUAAAUCAACUAUUAUAGUCAAAACCAAACCCUAAAAUAAAAUUAUCAUUUUUUUCCUUCAUCCUGUUCUCAAAAGGGGUUAUCUUUGUUGCUAGGCAUGUGGUGUUUAACGAAUCAGAAUUUCCUUUCUCUACGGAUCCUCAAUUCUCUAAGCAAUCUUCUACCUCUGUUUCCGAGUAUAGACAUCCUAUGUUUAAAACUUCUUCUGUGUUAGUUCUGCUACAUGAUCCUUCAGGCUCAAGUGACAACACUGUACAACAGCUUCAGCUCCAUGCAGUUCCAGCUUCCUCUUCUUCCUCUAGUUCUUCAUCAUCAUCACCUUUACCUCCAAAUCCAUAUUUCCCUGAUCCUUAUCACAAUAUGUCCCAUAAUUCCCAACACUCUUCUUCUUCUACAUCUAUUGUGCCUAUUCCACAGCCUUCUGUCCCUGCUCAUGUACCAUUGGCAACUCAUCCAAUGGUUACAAGAGCAAAAGCAGGAAUAUUUAAGCCAAAGUUUCUUGCAUAUUCUUUUGUUCUUGAAGAACAUGAACCUGCUACAAUUUCUCGAGCUCUCUCAAAUCCUAAACGGAAAGCAGCAAUGCAGGCUAAGUAUGAUGCACUCAUGAAAAAUGAAACUUGGGUUCUUGUUCCAACCUCUCAAGCUACUAAAGUUGUUGGUUGUAAAUGGGUGUUUCACAUUAAGUAUAAUGCAGAUGGCUCUAUAUCUGAGUACAAAGCUCGUUUGGUUGCAAAUGGGUUUCAUCAAACCCCUGGUAUUGAUUACUUUGAGACUUUUAGUCCAGUGGUUAAGCAAUCUACUAUGAGAAUUGUACUUAGUCUUGCUGUUAUGAAGAGCUGGAAAAUAAGGCAGAUAGACAUCAACAAUGUUUUCCUUAAUGGGCAGCUCAAUGAAGAUGUUUACAUGUUUCAACCUGAGGGAUUUGUCUAGCUUUCAUCUGGUCAUGUUUGUAAAUUGCUUAAGGCUCUUUAUGGUCUAAAACAGGCUCCUAGAGCCUGGUUUGAUUGGUUAAGGAAAGCAUUGUUGAAGUGGGGGUUUCAGAGCUCAAGAACAGAUUCAUCUUUAUUCUUUAAACAUGAACUUGGAGGUAUUGUUGUUGUGUUGAUAUAUGUUGAUGACAUUCUUAUUACUGUAGAUAAUAAUACAGUGAUUGAAAGGUUCAUCAAAUAUCUUGGAGAUACUUUUGCUUUAAAAGACCUUGGUGAAUUCAAUUACUUCCUUGGUAUUGAAGUUACUCAAGGUACAGAGGACAACUUACAUCUCUCACAAGCCAAAUAUGUAAGAGAUUUGCUCACAAAAACUGCAGAGAAAGUGAUACUCCAAUGAGUACAAGACAGAAACUAAGAAGAGCAAGAAAUGAAGAUAAUUUGAUUGUUAAUGUUACUGAAUAUAGAAGCAUAAUAGGUGCAUUGUAGUAUUUGGUACUCACAAGGCCAGAGCUUGCUUUCUCAGUAAACAAGUUGAGUCAAUUUCUUGCUGCAUCUACAGAGAAGCAUUGGACUGCUUGUAAGAGAAUUCUAAGAUACUUAAAGACAACUGAGGAUUAUGGCUUGCUAUUUAAACCAGGUGGUGGUGUUGUCUUAACUGCAUAUACUGAUGCAGAUUGGGCAUGUGAUGUUGAUGAUAGGAAAUCAGUUGGAGCAUAUUGUGUUUAUCUUGGGCAAAAUCUUAUUUCAUGGUCUUCUGAGAAGCAACAAACAAUAGCUAGAUCUAGCACAUAAUCAAAAUAUAGAGCAUUAUCAACAUCAUGUGCAGAAAUCGUUUAGGUUCAGGCUUUGCUUGGUGAACUUAAUAUUAAGUGCAAUCAAACACCAAUAAUCUGGUGUGACAACAAUGGUACUGCUGCAUUGACAACAAAUCCAGUAUAUCAUGCUAAAACCAAGCACAUAGAAUUAUAUGUACAUUUCAUAAGAGAGAAUGUGACAAAUAAACAAGUGGAAAUCAAGUAUGUGCCUAGUGAAUGGAAUAUUGCAGAUGUGCUUACAAAGCCUAUGGCUUACUGCUUUUUUAAUUACUGUAGGACAAGCUUAAUGUUGUUUCAUGACCGUUAAGCUUGAGGAGGAGUGUUAAGAUGCUUAAUCAACAGCAGUAGACCAGUGGCUGAGAUUUGUGCGACAAGGAUUGCUGAGCUGGACAAAUUAGUUAAGUUGUUGUAAUUAGUUUUAGUUUAGCCAAUAGAUGUAUUACAGUUGUACAAAAGGUUGUUAUUACUGUUGAUCAACAAUAUAAGUUUGCUACGAGCUAAAUGUAAUUCAUAUAAUUCAUAUCAAUAAAAUUUUCUCUGAUUUAGUUACUUUUCUUUCUUCUUUCCGUCACUUUCCUACUAACCAAACAAACUAUCAACCUAAGAUCCGUGAGUUCUAACUUUUACAAAUGUAAUAAUUACCAUGAAUUUACAAAAACUUGCAGCAAAUAUUUGUGUCCCAAUAGGUUGACAAUUGCAACACAUAUCGAAAAACUGUAAUAGUACCCUUCAUUAUAAUUACUUGACCAUAGUCAGUGGCGAACUAUGUAUACGCCUGGCAGCCGAGGUGUCGAGAAUUUAAUUUAACAGGGGUGCCUAAGUUCAAACACUAACAUAAUUUAAAAAAUGGUCAAUAAAUAACAAAUAUUAAAAUAUUUAGGGCUAGUUUGGUAAUCUUAUAACUUUUAAAAUAAUUGUUGUUACUUUCGCUGUAAAAAUAAUAAGUUGUGAAUAGAAUUAGUUAAACGUUUGACAAAAUUUCUUCUUAAAAGUGCUUUUGUAAAUCUCAUUGUUGAACUAUUAUAAGAGUUUAAAUGAUUAAAAUGGACAUAAUAUUAAAUAAAAUAUAUUAUAUAGAUAUAAAUACAUACAUAUAAUAUUUUUUAUUAUGUAUAUUAGUAAUUGAUAACUAAAUAAUUAUCUUUAUUUUAUUAAUUAUUUUUUAUCUCAAUAUAAUUAAUAAUAAUAAUAAUAAUCUCUAGAUUUAAUAAUUUUAUUUCCUAAUUGAAUAAGAAUAAUUUUAGAUUUUUAUAAUAUAUGUAAGGAUAUAUAUGGAAUUUUAUUAAUUAGAAAACUUAUCCUAAAAAUUAGAUUUUGAAAGCCUACUUCUUUUUUGCUUUCCAAAAUAUACUGUAUAUAAGAUACAGUGAUUUUACCGAAAGUGAUUUAAAAAAAAAAAAUCUACCAAACAGUAAAAUUAAAGUUUAACUUUUAAAAUCACUUUUAAGUCUCUCAAAACUAAUCCCAAAUAGGCCCUUAUUUCAAUACAAUUAUAAUUGUUCUCAUGUAUUUUCAUAUGUUAAAAAUAUUGAAGAAUAACCUCAUUAUCAUUACUACAAACAUAUUUUCUUCUACGUAUACAAUAAAACUAUCAUUCAACAAUUGGUUUCCCAUAUGAUUUUGUGGAAGCUUUUUCAGAAAAUUCAUAGCUGAAAAUACCCUUUCUAAUUUAGUUGUGUUACUUGAUAAAAUCAUUGCUAAUGUUACCAACAUAUAAAUUAAUGAAUACAACUAUCCAUUAUCUCAACCAUUUUUCUUGCUAACUCACCAGUCUCUUUUAAUCUUAAAAAUGUUGUCAAAACCCACAUUCAUAAUAUAAUCAUCAAGUUGAAUUUCAAGUGCCAUAAUGCAACAAUCUUUCUUUAUGGGUUCAAAGUGUUAAAAAGAAUAUUUAAUAUUUUACUUGUUUUUAAAUUUUAACAAGGGCGUUAUGGUAAAUCAAAUAAAAAUAGGACAAAUAUUAAAAUAAAUUUUAAAAAAUUAAAAAAUUGAAAAAGGGUUUCAGCCCCUGUUAAAAUGGCACCACAUCUAAAGCCUAGGGUGCCUUGAGGCAACAUACCAAUAAUAAUAAUAAAGAAAGAAAUCAAGAAAAAAGAGACAUAAUAAUAAGUAGUAACAUUAGCAAUGUUAAUUAUAUUUUAUGUUUUGACCCCUAUAAUUUUACAAGUUGAUUUUAUGUUACCGCCUACUCAAAUUUAUGGUUUUGGUCAUUGUGUUUGGCCCUCUCAAUUUUAGUGAUUCUAUACUGUAUGAAAUGUAAGUUAUGCAACCCAAGAGGGGGGUGAAUUGAGAUUUUAAAACUUACGCUAAACAAUUCGCACAACAAUUUAAUGUAUUGCCUUAAUCAAAUGUAAAAACAAUAAAUUCAGUAAAGCACAAUACUAAAAGAGUAAGUACAAUAAUAAAAGAGUAAGGGAAAAGAAAGCAAACACAACAAUUUUUACGUGGUUCGGCAAUCCCCGCUUACGUCCACGCCUCCAAGCCAACCAAACUCGAGGAUUUCACUAUCAAAGCCUCCCCAAAGCUUUAAGUUCUUACAAUUAACUUCCAAGGUGUCAAUGAACCUUUACAAUGAAGAGAUUAUCUCCCCAAUCUAUUCACCUGAAGUGUUUCUCACACUUGUACACUUACAAUUUGAUGAGAAAUGAACAAUUACAACAAAAACUCUCUUUAAGAGUGGAUUUACAAAUAAUAGCAUAAUAAUAAUUCAAUAAAUGAUGAUUUACGAAAUGGAACCUCAAUAUGUGUUAUAUGAUCUUAUUUAUGCUUGCAUUAGUCUUGAAAAUGAAAAUGGAGUUAAGGUUUUAUAGCUAAAGCCCGAAAACUAACCGUUAUAGGCAAAUUCCAGCGCUCAAGCGGUUAGCCGCUUGAUUUAUCCAGCUAGCCGCUCCAGAACAAUGAUGUUACCAUUAAAUUUGAAUUUUGCUACAAUAUCAUUGUUCAUUAAAUUACAUUUGUGACCAAAACUUUGUAUAAUUAUAUUAUAGCCCAACAUGUCAUAAAACUUUGCAAAUAAGUCUAAUUUCAGAAUUUCUAAAUAAUACCUGUCAUUCCUAAAUCUUAUUGUAAUUAUGAUAUGACCUAGUAUAUAAUAACAUUUUUCAAAAAGGUCCUUUUCAAAAUUUAAAAUAAUACCCAUAAAUUUUAAAGUUCUCAAAUCUUUUCAAUUUAGUCCAAAAUUUGAAAAUAUGAGACUUUCCUCAGGUGGUUAGCUGCUCACUCUCUGUCCAAUUUUUUAUUUCAAUUGUUUGUAUUAUGUUUGGGUCCUCAAACUUUCUUAAAUUGUAAUAUGACCCAAAAUAUUUCAAAUAUUUGCAAAUAAAUCUAAAUUCAAAAUUCAAAAUUCAAAGCAAUAUUUAAUAAAAUAAAAGAUUGCAAAACUUUUUCAUUUUAGUCCAAAUUACUCAAAUCCACAAAAUACUUUAUGUUAUAAAUAUAAAACCUUUUAGUUUAUGAAAGGUAAUUAUUUAAAUAAACUCUUGAGUUUCUCAAAUGCUAAAUCAUGCAUCAAUUAAAUCAUACCGACUUUACAAGAAUUUGUCACAAUAAUUUGUCUGUUGAGCUCUAAACUUAUUCUUGAUUUUGCCGUUGUCCGUUGAGUGUCUUGAACUUGAUUCACUUGCAUAAAUAUUAUCCUUAAAAAACUAGUAAAAAUGUGAAAUACAAUAUUUAUUAAAUCACUUAAGACACAUAUUUGUUAUCAUCAAAAUUAUAUUAUGGAUAGCCCUUUAGGGUAACAUUGUGGCUUACUCAAGUAUAUAGUUUCUUCAUUCGGCCCCAAAACCAAAAUCCUAAGAGUAUCUCCAAAAAGUUCUAUUAAUUUUACUCUUCAAAUAUUUAUUUGCUUAUCUAUGUGGUAAAAAGGAGAGUGAAAAAAUAUGUUAUUCUCCAAAAGACUCUUUAAAUAGAAAUAAGUUAAUAUUAUUUUAAUCAAAUAAAUAUUUUUUCAAAGGAAAAAUAAAUGGUAAUUAAAGCAUUUCUCUCUCUCUUUCUCCCCAAUAAAAAAUAAUAAAAUAUAAAUUGAAGAGAGAGAAAGUAACUCUACAAAUUGAAGAGAGAGAAUUAUUUCUUAUUUGAAAAAUCUUAAUUAGAGUAUAUUUUGAAGUCUUAAAUACUGAUGUAACUCUUCAAAUAAGUAAUAAAAUCUUAUUUGAAGAUUUUUUUGGAUAUGCUCUAACUUCACCACUAGAUUUACUUGAGUAUUCAACAAUACCCGACUUACUUGAGCGUAGAUGAUUUAGUUAUACUUAAUUGACUACUAAAACAAUUUAUUCAACUUACUCGACGAUACUUUACUUAGCUCACUCCAUGUACUAAUAUUUUACUAUUUUUCUAAGUGGUACAUUUAAUUACAAAAAUCCAUGAAAAUUUGAUAAUGAUGAAAUGCUUAAUAAAUAAGGGUAUUUGGUCAAAUCAUAACAAUGUUUGUUAAACACUGGUCUAAUAAUAAGUAGUCAUUUUCUGAUGAAAUAAAAUUAAAGCUGAAAAAAUUUAACAUGACUGGUUUACUCUAUACAAAUACAAUAUGAAUAAAUAUGUAUCUAUCAUGAAAAUUGACAUGAUUAUUAAAUGAAUUUGGUCUAAGUCAACCCAAUUGUUUCCCGUGUCAGGCUAGAAUUCAAUUUUUCAAUGCAUUUACUUGGUCAAUGACGUGAUUAUUAAUUAGUUAACCAAAACUAAUUCAUAUUUGCAUUAAAAUAUACUUAUAUUUUCAAUUCUAAAUUAAUUUAUAGAAUCUUAUCAUUAAAACUCAAAAUUUGGUCAUGAUUCUAGUGAACAUAUAUUUGAUGUUCUAUUUUGUAAAAUUCUUGAUAGAUUUAAAACUUCAAUGGUUCAUACAUGUUGUAUUUGCAUCAAAUGAGUGUGUAGUAUUUGAUGUAAAUCGUGUUAGAAUUUAAAUAGGUAUUCAGUGAAUUUUUAGGUUAAAUCAUGUUAGAUGACACAACUACCUAGUCAUUAAAAGAGCGUAUCAAGUCACUAUUUUAUUUUUCGUAUCGAGUUCAAGUUUUAAUAUUUUAACAUUUUAUUUUUCGUAUCAAGUUUAAGUUUUAAUAUUUUAACACAAUUAUUAAAUAAGUCGUGUUUUAACCAACAUAAAUUUAAAACAACACAAAAUUGACACAAUAUGAGUGGCUUAAUGACCUAUUUUGUUAGUUUUAUUUAAAACCCUCUAAUCUAUAAAAAAAAAUAAAAAACGGUCCAUGGGCCUAGCCCAAAUAUAUAUCCAACAAAACCAGCUCCCGCUCAAAUCACACUCUCUCGGUCGUUCCCUUCACUCUCCAAAACCCCCCAUUCCAAACAAAACCCUCAUUUUUCCCUCUUAACGAAGUCACUUUCUCGAGAACCAAACAUUCCCUUAGAUCUCCAAUUUCAUAAUGAGAGAAGAUGAAAUAGAGAAACUUCGAGGAUUGGUUCGCGACUGUGUGAGUAAGCAUUUGUACUCGUCGGCCAUUUUCUUCGCCGAUAAAAUCGCCGCUUUGAUCAAUGACCCUACUGGCGUUUACAUGCAGGCUCAGGCUCUGUUCCUUGGCCGCCACUACCGCCGUCCAUUUCACCUCCCUAACGCCUCAAAAAUUGUGCUCCGUGACCUCCGAUUUCGUUACUUGGCUGGUAAGUGUCUGGUAAAGUUCUGUUUUUUGAUUGCAUUAGAAAAUUUGAAUUUCAGAUUUUGGGAUUUGUGCUUUUUGCGUUUUUAGUUUUUUUUUUAAUGUUAUGAAAAAGGGAAAUUUUGAAAAUUUUAACUUGAAAUUGGUGUUCUUUUUAUUUUAGAACAAAAGAAUUUCAAUGAAAAAUAUGUGGAAAUUGAAUUGCUCUAGCAAAUUUGCAUGUGUUGUGUGUUUUAAGAAAAUGAAAACUAGAUUUUAAGCAAUUAAGGAGAAAUUAUCGACUUUGAGCUGAAUGGUUUUGAUCAAUUUUUUCUUGAAUGUUUAUUUGUUUAUACAACUGGGUAGUUUUUCUUUUACUUAUUUAUUUCUGGUCUGUCCUUUGUAUAAUUAGGAGGAACUGAAGGAGUGGGACUAGUGUUUGUCGAUGCUCGGUGAUGCUAAGGUCGAUGAAGAUGGUAAUGUUUUUGACACAAAGGAUAGCAAUGUCAUGUACUUAGAUAAAGAUGGGGAAGACAGAGAAAUCAAUGUAAGUUUUUGUUUGUAAUCUCAUUUUAUCUGGCCUUUUAUUUUUUAAUUUGUUGCAUAUUUGUUGUAUACUUGACCCAAUAUUUCUUUUUUCUAUUACAGAUCUCUUCAGCUAUAUGCUUUUUGAGAGGCAAAGCAUAUGAAGCCUCAGGAAAUUGUGCCCAAGCUCGGCUGUGGUUAGUUUCUUGCGAUGAAUUUACAUGAAAAUCACUCUGCUUAAUUGUAAAAUGCUUUAUGGUUAUUUUCCCUUAGUUUUUCAGUCAAAAUGAUACCAACUUAUACUGUCUAACAGUCUUCUGUUAUAGUAACUUAGGUGUAGUAAUUUAACGUACUGUUAAAGAAAGGAAAUGACUUUAUUGUUUUAAUGGGAGAAUUUUGAACAUUGUUAUAAACUUGUUUAAGUUGGGCAUAAGUAAAUUUAUCUUCAAUUUCAUUACUGAGCAGAUUUUGUUUGAAUGCAUGAAUGUUUGAUAUAUGUGUUUAAUAGCCAAGGAGUUUGUUUAGAUACUACUUUAAGAAUUAUCUAUAUAUAGAUUGGGUAGUCUAGAAAACUCUCCUUGAUUAAAUCAAUGUAUAAUUUUGAUAAGACAGUUUAAAAUGUUAACAUCCCAUGUCUUCUGGAGUCCAUUUGGUGACACAGGAAUGGUAGUAUAUGCUGGGAUGGUUUAGUUCAAUAAGGCUAUUAGUUCUGAUCUGCUUUUUCAAAGAGGUUGAUUGCCAAAUUAACAGCCACAUGAAGGAGAUUGUCUUUUUUUUUUUUUUUUUUUGUGUAUCCUGAAUUGUUUUUGCUUCCAACCACAAUUCUGGUCUUCUAUUGGUUCACACUUCCUACUUCUAUCUCGAUGAUUUUAGCUGCAAUACCUCAUUACUAAAUUCAGCUCUAACAACAGAGGAACUUAUUUGCUUCCUCUUUAUCUUGUUCCAUUACUAGCUUUCAUGUGCAGCAUUUUUAGAAUGUUAAAGACUAAUAGUACAGAAAGGUGGUUUUAAAUCAAAUGUAACAAGAUUCAAUUGACAGAUCAGCUAUGCUUCACUCCAUGUGGUUACCUACACACCUGGAUAUUUGUUUUAGAGUUUUAUGCUGUCUGAAUUAGUGGCCUCAUUUUGUUAUCUGAUUGAAAGCUUGCAUGUAUUUCGGUAAGUUAGGUUCUUCCCUCAACUCUUUUUCUUUAGUAACUAUCAUGGUAUUGUUUUAUAACCUUAAUUAGCUUCUCUUUGGUUUUUCAUUUGUCAGUAUAUCUGCUCUAUUCUGUUCAAUUCCUUUUUCUCUAUUCUCUCAGUUAUGUUGAACUAAAACGCUAUAGUUCAUACAAAGGCUUGCUAUAUUUUUUCAUAAUGAUUUAAGGUACAAAGCAGCAAUCAUAGCUGAUCCUUUGUGCUAUGAGGUAUGCAUGACACGCUAUCAAUGUUUUUUUUUUUCCUUUCCCCCUAGGGAUAAGCUGGUGGGGGGAGCGUCCCGUUCUCAAAAACUCCUUACCUUGAAUUUUGUGGCUGCAUAAAUUUCAGACAUGACUUUCUAUGCAAAAUAUUACAACCUGUGGAAACUGUUGCCUUCUCAAGGAUUAGAAAAUUACUCAAAAGAGGGCUAGAUUUUUUGAGCUAGGCUUGUCCCUUUUUUUUUUUUUGUAAAUAGAAUUUUAAUCCUUUUCUUUAAUUUGACCUCUGCUGAUCACAUAGAUGUCUCAUUUGGAUGUUCCUUAUAAGAUAUAUCGAUUCUCAUUCUUUAUGAUUUUUUUUAUGGCUGUACCUUGAUUUCUUUUUCAGGCUUUGGAAUGCCUUAUAGAAAAUCACAUGCUAACAUGCGAGCAAGGUAAUGAUGUAGUUUUUUCCUAGUCAUCUGUUUCUUUCAUCUGAGAGAAGUGGAUUAUGAAAAUGUUUACAUUUUGAAUUAUAGUUCUUACAUAAGUGUGCACGCGCACACACACACACACACAUAAAUGAAAUUAUAGUCACACACAAACAUGUUGAUAUAAAUUUAAUUUGGCAAAAAUUUCUUUGGCUGUGUUCAACUAGCAUUGGAUCUUUCAUGGAACAUGUUAUAAUAGGCUAAUACUUUAAAUUUUUGGAUUUGCUGUUGAAUUUCAGAAACAAGUUUACUUUCAUCAUUGGAAUUUGGUUUUGAAGAUGGAUGGCUUUCUUCAUUCUACUCAUGUUUGAUAAAAAAGGUGAACUGUGUGCAAAUUCAUUAUAUGCUCUUCCAAAUGUAAACAUUUCAAUAAUAAGUUUCCCAUAUGUUUUCGUGAUGUUGAUUCUUUUUGCUGUGUUUGAGUGCAGUGAACAAUUUCUUUCCUUCUUUCCUGUCUCCCUUUGUUUUAUGCAGUAUGACAAGGAGAAUGUUGUAGAAGCCAAAUUUGGAGAAAUUGAAAAAGAAAGAUGUGAUAGUGUCCAUUCGAGCCCAUCCUUCUCACACAGUCUGAAAAACAAUACUGAUCUUUUAGAGGGCUUAUUAUUCUGUCGACCUGCGAUACUAGAUUUCAGAAAUCUUCUCUUCACACAGUGUUCUUGGCUCUCUAAUUGUCAAAAAGUUGAACAGCCUUUUUCUGUCUGAUGCAUCAUAUAUAUGCAGUUUAAUAUUUGUGGACUUCAAUAAUAUUGAUUACCUUGAUUAUAAUAUUUUCAAUUGUAUGGUUUUUGGGUUUCUUCUUGGUAGGGAAGAUUUUUGUCUUUUUCUUUUUUUGACUUGAUUCUUCUUCUUUCUUAUUAUUAUUGUUACUGUUUCCCAUUCACAAGGAAAAAAUUGGAACUUGCUCCACCUCGCAAAAGUUUUAGAGCGCAUUUAAUUCUCGAAUUGGGGAAUUGGAAUGGAGAAUGGGAAUGAUUGAUUGUGUUUACUUGCUAAAAACAUGAAAUAAUGACGAUCGAUUUUGGGUGGAGCUCACAAGUUUGGGAAUGAGGUAUUGGAAUCCCAUUGCAAUAAGAGAGGUGGGAAUGAAAAUGGGAAAAUUAACACUUUUAUCCUUAAAGAAAAUUAAAUAUUUAUUUUUUACCUUAUAUAAAUAAAUAACUAAUAAUAAUAGUCGUAGUAGUAAUAAUAGUUAUAAUAAUAAUAAUAAUAAUAAUAAUAAUAAUAAUAAUAAUAAUGAAAAUUAUAGUAUUAUCCUCAAUAUUAUAAUAAACAUGUAUAUAUUUAUUUAUUUAUUUAUUUUGUUAGUGAAAAAUGUACAAUUUUAACUAAGGGCAUCAUGAUAAUUUUCAAUAAUCCAUUUUGAUUACGAAAUAAAAUAAAUGGAUAAAUGAAAUUCAGCUCAUUCGAUUCUUAUAUUUCAAGUAAAUAAUUUAUUAUGGUUCUCAUUUCUUAUUCCGAUUCCAGAUUCCAUCCCAUUUCAAUUCCUAAUCAUUUUGAUUCAUGGGAAGUAAACGCACCGUUAAUUUGUCGCUCUUGUUAAAUAUAUCCUUUGUGGAUUUCAUAUGAGGUUUGAAAUGUUAUUUAGUGAAAUUUAAUUUCUUGUUGGCUCUAUUCACCACAGCAAGGCUACAAAUCUUGAUGGGACAUUCGCCCCCGCUUGGAUAGGUUAUGGAAAUGCUUUUGCUGCUCAAGAAGAGGGUGACCAAGCAAUGUUGGGUUAUCGCACUGCUGCUUGUUUGUUUCCAGGGUAAUUUUUAGCAUUAUUUAUUCAUUUCUGUACCUUCCUGAUUUUCUUUUCCUUGGAUCAGCAUAUUCAUGCAAUGAGGACAAGGACAAAGCCACUAACUUGCUUUUGAGCAAGUUUCAGGACACUUUUAGAAUUUCAUUUUUGGCUUUUUUAAAAAAAAAUUUUGGUCUCUGAAAGAUAUCUUAAGGGUAGGGUUUGGUUGUUUUUGCUCAUCUUGAUAUUAUUCAAUUCUUGUUCAAUUUGAAGAACAGUGUGCUUUGGCUGUAUAAUCAUGUGGGUAAAAAAAUUUUUUGGUCCCUCAAGUUUCUAUUAGGUUUCAUGUAAUCCAUGAAAUUUCAGUUGCUUCAGCUUAAUCUGUUUCAAGUGCGCUACACUAAAAAACUUGGGUGUCAUGGGUUAUCAACCAAGAUUUUUUUUUUCUCCUUUGAUUUAAUAUUAAUAAACUGUUUUACCAAUAUAGACUUUUGAUGAAUGCUUCGCAUUUGAUUUCCAUAUUUCUUCCUGAGAAAUGUUGUAAGUUGAUUAAACAUAGUCUUAAAUCGACCCAAGGCAUUGUUGUAAUGUCUUUCUAUUUUGAUAAUAAACCACACUGUCAUAGUAGUUUUAUGGUCGUAAAGAUCAAUGAAUUUCAUUGUUUAUUGUUUAGUGAUGGUAUGCAUUGUGUUGUGGGAGUACUCUUAUCACUAUGAAUUGUCUUUUUACAGGUUGAAUCUUGAUGUUCUCUUAUUCCAGGUGCCAUUUACCAACUUUGUAUAUUGGAAUGGAGUACAUGCGAACUCACAGCUUUAAGCUUGCCGAACAGGUGUAUUACCUUCUUCUAAAUAUAGGCUGCCUUUCAUUUCUCUUUAGAUUUCAGUGAGAACUCUUAAGAGGUUGUUUGUUUGCAAUAUGAAGUCUGAUUGUUGGAUAUUCAGAUGUUGGUCUAUACGAUUUGCUAGUUGAUGUUGUCUUGGGGGUUUCAUUUUCCUCUUUGGAUUUAAUGUGAAUACGACUUCUUUCCUCUUUGUUUAAUUGAUGUCCAAUCCAUAUCCAAUCUACGAUUUUACGGAUUAUAAAUUUUCAAUCCAAUUCAAUUCACGGAUUGAUGAAAUUCAAUUCAAAUCCAAAUUCAAUUCAUACAUCUGCAGAUCGGAUGCGGAUUUGAUCAAAUCCAUAUCCAAUCCAUCAUUUUGCGGAUUGGUUUGCGGGCUGAAAAUUUUUAAUUCUGUCAAAUCCACGAACUAACUAAAUAUAAAAAUAAUUUUACUACCGAUCAAAUUUAAAAUUAAAUAAGAUUUAAAUAAUUAAUUGUUUAAAUAAAGCUAGAAAAUACAUUUACAGUUUUAAAAUAUAACACACCAAAAUGAAAAAAAUCUUAUUCGUUUAGAUCAGUACAUUUUUUUUAUGCGAAUACCACUCUAUUGGUGGGGGGCUUAGGCGGGACCCCUACUUUUCAUUUAGAACAGAUAAUGAAGAUUACAUGUGGAGGGGGACAUAAACCAAACCUCCAAUCUAGAGAAAUAAAUAUAACAGUAAAAGAAAUGAUUUAGGCAUAGCCUAACAUAAGAAGAAAAAGAGUAAUGCAGACGGUGACAAUAUCUCUUACGAUACUUGCGGCCGGCAAGUAAUUUAAUGCCCUUUUUCGAGUGACUGACAACACUAAAAUCAAGGCUAGAGUCAAUUCUCUCAGAAUUCUCAGGAGCAGACAGAAAAUAGUCAUUAUUCGCCAAAUGUUUGUUAGAACUAUCAUCAUUAUCAGUAUAAGAACUGUAAUGCCUAAAAUAUGUGCUGGAUGCUCGAUGAAGCUAUGUAUUAUAUUCACCUAGUUCUCGGAUCCUAGAAUCAGGAGUCGUGACAUCCUGGCCAAUCGGCUCCUGAAUGGAAGUAGAGUUUGUAGCGUUAACUCGGUUCUCUUAGGUACAAUCGGAGACCCCACAUCUGCAAUUUGCUUAAUGAUGGAAGGCUAAAGUCGUGGAGUAUCCAAGGGUUGUGGAGUAUCUGACGGCAAAACUUCUAACUUCUUAUUAUCUACUCUAGUUUGCCAAUUCCCACUGGGCCGCUGGGGAAGGACCCCUGGAUUGGCCACGGAACACGUCUCAAUGGUAUGGCCAAGGCACUUGUAGGAAGCACAGUAGAGUGGGAUUUUCUAAAAAAUUAUACUCUGCCAAAAUCCAGAAUCUCUCACACCGAUUUAGAUUCGUGACAACAGAGUUGAGUGACAUUAUUCUUCACUAACACCCUACUUACAGAAGGGCGAGCUAAAAAGGCAGUAGCUUGGUCAAUUCGUAAUGGCUUACCAAUAGAUGAUGUAAUAGAAAAUAAUGCUUCCUUACAGUGCAUAAAAUGGACAAGCAAGUAAGGAAUUGAAAUCCAUACUGGGACUAUAGAGGACUCCUUGGAAAAUCAAAAAUCGGUGGUUUAUUUAAAAAUUCUCAUUGCACUCUCAUUGAUGUACCAUGUCUGUCUAACCCGUAGGCGGGAGUAGUCCUCCUCAACAUCCAAUUGAAUUAACACAUGUCGAUUAUCUAAAAAGGACAUCUUGGAAAUUCCCUUCAAUCUCAUAGUAUUAAAAAAUUUACAAAUUAAUUCCAUACUAGGUCUAUUGUAGGAAAAUUUACCUACCAAUGUCCGCAGUGGAAAAUUGUACUUUAGGCUCUCCCUCGAAUAAAGUGACGAUCUUGAUUGGAAUAGACAAGCUAGUUGGGUCGUUCAUAAUAUCCACCAAAGAUUUUUUAGUGGGUUUAUUUUGAUUCAGAUUGGGGAUGGAUUUCAAAACCGAGGUAUAAGAAGGUACGUAUGUGGGCUGAGUGGUAUUUUGGAUUAACGGAUCAUUUUGGGGGUUAUUUAAUAAGAUUGGAGAGGGCAUUCGGGAGGGCUGGGUGUUGGGGUUUAUUUCGAAAAUGGAUUGGGCUUGGGUUUGACUAGUGGGAAAGGUUAAUGGGGCAUGGGAAGAGCUAGUGGUAGACACACAUGAGGAACACAAUUCAUGUGCUACCGAAAGUGUCUUAUGAGCAUGGGAAUUACACGCGUGCAGACUUUUGAGCUGAUGUUGGGUGGAUGUUUGCUGACCUUGGCUGGGUUCUGUGGUGGUUGCUUGCAGCUGACUUUCGGUUGACAGCUGCAGCUGGACGUGAGCUUGUGAUUUGCAUGGGGUUUUUUUUGUUGUGUGGGAGUUAUUUGUGUAGGUAGUGAUUGUGGCUGGCUGGUGGUUGUAUCUUGGACCGAAUCUUGAGACAAAUGGCCAUGGAGUACGGGCUGGUUUUGAUGGUGUAUAGGGGCUGUGACAGCAGGAUGAACUCUCGAAUAGUGUGUGGUUUGUGUUGGCUACGGGCUAGAGGCUGGUGGCUGGUUGGUUUGAGAUGAAAACCCAUUCACCAAGUUUGGUGGUGAAAGCUUGGAGUUGGCUGUUGAAGGGGUGACGAUGGCAGUUGGAGAUGGUUGUUGAAGGGACGACGAUGGCGGUGUGUUUGCGGAAGUUGAGGGUUGUUGGGGUUGGGCUGGCGUUUGACUCCUGUAUUUUGAGCGAGUUUGCCUUUGGGAUCUCCUAAGAAAAGAAUGUUCAUUUAUGGAAGUAAGGGGAGGAGCAGAUGGUGGCUGGCUGCCAUUAUCGUCAGCCGGCGAGAUAAGAAUCGACUUGUCUCGAGCAUUGGUUUCUUCCCCUUCUUCUAGUGAAUGGAGGGGUGAUUUUGCUACCUCACGGCAGCAUUCAUAGUCAUUGAUGCCACCAUUGAUUACCAUUUCUUUUUGCUCACUUGCGGCAUUAGGUGUGAUUGAAGGUUGUUGAAGUUUCGAGAGGAUAGCGGCAAUGGACAAUGGUGGUUGGUUUGCAUGGGGUUGGAUUUGAGAUGGAGGGUCUGCAUGAGAGUGGUUUGGUUGGAUUCGCGGUGGUGGCAACUGGACGUCCGGUGGCAGUUCAUUGGUGAAUUUUGGGGGUCGUCUAAAUGAUUUUUUAGGAGGGUUCAAACUCCUGAUAAUUUGUUCUUCUGCAGAGAGGGUGUAGACCGGUGAUGGCCGGUUGCCAUCAUCGGCGGCCGGAGAGGCCAUUAAGGCCGUUUAAGGCUUUUGAGGGGGGAAGGGGGAGACAUGUAGUUGAUAUUAGCAAUUAGAUUAGUGCAUGGAACUUAACUAUUUUAGAAGUUAUAUUUGUUUAUUUAGUUAUUUUUAUUUUAUAUUAUUAUUGGAUAAGAUAUAAUAUAGUGUUAAUAUAACUAUAUUUUAACUUAUUUAUUUACUAGUAAGUACUAAUAUUAUAUUUACAAGUUUUAUUUUUUAAUUAAAUAAAUACUUUUUAUUUUUUUACGAAUUUGCGGAUUUUUGCGGAUUUAUAGAAAUAGAUCCAUAUCCAAUCCAUCGAUUUCGGAUUAUCAAAUUUUCAAUCCAAUCCAAUCCAUCAAUCCACGAAUCGGAUUUUUACGGAUCAAACGGAUUGAGCGGAUCGGAUUGUGAACACCCCCGUACGAAGGACCCCUGAUAUUGAUGUCCAUACAUCCGAAUAAAUUUUCUUUAUGAGGAGUCUACGUCAUGAUUUCUACGUCACGAAUUCUCCAAAAUAUGAUGUCUCUCACUCUUAUCUCUCACUCUUAUUUAAGGCAAACCUCAUAGAGGCAAAUACAGAACAUGAAGAAAAUUAAUUUUGUUCCUAGUCCUCACUAUCUAAAAAGAAUUUUCGUUGAAGCUAUAUAUAUAUAUAUAUUGAAUCUUUUGAAAAAAAUUGCUUCCUGAGCAUAUGAUUUCUUGCUGGUUAAUUUUAAAAUAAAAAUUAUUUUGACUAUUAUAUAAAAGUUAAUUUUAAUAUUAUUAAUAGAGAGAUUUUUUAAAUUGUAAAAUCUAUUUAACCCAAAGAUUAUUUAAAAUCUUUUUAAUAUUACAAUUAUAUUAUUAAAAUAAAUAUAAUAAUUUAAAAUUUUAAUAUUAUUUUAAAUGUAAAAAAUAAUUUAAUAUUAUUAGUCUACCAAAUAGAUUUAUAUUAUUUAUAUAAAAUUUGUGUUAGUUAAAAAAAUUUAAAAAUCAAAUUUUUAAUUAAUAUAAUCAAAAGUUAUUGUGGGCAAAAAAAAGUUUUUGUAUCUUUUUUUUAGGAUUUAAAGAGUUUUUUAUAACUAUUUUCCCAAAUCUUAGAAUGUCGUUAUUCUUUUUCUUUUUUUAUCCCAUCUCAGUUUUUUUACAAGUAUUCAAAUAUUAGCACGUGAAAUAUAUUUUAAAAUAUCCAUCAAUUUAUUAUUUCUUAAAGUACCUUUUAUUAAUAAAUAGCAUAAUACACACGAAGGACCAUUGAUAUUGAUGUUCAUACAUCCGAAUCAAUUUUCGAGUCUACGUCAUGAUUUCUACGUCACGAAUUCUCCAAAUUAUGAUGUAUAUCUAUUCUUUCCCCUUUUGGUAAACAUAUCUCACUCUUAUUUAAGGCAAACCUCAUAGAGUCAAUCACAAAACAUGAAGAAAAUUGAUUUUGUUCCUAGUCCUCACUUUCUAAAAAGAAUUUUCGUUGAAGCUAUAUAUAUAUAUAUAUUGAAUCUUUUGAAAAAAAUUGCUUCCUGAGCAUAUGAUUUCUUGCUGGGUUUCUUCAAUUGCUCUUCUUGUUCAGUUGUUAAAGCUUUCCAGUUUCCUCUCUGUCGUUCAAAGAAUAUUUGAUCAUUGAAGUGUCACCUUCGUAGUGUUAAUUUCGGUGAUGGAGUCCGCUGCUCAAGUGAGGGAUGUCGAUGCUUUGUAUGAGCUAAUUCAACAUGAUCGAUAUUUUUUGGACAACUUCGACGAGAAACCUUUUGUCGAUACUCCUUUGCAUGCUGCUCCAAGGGAUGGAAAUGUUGAAUGGUCCAUGGAGAUUAUCAGACUAAAGCCAUCAUUUGCCAGGAAGCUAAACCAAGAUGGCUUCUCUCCGGUGCAUUUAGCUUUGCAAAAUGAUCAAACUCAGUUAGUGCUUCAGCUGAUAGAUAUUGAUCUGGACCUUGUUCGUGUCCAAGGAAGAGAAGGCAUCACUCCUUUGCAUUUCGUGUCUGAAAAAGGAGACAUCCAUCUGCUGAGGGAAUUUUUGUCUGCUUGUCCGAAAUCUCUUGAAGAUGUGACGAAUAAAGGCGAGACUGCUCUUCAUAUUGCUUUGAAAAACGAUAAGGUCGAAGCUUUUGAUCAAGCCUUAACAACAGUACGACCACCGUGGCUUGGCCCUGAAGAAGCUCAACAAUACAAUCAAAGAAUCCUCAACUUGAAGGAUAGGGAUGGCAACACUUUGUUACACAUAGCAACAUCCAAAAGUCAAGUCCAGGCAAGCUCGAAUCCACACACAUAUAUAUAGAAAUUUUUCAAUGAGGUGCAGGCACUUCAUUAUUUUUAAUGCAGACAUGCUAUUAAAUUAUGUGAUUUAAUAGAGUCAAUGUUUAAUUCAUUAUAAAGCCGUGUAUUUUAAUAGCAUGCCUGCAUAUAAGUUAAUAGAGUGUUCGUAUGAGAAAAAAAAAGAGAGAGUAUUCACAUUAGAGAAUAACUAUAUUUAUAUAUAUAGUAUCUAAUUAAUGACCUUAUCUUCAUUUUAACAAAGUAAAGAUAUCACUAAUAAAUUAAAAAAAAAAGUAGUUUAACAAAGUAAGGAUAUCACUAAAAAAAAAAAGCAAUUUUCAAUAUAUUGAAAUAUGUGUUUUUUUUAAUUUUAUUUGCAUUCUUAUUUUAUUAAAAUUUUUUAUUAGGGAAGGACUAUAUCUAUCUGGUCACAAAUAAAAUUCAGUUGAAUGAUGUCUAAAUUGAUGAAUUUGUUUAUCCAAAGCAGAUUGUCAGGUGUUUAUUGAAUUGCAAAGUUGAUACAAAUGCCCGGAAUUCGGAAGGUUUGACACCUUUAGAUAUUUCAUUACUUGAUCAAACUAAAUCAGAAAACCAAGAGAUUGCGGCAAUGCUGCGGGAAGCUGGAGCACUAGAGGCAACUUCACUUCCUAUUACCGACAAGGAUAGACAUUUAUCGAGGUAACAGGAACACUGCUCUUUUACUAAAUUACAGUCCAUUUAUCGAUUAUCUUUUUAAAAACAAUAUGGCAUUUUCAUAUUAUGUACAUCUCAAAAAUUGUUUAAUGUCCUUCAGAAGUAAGGAUCAGAGGCUGAACGAGGCUGCUAAAACAGGAAAUGUUGAUGCCUUGUAUGAAUUAAUAUGGGAGGACGCAUAUCUUUUAGAUCAGAUAGACCAAGUACCAUUCGUGGAUACUCCUUUACAUAUAGCAGCAUCAAUGGGGCACGUCAACUUUGCCCUGGAGAUAAUGAGGUUAAAGCCAUCAUUUGCGAGAAAGCAAAACCAAUAUGGAUUUAGUUCUCUGCAUCUUGCUUUGCAGAAGCAAAACCAAUAUGUACUUGAUCACGAGCAUCUUAAGGAAAAGAAACAGACCCAAAUGGUGCGUCGGCUCAUAGAUGUGGACAGAAAUCUUGUUCGUGUCCAAGGAAGGGAGGGUGUAACGCCUCUACACUAUAUUGCUGAGAAAGGAAAUGUCGAUCUUCUAUGCAAACUUCUAGAGGCUUGCCCUGAGUCCAUCACAGAGGUGACAAUCCGUUAAGAGACUGCUUUGCAUGUUGCUGCAAAAAAUGACCAGUUGGAGGCCGUUGAGUGCAUGCUAGGAUGGCUUCGAUAUGUGGGCAUGGAGGAUAUCCUUAACUGGACGGACGAUGAAGGCAACACUUUAUUGCAUAUCACAAUCUCCAAAAGUCAAAUAAAGACAUGAAAAGUUUUUAAAUUUUACUUCAGUUAGUCCCUAUAUUUUCAUGAUUAUUAAUUGCAUGCAUAUAUAAAUAUAUACUUGCAGUUGGUGAGGCUACUAGUUAAAAGAGCACGUGAUCAAAUAAAUGCCCGGAACUUAGACAAUAAGACACCCUUGGACAUGGUAGAAGAACAUUUGGGAGGGAAACCUGAAUUUAAAGAAGUAACACGCAUGGUGCGCAAAGCUGGCGGUAGAGAAGGGUCCUUCCUUCCUCCUCGUAGGGACGUUGCAUAUUACUUAAAACAAGGUUUAACAUGGCGUCGAAAGGUGCUUUUGCUCUUUUACCGCUAGAUAAAUUUCUUAAAGGAAUAGCUUUUUAUUGCGGUAUGUGUCCUUUGUACAGAGCUCUGCUAUUUAUAUGCAGGGCUAGAUACUUUACAUGGUAAGUGUUUACAUGGCAAGAAUCACCGUUUAAUUAUACAAUAUUUUCAAUCUCCUCAUAUUUACAAUCUCGUUGAUCUCCUUCCUUGAAUACAGAUUCUUGCUUUGUGUCCAAGGUUAUUGCUUGACAGCUUCACACGAUUAUGUGGCAUCUGACUUGGACUCUUUUCUAACUCCCCCCUUCAAGCUUAACUGUCUGUUUGAGACUUUAAGCUUGUCUCUUAAAAAUCUGAAACGAUCACAGCUCAAGGGUUUUGUCAAAACAUCUGCCACUUGUUCCUUUGUCGGUACAUAUCUCACUUCUUGUUCACCAUUUGCAAUUUUUUCUCUGACGAAAUGUACAUCAAUUUCUAUGUGUUUAGUUCGGGCAUGAAAUACUGGAUUGCUGGCAAGGGAUGCUGCACUUGUGUUAUCACACCAGAUUACUGGUCUUUGUUUUGGCUUCAUUCCAAGUUCUCCUAGCAAAGAACAUAUCCACGUGAUUUCAGCACUUGUAUCGGCAAGGGACCUAUAUUCUGAUUCAGUGCUUGAGCGUGCCACCACCUUCUGUUUUUUCGAUCUCCAUGAGACUAGAUUCCCACCAAGGAAGGUGCAGUAACCACCAGUAGACCGUCUGUCAUCUUGAUCACUUGCCUAAUCUGCAUCAGUGAAACACAUCAGUCCUGGUUUUCCUUUUGGUGUGAAGUGUAGGCCAUAAUUUAAGGUUCCUUUCAAGUAUCUGAGAAUUCUCUUACACCCCUCCCAAUGAGUUUGUUUAGGUGCUUCUAAAUAUUGGCUUAGUGUGUUCACUGCAUAUGUUAUUUCAGGCCUUGUUAAGGUAGCAUAUUGUAGGCCUCCAAUUACACUCCUGUACAAGGUAUUGUCACUGAAGGCUUUCCCUCCUUCCUUUCUCAGCUUGGUACUUGUGCUCAUUGGUGUAGGCAAGCUUUUGCAAUUUUCCAUUCCUAUUCGUUGUAGGAGGUCAGUGAUGUAUUUCCCUUGCGAUAGAUGCAUUCCCUCAGCAGUCCUUUCUACUUCAAUUCCCAAGAAGUAUUUUAGCGAGCCAAGAUCCUUCAGAGAGAAGCUUUUGUUCAGCUUCUGAAUCACGUCGUCAAUUAUCCUGCUAUUACUUCCUGUGAGUAGUAUGUCAUCUACAUACACAGGUAGCAGCACUGUAUCUCCAUCUUUGUUCAUAAAGAAUAGUGAGGUGUCUGAUAUUGAGUUUUUGAACCCCCAGUCUUUAAGGGCUUAACUGAGCUUAUUAUACCAGGCCCUUGGAGCUUGUUUGAGACCAUAGAGUGCCUUUUUUAACUUGCAAACAUAUUGUGGCUUUCUUUUGUCCUCGAAGCCUUGCGGUUGUCUUAUAAAAACUUCUUCACAUAGUUCACCAUGCAAGAAUGCAUUAUUCACGUCCACUUGUUUGAUAUCCCAGUUGUUCAUAAUAGCUAGGUUCAACACAAUUCUAAUAGUUGGUGAUUUGGCCACUGGACUGAAAGUUUCGUUAAAAUCGAUGCCCGCUGUUUGAUGAAACCCUUUAGCCACAAGUCUCGCUUUAUACCUUGCUAUAGUGCCAUCUGGAUUAUACUUCACCUUGUAAACCCAUUUAUUUCCUAUUACCUUUUGAUCCUGAAAGGGUGGAACCAAUUCCCAGGUUCUGUUUUUCUGAAGUGCUUCAAACUCUUCCUUCAUGGCUGUCUCCCAUUUUUUAUUUUUCAACGCCUCUUCUACACUUGCUGGAGUGUCAAUUUUCUCUCUUGCUAAUCUUUUUGCUGUGUAAAUUUUGGGUUUAUAUAUCCCAGACUUGGCUCUUGUGAUCAUAGGGUGACUGGGGGGAAGUGUUUGUGGCUGGCUUGUUGACUCUGUAGCUGCAGUAUUUUGGGUACUUUUUUGCUGUUGUUUCUGAGUUUGUCAUGACUGGUUCUGGUGUUUUAGGUUCUGUAGUGUUGGUCUCUUGGUUUGGUGAAAGGAUGUGGAGCUCUCGGUCUGUUGGACAGUGAAGGUUGGAGCCUGCUUCUUGAACGACUGCUGGUGGAGAUGUAGCUGAGACACAUCCUGAAGUAGAAACCUGUGGCACUGUUAGGAUUUGAGUAUAAUAUGGACACACAGCUGUAUUUUUCUCAGUAGGUUGAAAAGCUUUGUCAUUUUGAAAUGGAAAUUCAAACUCAUUAAAGACCACAUUUAUUGCUAUAUAAACUCUCCCACUACUGUGUAAGCACAAGUAUCCUUUGUGUUGAGAGCUAUAUCCUAUAAACACACAUUUAGCAGUGCGAAAAUCUAAUUUAUGUGAAUUGUAUGGCCUUAAGUGGGGAAAACAUGCACAACCGAAAUCCUUCAUGAAUUUGUAAUCAGGCUUUUGAUGAUAGAUUAUCUCAUAUGGGGAUUUUCGAUUGAGUAUUAAUGUCGGCAUCCUAUUUAUUAAGAAUGUGGCUGUUUCAAAGGCUUGCCACCAAUACUUUGUAGGUAUUGAGGCUUGUGGUAGUAAGGUUAGGCCGAUUUCUACUAUAUGCCUAUGUUUUCUUUCCACCCUUCCAUUUUGGUGAUGAGAGUGAGGACAUGAAUGCCUAAAUAAAAUUCCAUUUUCUUUGAGAAAUGGUACGAAGGAUCUGAAUUCACCCCCCCAAUCUGUUUGCAAGGUUUUAAUUUUCUUUUCAAGUUGGGUUUCAAUCAUUUUCUUAAAUACUUGGAAGGUGGAAAAGGUUUCUGAUUUGGCAGCCAAUGGAUAAAUCCAUGUAAAUCUGGAAUAGUCAUCUACAAUGCUUAGGUAGUACCUAUAGUUGUUUCCAGAGGCUAUUGGUGAUGGUCCCCAGAGGUCAAUAUGCAAUAAUUCCAGUGGUUCAUUUGUUUUUGUUGCUGAGUUUGUAUGGCUUAGUCUAUGACUUUUUCCAUAUUGGCAUGCUACACAAAAUUGAGGAACGGAAAUUUUAUUGAUGUUACUAGAUACAUCACAUGACAUUAAUAUGUCAUUUAAUGUUUGAACACUAGGGUGACCAAAUCUUUGAUGUAAUGUAUCUAUUUUAUUGACUCCAUUACAAGUUGAUUCUAGACUUCGACUCUUAGAAGACUCUGAUUCGCUGUGUGACAACACAGGCUUAUUUAAAGCAGCAAAAAGAGAAGUUGCAAGGGGACUUUUGACUCUAGAUUCAGGUGUCUUGCAGGAUGUUUCCAACAGAUACAAUCCUCCAUCAGCCGUUCCUUGAAGCAAGACUUUCUUCCUCAUCUUGUCCUGUAUAAGGCAAGUAUUUUUCUUGAAAACAACAAACAAGUCAUUGUCAGAUAAUAAUUUAGAGAUGCUAAGGAGAUUUUUUGUAAUAUGAGGGACAUGCAAAACAUCUUUUAAAAUAAUUGGCUUCUGACAUGGGACAUGUAAUGAGGAUCUACCAAUAUAAUUUAUUUUUAACUUAUGACCAUUACCAACCAUAAGUUUGUCACUUCCCUUGUAUUCAAAUUUCGUUUCAAGGUUUUCAAUCUGAUAUGUGACAUGGUUUGUAGCACCACUAUCCAGGUACCAACCUUGAUCAUUUUCCGAAUCAAUCUUUGCAACAUUAGCCGUGGCUUGACUCUGGUUUUUCUCAUUGCUUUGUGGCUCGUAGUCUUCUUUAAAGCGAUGCCAGCAAUCGAAUGCAGUGUGUCCUACCUUUCCACAAAUUUGGCAAGUUGGCUUUGAUUUUCCUCUGCCAGAUGUUUGUGGUGUUUUUGCUCUGCCUCUACCUCUUGGAUUGUUUCCUCUUCCACUAUUGUAUUUUCUUUGGUUUUGAGUAGAUUGAGCAUAGUUUGCUGAUAUGUUCCCAUCAGAAGCUAUGUUGGCAGCAGUAUGCAGCUGAUCAAGUCUGCUUUCAUGGUUCAAGAGAAGUGAAUACACUUCUUGAAGAGGUAGUGUGUCUGAUCUUGCUGUUAUAUUAACCACUACAGGGUCAUAUUCUGAUCCCAAGCCUGCAAGAAUAUAGAGAACUAAGUCUUCUUCUGUGAUGGGAUUUCCUGAGGCGGUGAGAUUGUCAGCAAAGUUUUUCAUUUUGGAAUAAAAAUCACUAACAGUCAUAGACCCCUUUUUCUGGGUUUGAAGCUGCAUCCUAAGUUGUAGGAUUCGAGCUUUUGACUGAGAGGAGAAAAGCCUUUCCAGUGCAUUCCAAACUUCAUAAGAAGUGGUGCAACUGAUGACUGAACUUAAGACACUUUCAUUCAUUGAAGACAGCAGCCAACUAAGAAGAAGUUGGUCCUGUUUCUUCCAAAGUGCAUAUUCUGGAUUUACAGUCGUUUCUGCAGUUUGGUCAUCUACAGCAACUACCAGAAAUUUGUUUGGGCAAGGUUUUGUGCUGUUUAUGAAGCCUUCAAGUUCAUUGCCACGGAUUGAGGGCAGGACUUGAGAUUUCCACAUCAGGUAAUUUUGUCUAUCUAGCUUGAUUGGGACGGUGAAAUUGAAGGUGGUGGGAUUGGUUUGUGGUAUUGUAUGGGUGGCGGAAUUGGUGGUAUUAACAAAACUAGAUGAAGCCAUUAUUUCGACUUACCCGCUCUGAUACCAAGAUAAAUUUCUUAAAGGAAUAGCUUUUUAUUGCGGUAUGUGUUCUUUGUACAGAGCUCUGCUAUUUAUAUGCAGGGCUAGAUACUUUACAUGGUAAGUGUUUACAUGGCAAGAAUCACCAUUUAAUUAUACAAUAUUUUCAAUCUCCUCAUAUUUACAAUUUCGUUGAUCUCCUUCCUUGAAUACAGAUUCUUGCUUUGUGUCCAAGGUUAUUGCUUAACAGCUUCACACGAUUAUGUGGCAUCUGACUUGGACUCUUUUCUAACUCCGCUCAUCACAUGGCACUACGGAUGAAAAUCGAAACGCACUACUUGUGGUUGCUGUACUAAUCGCGACAGCCACAUUCCAAGCAGCGCUUACCCUGGCUGACGAUCUUCAGGGAAAUAAGUCAACUGGAACCAGCAACUCUGUUGCCAAUUUUGGAUCACAAUCAGCGUCGACAUCGACAUCGGCAUCAGCAUGGGCAUAUGUAACACCAUCAGGAAGAGCAAAUGCAACCGCCAUUUAUCGGAGCAAUGGAACCAGCAGCAGCAUCCCAACAAGUGACAAGAUUCGAUUCGCUCACGGGAAAUUUUAUGGCGAUGCCGUCAGUGAUACGAUCUCCUCACUUUUCGCAUUUUCAAAUAUUACAGCAUUUUGUAUAUCUAUGCUGGUGAUUAAUUAUCACCUUCCGUAUGGCUCCGCAGCUACUCUGGUAUAUCCUCUAGUUAUUUGCUUUUGCCUGUUAGUGGUUGGCAGAACCCCGUUGUCGCUACUUGCCUCAUUCUUAAUGCUUAUCGUCUUUCGGAUUUUUUUAUUUGUACAACUGGACUUCUCCAAGGUUCGAUUUAGACGAAGCUUCUGGAUUACACAAGUUUUGGGCUCCGUUUUCAAACAUUACGGAAGCUUCCGCAAUAAGAUGAACGAAGAUGAAAAAUAGCUAUAAUGCCAAUAUGCUGCCAAGGACAAAACACAUGUCCGUUGGUCUGUUGAUGUUCUCUGCCAUGGACAAGUGUUUUAGUUAAACACUUCCUCUGAAGUAAUAUUGCUGGUUUUGUUUUGUGUAAGAAGGUGUGCUUUUCUGUACUGUAUUUUCUGAAUUAUGUUCGUUUGCUUUUGCUUCAUUUUGUAAGGUCUUGCAUGUUUCAAUGUAACAUUAAUUACUCUUGUUGUAUCUGAUAGUUGUAUUGUUCACGUUCGUGACUGUGAAUAUAAUGAUGUUAAUUUAAUUAAAACUAUAUGCUUGUUUGGCUGAUAAGAAAAUGAAGGAAAAUUUAUUGACUUAGAGAGGAAAAACAGAAAUUGAAUUCGUUAUGAUUGAUACAGUGAAAUGAGAUUACAAUACACUAUAUAUAUAUAGUAGCAUCUGGAACUUUCCAAGUGUAACAGAAUCAUAUACAAAGUCUCUGAUAUUCACCAUAACAUUUUGGUGGGAAAUAACAAACUAAUAACAAACUUUGAACAGCUUGCAUAACAAUCUUCCAGUAGCUUCCAGCAUCUUGUCCAGCGUGGCAUCUGAUUCAUUACUCUACUUAACAAUUUUCUGACAUCAAUUAGCUGACUCAACAUAUUCUUAACAAAUUUGUAUGAACAUAUGAAAUAUCAAUAUCAUUGGGCUUUUGAUGCUCCCACAGGCUACUUAAAAUUGUACCUAUAAAAGUCUGUUAGAAGAAAAGCUGAUUCAAAAUACUUACGGCAAUAUAUAAGUAUGCUUCCGGCAAUAGGGUGAAAGCCUACACAUGAAGAAAAACAAACAACAAACAGCAAACGCACAAACAUAGCAACAAAAGAAGACAAGACAAUGUCUGAUGAGAUUAAAAAGCUGACAAUUGAUGAACCCUUCAACACCCCUCCAAAAGGCUCAGCUGGGUCAUAAUAAAUGUCAACAUCCUCUGACCUAACUGACUCAUCAACCCUAAGUGACUCAUCAACCUAUGUAUCGGGUUUUUCAUUCAUCAGCAAAGAGUUUCAGCACUUGAUCUGAAAAAUAAAGACUGCUUUUGACACUCUAGAAAUUCAAUUUCAUUUUUCCAUGUUAUUGAUGAUCAAACUCAGAUUAGCAACUGAAAAUAUAAUAUAACAAUUUGACAUCAAAAGUAAGUCCACUGAAAAUCUUUGGAAAUAUAUUAAUUAAAAUUAUGUUGAUGAAAUUUUUUAAAAUUUUAUGGUUUUGGUUUACGAAUCGUGUUGGCGAACGGCUUUAUUGUACAAGUACAGGUGCUGCUUCCUCUUCAUCUAUAUUAUACGGUUUACAUUGUUAAUUUAUUUUAGUACUUUGUUUCCUCAUUUGUUGAAAUCCACUGAGUGCUUUAAAGUUACCUGAUUGACACUAAAAUUAUCAUUUUUUUCCUUCAUCCUGUUCUCAAAUUCAGUCACGUUCCUUCGUCAUUUGUUCACGAAAUCCAAGUGCGGGCAACCAAAUGAGAAAGCCUGUAUUUUGACAAGCUCAAUCAAAAUUCUUCGGUUCCUUACGUGUUGAUUUCGACCUCUAUAAAUUAAAUUUAUUUAGCUUGAAGAGAGAAUUUGAUAAAAAUUUAAAUAAAGAAAUUGGGCAAUGAGAAUAUAUUUAUAAUUUUAUUAACAAUAUAUGGACAAAUUGGACAAUUAACAACUAUUUUUUUAUGUGCUAGAAGGGUAUAACGGUAAUUAUAUAUUAAAAUUAUAAUUUCUGUUAAAAGUAACGGUUUCCGUUGAUGAAUGAGGGUGUGAAUGUCUUUUUUGAAAUAUUGGAAGGACUUUUAUCCAUCUGUCUAAACGUUGUGAGUGUGUUAGUCUUUUUCCCUAUUUACAAGUACAAUUGUAAAUUUAUUUUCCCAUUCUUCUUCCCUUCUCUUCAAAAUUCAGCCCGAUUUUCUCCAUUUAAUCAUUCGCAUUUACAACAUUGCAAAUCUAGAAUUAGAAUUAAAAAUUCUUCUGAUUUUCCAAUACCAAUAAGUCAAUAAAUCAACUAUUAUAGUCAAAACCAAACCCUAAAACAAAAUAAUCAUUUUUUUUCCUUCAUCCUGUUCUCAAAAGGGGUUAUCUUUGUUGCUAGGCAUGUGGUGUUUUACGAAUCAAAAUUUCCUUUCUCUACUGAUCCUCAAUUCUCUAAGCAAUCUUCUACCUCUGUUUCCGAGUAUAGACAUCCUAUGUUUAAAACUUCUUCUGUGUUAGUUCUGCUACAUGAUCCUUCAGGCUCAAGUGACAACACUGUACAACAGCUUUAGCUCCAUGCAGUUCCAGCUUCCUCUUCUUCCUCUAGUUCUUCAUCAUCAUCACCUUUACCUCCAAAUCCAUAUUUCCCUGAUCCUUAUCACAAUAUGUCCCAUAAUUCCCAACACUCUUCUUCUUCUACAUCUAUUGUGCCUAUUCCACAGCCUUCUGUCCCUGCUCACGUACCACUGCCAACUCAUCCAAUGGUUACAAGAGCAAAAGCAGGAAUAUUUAAGCCAAAGUUUCUUGCAUAUUCUUCUGUUCUUGAAGAACAUGAACCUGCUACAAUUUCUCAAGCUCUCUCCAAUCCUAAAUGGAAAGCAGCAAUGCAGGCUGAGUAUGAUGCACUCAUGAAAAAUGAAACUUGGGUUCUUGUUCCAGCCUCUCAAGCUACUAAAGUUGUUGGUUGUAAAUGGGUGUUUCGCAUUAAGUAUAAUGCAGAUGGCUCUAUCUCUGAGUAUAAAGCUCGUUUGGUUGCAAAUGGGUUUCAUCAAACCCCUGGUAUUGAUUACUUUGAGAAUUUUAGUCUAGUGGUUAAGCAAUCUACUAUGAGAAUUGUACUUAGUCUUGCUGUUAUGAAGAGCUGGAAAAUAAGGCAGAUAGACAUCAACAAUGCUUUCCUUAAUGGGCAGCUCAAUGAAGAUGUUUACAUGUUUCAACCUGAGGGAUUUGUCUAGCCUUCAUCUGGUCAUGUUUGUAAAUUGCUUAAGGCUCUUUAUGGUCUAAAACAGGCUCCUAGAGCCUGGUUUGAUCGGUUAAGGAAAGCAUUGUUGAAGUGGGGGUUUCAGAACUCAAGAACAGAUUCAUCUUUAUUCUUUAAACAUGAACUUGGAGGUAUUGUAGUUGUGUUGGUAUAUGUGGAUGAAAUUCUUAUUACUGUAGAUAAUAAUACAGUGAUUGAAAGGUUCAUCAAAUAUCUUGGAGAUACUUUUGCUUUAAAAGACCUUGGUGAAUUCAAUUACUUCCUUGGUAUUGAAGUUACUCAAGGUACAAAGGACAACUUACAUCUCUCACAGGCCAAAUAUGUAAGAGAUUUGCUCACAAAAACUGCAGAGAAAGUGGUACUCCAAUGAGUACAGGACAGAAACUAAGAAGAGCAAGAAAUGAAGAUAAUUUGAUUGUUAAUGUUACUGAAUAUAAAAGCAUAAUAGGUGCAUUGUAGUAUUUGGUACUCACAAGGCCAGAACUUGCUUUCUCAGUAAACAAGUUGAGUCAAUUUCUUGCUGCAUCUACAGAGAAGUACUGGACUGCUUGUAAGAGAAUUCUAAGAUACUUAAAGGCAACUGAGGAUUAUGGCUUGCUAUUUAAACCAGGUGGUGGUGUUGUCUUAACUGCAUAUACUGAUGCAGAUUGGGCAUGUGAUGUUGAUGACAGGAAAUCAGUUGAAGCAUAUUGUGUUUAUCUUGGGCAAAAUCUUAUUUCAUGGUCUUCUGAGAAGCAACAAACAAUAGCUAGAUCUAGCACAUAAUCAAAAUAUAGAGCAUUAUCAACAUCAUGUGCAGAAAUCGUUUGGGUUCAGGCUUUGCUUGGUGAACUUAAUAUAAUCAAACACCAAUAAUCUGGUGUGACAACAAUGGUACUGCUGCAUUGACAACAAAUCCAGUAUAUCAUGCUAAAACCAAGCACAUAGAAUUAUAUGUACAUUUCAUAAGAGAGAAUGUGACAAAUAAACAAGUGGAAAUCAAGUAUGUGCCUAGUGAAUGGAAUAUUGCAGAUGUGCUUACAAAGCCUAUGGCUUACUGCUUUUUUAAUUACUGUAGGACAAGCUUAAUGUUGUUUCAUGACCGUUAAGCUUGAGGAGGAGUGUUAAGAUGCUUAAUCAACAGCAGUAGACCAGUGGCUGAGAUUUGUGCGACAAGGAUUGCUGAGCUGGACAAAUUAGUUAAGUUGUUGUAAUUAGUUUUAGUUUAGCCAAUAGAUGUAUUACAAUUGUACAAAAGGUUGUUAUUACUGUUGAUCAACAAUAUAAGUUUGCUACGAGCUAAAUGUAAUUCAUAUAAUUCAUAUCAAUAAAAUUUUCUCCGAUUUAGUUACUUUUCUUUCUUCUUUCUGUCACUUUCCUGCUAGCCAAACAAACUAUCAACCUAAGAUCCGUGAGUUCUAACUUUUACAAAUGUAAUAAUUACCAUGAAUUUGCAAAAACUUGCAGCAAAUAUUUGUGUCCCAAUAGGUUUACAAUUGCAACACAUAUCGAAAAACUGUAAUAGUACCCUUGAUUAUAAUUACUUGACCAUAGUCAGUGGCGAACUAUGUAUACGCCUGGCAGCCGAGGUGUCAGGAAUUUAAUUUAACAGGGGUGCCUAAGUUCAAACACUAACAUAAUUAAAAAAAUGGUCAAUAAAUAACAAAUAUUAAAAUAUUUAGGGCUAGUUUGGCAAUCUUAUAACUUUUAAAAUAAUUGUUGUUACUUGCGCUGUAAAAAUAAUAAGUUGUGAAUGGAAUUAGUUAAACGUUUGACAAAAUUUCUUCUUAAAAGUGCUUUUGUAAAUCUCAUUGUUGAACUAUUAUAAGAGUUUAAAUGAUUAAAAUGGACAUAAUAUUAAAUAAAAUAUAUUAUAUAGAUAUAAAUACAUACAUAUAAUAUUUUUUAUUAUGUCUAUUAGUAAUUGAAAACUAAAAUAAUUAUCUUUGUUUUAUUAAUUAUUUUUUAUCUCAAUAUAAUUAGUAAUAAUAAUAAUCUCUAGAUUUAAUAAUUUUAUUUCCUAAUUGAAUAAGGAUAAUUUUAGAUUUUUAUAAUAUAUGUAAGGAUAUAUAUGGAAUUUUAUUAAUUAGAAAACUUAUCCUGAAAAUUAGAUUUUGAAAGCCUACUUCUUUUUUGCUUUCCAAAAUAUGCUGUUAAUAAGAUAGAGUGAUUUUACCGAAAGUGAUUUAAAAAAAAAAAAUCUACCAAACAGUAAAAUUAAAGUUUAGCUUUUAAAAUCACUUUUAAGUCUCUCAAAAGGAAUCCCAAAUAGGCCAUUAAUUCAAUACAAUUAUAAUUGUUCUCAUGUAUUUUCAUAUGUUAAAAAUAUUGAAGAAUAACCUCAUUAUCAUUACUACAAACAUAUUUUUUUCUACGUAUACAAUAAAACUAUCAUUCAACAAUUGGUUUCCCAUAUGAUUUUGUGGAAGAUUUUUCAGAAAAUUCAUAGCUGAAAAUACCCUUUCUAAUUUAGUUGUGUUGCCUGAUAAAAUCAUUGCUAAUGUUACCAACAUAUAAAUUAAUGAAUACAACUAUCCAUUAUCUCAACCAUUUUUCUUGCUAACUCACCAGUCUCUUUUAAUCUUAAAAAUGUUGUCAAAACCCACAUUCAUAAUAUAAUCAUCAAGUUGAAUUUCAAGUGCCAUAAUGCAACAAUCUUUCUUUAUGGGUUCAAAGUGUUAAAAAGAAUAUUUAAUAUUUUACUUGUUUUUAAAUUUUAACAAGGGCAUUAUGGUAAAUCAAAUAAAAUAGGACAAAUAUUAAAAAAAUUAAAAAAUUGAAAAAGGGUUUUAGCCCCUGCUAAAAUGGCACCGCAUCUAAAGCCUAGGGUGCCUUGAGGCAACAUACCAAUAAUAAUAAUAAAGAAAGAAAUCAAGAAAAAAGACACAUAAUAAUAAGUAGUAACAUUAGCAAUGUUAUUUGUAUUUUAUGUUUUGACCCCUAUAAUUUUACAAGUUGAUUUUAUGUUACCGCCUACUGAAAUUUAUGGUUUUGGUCAUUGUGUUUGGCCCUCUCAAUUUUAGUGAUUCUAUACUGUAUGAAAUGUAAGUUAUGCAACCCAAGAGGGGGGUGAAUUGAGAUUUUAAAACUUACGCUAAAUAAUUCGCACAACAAUUUAAUGUAUUGCCUUAAUCAAAUGCAAAAACAAUAAAUUCAGUAAAGCACAAUACUAAAAGAGUAAGUACAAUAAUAAAAGAGUAAGGGAAAAGAAAGCAAACACAAAAAUUUUUACGUGGUUCGGCAAUCCCCGCUUACGUCCACGCCUCCAAGCCAACCAAACUCGAGGAUUUCACUAUCAAAGCCUCCCAAAUCCUUAAGUUCUUACAAUUAACUUCCAAUGUGUCAAUGAACCUUUACAAUCAAGAGAUUAUCUCCCCAAUCUAUUCACCCUAAGUGUUUCUCACACUUGUACACUUACAAUUUGAUGAGAAAUGAACAAUUACAACAAAAACUCUCUUUAAGAGUGGAUUUGCAAAUAAUAGCAUAAUAAUGAUUCAAUAAAUGAUGGUUUACGAAAUAGAACCUCAAUAUGUGUUAUAUGAUCUUAUUUAUGCUUACAUUAGUCUUGAAAAUGAAGAUGGAGUUAAGGUUUUAUAACUAAAGCUCGAAAACUAACCGUUAUAGGCAAAUUCCAGCGCUCAAGCGGUUAGCCGCUUGAUUUAUCCAACUAGCCGCUCCAGAACAAUGAUGUUACCAUUAAAUUUGAAUUUUACUACAGUAUCAUUGUUCAUUAAAUUACAUUUGUGACCAAAACUUUCUAUAAUUAUAUUAUAGCCUAACAUGUCAUAAAACUUUGCAAAUAAGUCUAAUUUCAGAAUUUCUAAAUAAUACAUGUCAUUCCUAAAUCUUAUUGUAAUUAUGAUAUGACCUAGUAUAUAAUAACAUUUUUAAAAAAGGUCCUUUUCAAAAUUUAAAAUAAUACCCAUAAAUUUUAAAGUUCUCAAAUCUUUUCAAUUUAGUCCAAAAUUUGAAAAUAUGAGACUUUCCUCAAGCGGUUGGCCGCUCACUCUCUGUCCAAUUUUUUAUUUCAAUUGUUUGGAUUACGUUUUGGUCCUCAAACUUUCUUAAAUUGUAAUAUGACCCAAAAUAUUUCAAAUAUUUACAAAUAAAUCUAAAUUCGAAAUUCAAAACAAUACUUAAUAAAAUAAAAGAUUGCAAAACUUUUUCAUUUUAGUCCAAAUUACUCAAAUCCACAAAAUACUUUAUCUUAUAAAUAUAAAACCUUUUAGUUUAUGAAAGGUAAUUAUUUAAAUAAACUCUUGAGUUUCUCAAAUGCUAAAUCAUAUAUCAAUUAAAUCAUACCGAUUUUACAAGAAUUUGUCACAAUAAUUUGUCCGUUGAGCUCUAAACUUUAUUCUUGAUUUUGCCGUUGUCCGUUGAGUGUCUUGAACUUGAUUCACUUGCAUAAAUAUUAUCCUUAAAAAACUAGUAAAAAUGUGAAAUACAAUAUUUAUUAAAUCACUUAACACAUGUUUGUUAUUAUCAAAAUUACAUUAUGGGUAGCCCUUUAGGCUAACACUGUAGCCUACUCAAGUAUAUAGUUUCUUCAUUAGGCCCCAAAACCAAAAUCCUAAGAGUAUCUCCAAAAAGUUCUAUUAAUUUUACUCUUCAAAUAUUUAUUUGCUUACCUAUGUGGUAAAAAGGAGAGUGAAAAAAUAUGUUAUUCUCCAAAAGACUCUUUAAAUAGAAAUAAGUUAAUAUUAUUUUAAUCAAAUAAAUAUUUUUUCAAAGGAAAAAUAAAUGGUAAUUAAAGCAUUUCUCUCUCUCUCUCUCCCCAAUAAAAAGUAAUAAAAUAUAAAUUGAAGAGAGAGAAAGUAACUCUACAAAUUAAAGAGAGAGAAUUAUUUCUUAUUUGAAAAAUCUUAAUUAGAGUAUCUUUUGAAGUCUUAAAUACUGAUGUAACUCUUCAAAUAAGUAAUAAAAUCUUAUUUGAAGAUUUUUUUGGAGAUGCUCUAACUUCACCACUAGAUUUACUUGAGUAUUCAACAAUACUCGACUUACUUGAGCGUAGGUGAUUUAGUUAUACUUAAUUGACUACUAAAACAAUUUAUUCGACUUACUCGACGAUACUUUACUUAGCUCACUCCAUGUACUAAUAUUUUACUAUUUUUCUAAGUGGUACAUUUAAUUACAAAAAUCCAUGAAAAUUUGAUAAUGAUGAAAUGCUUAAUAAAUAAGGGUAUUUGGUCGAAUUAUAACAAUGUUUGUUAAACACUGGUCUAAUAAUAAGUAGUCAUUUUCUGAUGAAAUAAAAUUAAAGCUGACAAAAUUUAACAUUACUGGUUUACUCUAUACAAAUACAACAUGAAUAAAUAUGUAUCUAUCAUGAAAAUUGACAUGAUUAUUAAAUGAAUUUGGUCUAAGUCAACCCAAUUGUUUCCCGUGUCAGGCUAGAAUUCAAUUUUUCAAUGCAUUUACUUGGUCAAUGACGUGAUUGUUAAAUAGUUAACCAAAACUAAUUCAUAUUUGCAUUAAAAUAUACUUAUAUUUUCAAUUCUAAAUUAAUUUAUAGAAUCUUAUCAUUAAAACUCAAAAUUUGGUCAUGAUUCUAGAUGAACAUAUAUUUGAUGUUCUAUUUUGUAAAAUUCUUGAUAGAUUUAAAACUUCAAUGGUUCAUACAUGUUGUAUUUGCAUCAAAUGAGUGUGUAGUAUUUGAUGUAAAUCGUGUUAGAAUUUAAAUAGGUAUUCAGUGAAUUUUUAGGUUAUAUCAUGUUAGAUGACACAACUACCUAGUUAUUAAAAGAGCGUAUCAAGUCACUAUUUUAUUUUUCGUAUCGAGUUCAAGUUUUAAUAUUUUAACAUUUUAUUUUUCGUAUCAAGUUCAAGUUUUAAUAUUUUAACACGACUAUUAAAUAAGUCGUGUUUUAACCAACAUAAAUUUAACACAAAAUUGACACAAUAUGAGUGGCUUAAUGACCUAUUUUGUUAGUUUUAUUUAAAACCCUCUAAUCUAUAAAUAAAAAAUAAAAAACGGUCCAUGGGCCUAGCCCAAAUAUAAAUUCAACAAAACCAGCUCCCGCUCAAUCACACUCUCUCGGUCGUUCCCUUCACUCUCCAAAACCCCCCAUUCCAAACAAAACCCUCAUUUUUCCCUCUUAACGAAGUCACUUUCUCGAGAACCAAACAUUCCCUUAGAUCUCCAAUUUCAUAAUGAGAGAAGAAGAAAUAGAGAAACUUCGAGGAUUGGUUCGCGACUGUGUGAGUAAGCAUUUGUACUCGUCGGCCAUUUUCUUCGCCGAUAAAAUCGCCGCUUUGACCAAUGACCCUACUGGCGUGUACAUGCAGGCUCAGGCUCUGUUCCUUGGCCGCCACUACCGCCGUCCAUUUCACCUCCUUAACGCCUCAAAAAUUGUGCUCCGUGACCUCCGAUUUCGUUACUUGGCUGGUAAGUGUCAGGUAAAGUUCUGUUUUUUGAUUGCAUUAGAAAAUUUGACUUUCAGAUUUUGGGAUUUGUGCUUUUUGCGUUUUUAGUUUUUUUUUAAUGUUAUGAAAAAGGGAAAUUUUGAAAAUUUUUACUUGAAAUUCGUGUUCUUUUUAUUUUAGAACAAAAGAAUUUCAAUGAAAAAUAUUUGGAAAUUGAAUUGCUCUAGCAAAUUUGCAUGUGUUGUGUGUUUUAAGAAAAUGAAAACUAGAUUUUGAGCAAUUAAGGAGAAAUUAUCGACUUUGAGCUGAAUGAUUUUGAUCAAUUUUUUCUUGAAUGUUUAUUUGUUUAUACAACUGGGUAGUUUUUCUUUUACUUAUUUAUUUCUGGUCUGUCCUUUGUAUAAUUAGGAGGAACUGAAGGAGUGGGACUAGUGUUUGUCGAUGCUCGGUGAUGCUAAGGUUGAUGAAGAUGGUAAUGUUUAUGACACAAAGGAUAUCAAUGUCAUGUACUUAGAUAAAGAUGGGGAAGACGGAGAAAUCAAUGUAAGUUUUUGUUUGUAAUCUCAUUUUAUCUGGCCUUUUAUUUUUUAAUUUGUUGCACAUUUGUUGUAUACUUGACCCAAUAUUUCUUUUUUCUAUUACAGAUCUCUUCAGCUAUAUGCUUUUUGAGAGGCAAAGCAUAUGAAGCCUUGGGAAAUUGUGCCCAAGCUCGGCUGUGGUUAGUUUCUUGCGAUGAAUUUACAUGAAAAUCACUCUGCUUAAUUGUAAAAUGCUUUAUGGUUAUUUUCCCUUAGUUUUUCAGUCAAAAUGAUACCAACUUAUACUGUCUAACGGUCUUCUGUUAUAGUAACUUAGGUGUAGUAAUUUAACGUACUGUUAAAGAAAGGAAAUGACUUUAUUGUUUUAAUGGGAGAAUUUUGAACAUUGUUAUAAACUUGUUUAAGUUGGGCAUAAGUAAAUUUAUCUUCAAUUUCAUUACUGAGCAGAUUUUGUUUGAAUGCAUGAAUGUUUGAUAUAUGUGUUUAAUAACCAAGGAGUUUGUUUAGAUACUACUUUAAGAAUUAUCUAUAUAUAGAUUGGGUAGUCUAGAAAACUCUCCUUGAUUAAAUCAAUGUAUAAUUUUGAUAAGACAGUUUAAAAUGUUAACAUCCCAUGUCUUCUGGAGUCCAUUUGGUGACAGAGGAAUGGUAGUAUAUGCUGGGAUGGUUUAGUUCAAUAAGGCUAUUAGUUCUGUUCUGCUUUUUCAAAGAGGUUGAUUGCCAAAUUAACAGCCACAUGAAGGAGAUUGUCUUUUUUUUUUUUUUGUAUCCUGAAUUGUUUUUGCUUCCAACCACAAUUCUGGUCUUCUAUUGGUUCACACUUCCUACUUGUAUCUCGAUGAUUUUAGCUGCAAUACCUCAUUACUAAAUUCAGCUCUAACAACAGAGGAACUUAUUUGCUUCCUCUUUAUCUUGUUCCAUUACUAACUUUCAUGUGCAGCAUUUUUAGAAGGUUAAAACUAAUAGUACAGAAAGGUGGUUUUAAAUCAAAUGUAACAAGAUUCAAUUGACAGAUCAGCUAUGCUUCACUCCAUGUGGUUACCUACACACCUGGAUAUUUGUUUUAGAGUUGUAUGCUGUCUGAAUUAGUGGCCUCAUUUUGUUAUCUGAUUGAAAGCUUGCAUGUAUUUCAGUAAGUUAGGUUCUUCCCUCAACUCUUUUUCUUUAGUAACUAUUAUGGUAUUGUUUUAUAACCUUAAUUAGCUUCUCUUUGGUUUUUCAUUUGUCAGUAUAUCUGCUCUAUUCUGUUCAAUUCCUUUUUCUCUAUUCUCUCAGUUAUGUUGAACUAAAACGCUAUAGUUCAUACAAAGGCUUACUAUAUUUUUUCAUAAUGAUUUAAGGUACAAAGCAGCAAUCAUAGCUGAUCCUUUGUGCUAUGAGGUAUGCAUGACACGCUAUCAAUGUUUUUUUUUUCCUUUCCCCCUAGGGAUAAGCUGGUGGGGGGAGCGUCCCGUUCUCAAAAACUCCUUACCUUGAAUUUUGUGGCUGCAUAAAUUUCAGACAUGACUUUCUAUGCAAAAUAUUACAACCUGUGGAAACUGUUGCCUUCUCAAGGAUUAGAAAAUUACUCAAAAGAGGGCUAGAUUUUUUGAGCUAGGCUUGUCCCUUUUUUUUUUUUGUAAAUAGAAUUUUAAUCCUUUUCUUUAAUUUGACCUCUGCUGAUCACAUAGAUGUCUCAUUUGGAUGUUCCUUAUAAGAUAUAUCGAUUCUCAUUCUUUAUGAUUUUUUUUAUGGCUGUACCUUGAUUUCUUUUUCAGGCUUUGGAAUGCCUUAUAGAAAAUCACAUGCUAACAUGCGAGCAAGGUAAUGAUGUAGUUUUUUCCUAGUCAUCUGUUUCUUUCAUCUGAGAGAAGUGGAUUAUGAAAAUGUUUACAUUUUGAAUUAUAGUUCUUACAUAAGUGUGCACGCGCACACACACACACACACACAUAAAUGAAAUUAUAGUCACACACAAACAUGUUGAUAUAAAUUUAAUUUUGGUAAAAAUUUCUUUGGCUGUGUUCAACUAGCAUUGGAUUUUUCAUGGAACAUGUUAUAAUAGGCUAAUACUUUAAAUUAUUGGAUUUGCUGUUGAAUUUCAGAAACAAGUUUACUUUCAUCAUUGGAAUUUGGUUUUGAAGAUGGAUGGCUUUGUUCAUUCUACUCAUGUUUGAUAAAAAAGGUGAACUGUGUGCAAAUUCAUAUGCUCUUCCAAAUGUAACCAUUUCAAUAAUAAGUUUCCCAUAUGUUUUCGUGAUGUUGAUUCUUUUUGCUGUGUUCGAGUGCAGUGAACAAUUUCUUUCCUUCUUUCCUGUCUCCCUUUGUUUUAUGCAGUAUGACAAAGAGAAUGUUGUAGAAGCCAAAUUCAGAGAAAUUGAAAAAGAAAGAUGUGACAGUGUCCAUUCGAGCCCAUCCUUCUCACACAGUCUGAAAAACAAUACUGAUCUUUUAGAGGGCUUAUUAUUCUGUCAACCAGCGAUACUAGAUUUCAGAAAUAUUCUCUUCACACAGUGUUCUUGGCUCUGUAAUUGUCAAAAAGUUGAAAAGCCUUUUUUCUGUCUGAUGCAUUGUAUAUAUGCAGUUUAAUAUUUGUGGACUUCAAUAAUAUUGAUUACCUUGAUUAUAAUAUUUUCAAUUGUAUGGUUUUUGGGUUAGGGAAGAUUUUUGUCUUUUUCUUUUUUUGGCUUGAUUCUUCUUCUUUAUUAUUAUUAUUGUUACUAUUUCCCUUUCACAAGGAAAAAAUUGGAACUUGCUCCACCUCGCAAAAGUUUUAGAGCGCAUUUAAUUCUCGAAUUGGAGAAUUGGAAUGGAGAAUGGGAAUGAUUGAUUGUGUUUACUUGCUAAAAACAUGAAGAAAUGAGGAUUGAUUUUGGGUGGAGCCCACAAGUUUGGAAAUGAGGUACUGGAAUCCCAUUGCCAUGAGAGAGGUGGGAAUGAAAAUGGGAAAAUUAACACUUUUAUUCUUAAAGAAAAUUAAAUAUUUUUUUUAUCUUAUAUAAAUAAAUAAUUAAUAAUAAUAGUAGUAGUAGUAGUAAUAGUUAUAAUAAUAAUAAAAAAAAUUUAAUGAUAACAUUAGUAGUAGUAAUAAUAAUAAUAAUAAUAAAUAUUUCUUUUUUACCUUAUGUAAAUAAAUAACUAAUAAUAAUAGUAAUAGUAGUAAUAAUAAUAAUAACAAAAUUUAAUGAUAACAAUAGUAGUAGUAUUAAUAAUAAUAAUAAUAAUAAUAAUGAAAAUUAUAGUAUUACGCUCAAUAUUAUAAUAAACAUGUAUAUAUUUAUUUAUUUUGUUAGUGAAAUAUAUAUAAUUUUAACUAAGGGCAUCAUGAUAACUUUCAAUAAUCUAAUCUGACUACGAAAUAAAAUAAAUGCAUAAAUGAAAUUCAGUUAAUUCGAUAGUAAACAAUUUAUUAUGAUUCUCAUUUCUUAUUUUGGUUCCAAAUUCCAUCCCAUUUCAACUCCUGCUCAUUUUGAUUCAUGGGAAGUAAACGCAUUGUUUUUUUUUUUUGAAGAAAGGAAGAAAUUCAUUAAACAGACAAAUGAGAAAAUAACCAGGGUGGUGGAACAUGUCUCCAUUCACCCGGACCUGACAAAGAACACCCCACCUUAGCCACAAUAUGGGCAGCGGUAUUCAUAGAUCUCCUUACAAAAGAGAAAGUCACCUCUUUUAAGCUAUGAGCCAAGGCUCUACAAUCCGAAAUAAUAAGGCCAAAUCCAUUCUGAUAGUCCUUGGAAUCAAUCAACACAUUAAACACUUGUAAACAAUCAGUCUCAAUAAUAAUAGGAAAAAACUGGGUGUUCUUAAGCCAACUCAAGACCUCCCGCACACCCAAAGCCUCUGCCUCACGGGCUGCAAAAUUGCCAACCAAAGAUCCACAUUUUGCAGCAAGAAAUUGACCCUCAGAAGACCGGAUAACUGUGCCGUAGCUAAUCCUAGUAGUAGCACGGGAAGUGGCAGCGUCCACAUUGCAUUUAAACCAUCCAACGCGAGGGCGUUUCCAACAAAAAGAGCCAAGAGUUAAAUCUGCUGGCAUCUGAGUAAAGUGACUCAGUUGACGAGCCCUUUGCCACUGGAACAAGUCUUGACCAGCUUUAUUGAGCACUUGAGGCACUCUGCCUACUACAUGCCUCCAAACUUUAGUAUUCCGAUUUUGCCAAAGACCCCAACAAACCAUUGCAGCAAGACAACUAUCCUCAAUACUACACCGAGUAAAUAGAGCAUCCAACCAAGCUCCAAAAGUAACAAAAUUUCCAGCAAAACCAACCAAAGAAACCAUCCAGCAUUGUUUGGCAAAAGGACAAUCAACUAAGACAUGAUAAAUUGUCUCAAGAGAUGCAUUACAGAUAGAACAAUAAGGGUGUACCUCAACUCGACGACUGAGAAGGUUAUCAGCAGUGGGAACCACAUUUGCCACAGCUCUCCAAAGAAAAUUCUUGAUUUUGGCGGGCACAGCCAGCUUCCAAAUCUUAUUCCAAACUCCACUGUCAGGCGGUUCCGAUAUAAUAUCCAUCCACUUAUAACAACUCCGAACAGUGUAAACUCCUUUGCGUCGGGGAACCAAUACCAAGUAUCACAAUCCCUCCGAGAGCUAAGAGGAAUUUGGAGAAUGCAGUCUCGAUCUCUUCUAUUACACACAUCCUUUACAAGGUCAUAAUCCCACAUUCGGUGAUCAGGAAUCAUAAGACUACUCACAGGAGCUGAUGCUAACGUCGCUGGAAGAUUAGUUGUAAUAAAGCCACUCUCCUGAUCAGGCAACCAAGGAACCGAGCCAAUAGUAAUGCUCUGUCCACUUCCAACUUGGACACGACUCCCUUGGAUUAAAAUCUUCUGAGCAGCCAAAAUCGAUCUCCAUACAAAACUCGGAUUACUUCCCAUCUUUGCUUGAGUGAAGUCUGCAUUAGGAUAAUACCGUGCUUUAAACAAUCUGCCCACCAGCGAAGAUGGAUUUGUAAUUAACCUCCAACCUUGUCUCCCUAGCAUAGCAACAUUAAAGUUGUGGAUGUGUUUAAAUCCAAUACCACCAUAAGAUUUGGGCUUACAAAGUCUGCCCCACUGCAUCCACCUAAUUCCACCACUACCAUAUCUUUUACUGCCCCACCAAAAAGAAUUCAGCAUCCUUUCAAGUUCCCGGCAUAGGUCGAGAGGGAGGAGGUAAACUUGCAUAGCAUAAUUAGGUAUGGCAUGUGCCACAGUUUUAAUUAAGAUUUCCUUUCCAGCUCUAGAGAGGAGUUUCUGACCACCCUUGAAUUCUCUGCCAAACUUUAUCCUUUAUAUAUCGGAAAAUGUCUAUCUUCUUGCGCCCAACAUAAGAUGGUAAUCCAAGAUAGGUACCAUGGUCUGUAGUAGCUACAACUCCAAGCUGUUGACAUAUAUUAUGAACAGUAUCGUCUGCCACAUUCCUACUGAAAGAAAUUAAGGAUUUAUUGUAGUUCACUUGCUGCCCCGAAGCUGCUUCAUAAGUUGCCAAAACCUUUUUUACCAGAUGAGCCUCCUGGACAGUAGCUUUAAAGAAAAGAAAACAGUCAUUAGCAAAAAAGAGGUGAGAAACCAAAGGAGCACCUCUAGCAACUCGAGCCCCAUGGAUCAUCCCGGCCCUCUCAUAGUGAUUUAUCAGCAAACUCAGCCCCUCUGCACAGAUGAUAAACAGAUAUGGCUAUAGCAGAUCUCCUUGUCUAAGACCUCGACUUGGCACGAUAGGGCCUAGCUCCAACUCUCCCCGGGUAAUCUUAUAGGUAACUGUAGUGACACAGAGCAUAAUAAGAUUCACCCAAACAACAUCAAAGCCCAACUUCAGUAAAAUCGAUUUAAAAAACCCCCACUCAAUCCGAUCAUAAGCCUUGGACAUGUCAAUCUUUAAUGCAGCAAUCCCCUCUUUUCCUUGACGUUUCCGUUUGAGAAAGUGCAUUAUCUCAGCCGAGAUUAAAACAUUAUCAGCAAUAGCUCUGCCUGGAACAAAAGCACUCUGUGAAUCGGAAAUUAUCGAUCCUAAAACCAUCUUCAUACGGUUAGCAAGCAUCUUGGCUACAAUUUUAUAGAGGACAUUGCAUAAGGAAAUUGGUCGAACAUCAGUUAAAAAUUCUAUCUGUUUCUUCUUAGGAAUAAAGACAAUAGAAGUCUCAUUAAGACCCUCAGGGAAAGAACAAUCCCGAAUGAACCUAAGACACGCCUCAGUAAUAUCAGUACCCACUACAUUCCAAAACUUUUGGUAAAAUGUUGGGUUCAUUCCAUCAGGACCAGGGGAUUUAUCAGGGUGCAUAUCAAACACGGCAGAUUGAACAUCUUCAGCAGUAAAAGGUUCCAAAAGAGAUUGAUUUUGUGCAUCAGUAAUUUUAGAUUCCACACAAUUAAGCACAUCAUCAUAGGAACAAAUCCUAGCAGUAAAUAAAGUUGUGAAAUACUCACAAAUUAAAUUAUUUACAUCCGCAGGAUUAGUACACCAUUGCCCCUCUUGAUUGCGAAGCUUGAUUAAGGUAUUCUUACGCUUCCUUGACGAGGCCAUGGCAUGGAAAUACUUUGAAUUUGAAUCCCCAUCUCGAAGCCAAAACGUCUUCGAACGCUGCUUCCAAUAAACUUCGUGGCUAUGCAAGAGCUCAUUGUAUCUAUCUCGAGCUUCAAUAAAAUCAGCCAAGCUAACUGCAUCACGCUUGCCCCUAAGCUGAUGCAUUUUAUCCUUACACUCCUUAAUUUGAGCUUUGAAAUCCCGAGUACGAUGAUAGCCCCACCGAACUAAAUCUAAGCUGCAAGCCGAGAUUUUACUGAGAAUAGGAAGCCCACCCACCAUAGACCAACUCUUCUCAACAAUAUUAGCACAAUCCGGAUCUCUAAGCCAUGAGUUCUCAAAACGAAACUUCAUAGACCGUCGUCUAAAACCACAGGAGACACAUCCAAAAAGAUAGGGAGGUGAUCUGAACUCGAAGCUUCAAGACACAGAACCUUCACUUGCGGGAAAAGAUUCACCCAAGCGGAAUUUGCAAGGGCUCGAUCUAACUGUUCUUCAACCCAAGCUUCAGUGCCCCGUGACCUUUCCCACGUGAACUGGUAACCAUCCAUACCCAAAUCAAUGAGGCCCGAAUCAGAAAGUGCAGCCCUGAAACCAUUUAUCUUCCACUGCGGGUGAGCAUGAGAGCCGCGCUUCUCUGAGAAAUUGAGGAGGUCAUUGAAGUCCCCUAGACAGACCCAUGGUAACGACGAAGUAGAAGCUAAAUACCGGAGAAGAUUCCAAGAAUCAUGUCUGCGAAAUGACUCGGGAAACCCUUAGAAACCAGUAAGUCUCCAGUUGCCCCUUUCACUAUCCUCAACUGCAAAGUCUAUAAAAUUACACCCAAACUUCAAUAAAUUAACUUUAAAACUAUUUUUCCAGAACAUAGCAAGCCCACCACUACGGCCCUUUCUAUCCACCACAAACAGACCCUCAAAACCUAAUCUAAUUUUGAUGCUUUCUAACUUAUCUCUGUAACACAAUGUCUCAAUCAAGAAAAUAAAAUCCGGUCUUUUAUUCUGGACCAACUCAACAAGAGCUUGAACUGACCGUGGUUGGCCCAACCUACGACAGUUCCAACUUAAACAACUCAUUGGUGUCGGUGGGCCUAGAAUACAGGGCCCACCGCUGGUCCAUUUUUUGAGUGCUCACUCAUCUCUAUUAUCUCAGUAUCAGCAUGCUCUUCUAAAUUCAAGUUGAUAGGAGGCCCACCUCCUGAUCUUCUCCGUUUUGCAUCAACUAAAAUUAAUGCAGAAUUAUACUCCACAUCAGUUUCCUUCACAAGCAUCGAAUGAUUAGCUAUUAGUUCCUCGUCAAUUCCAUCUACACGCAUUGACUUACAGCCUGUUACAAGAAUAUUAGAAUUCAUUGUGACUUGAGCACUUUCCUUCCCAAGGUCUCCGUGACCAGCUGUCCCAUGAUUCACGCCAUUUUCCAAGUCAACUGCCAUUUCAACAGCGUAAGUUGAGGGAUUACCAAAUUUCACCUCAUCUAUCUCUAACACUCCCGAUCUGAGCCAACGGUCACCGGUGUUCAUCGAGCUUCUCCGAUUGGGAGCCUUCAUCCAAGGGCCAUAAGGUUUAAUAACAGGGGUAGCAUCAGUUUCAUAUAUUGAGGGGCAAUUUUUAUCAGUGUGUCCUAAAAUGCCACAGAUAAAACAAAAAUUGUGCAGUCGCUCAUACUUGAAGUCUACCUAUAACCACUCCCCACCCGCUCUUUUGAGGCGCAUUCGUCGUUUAAGGGGUUUCCUAACAUCAAUCGAAACCCUCAGCCUCAUGUAAUUACGCCAUACUCCUGUAAGAUUAUGUUCAUCAGAUGCCAAAAAUUCACCAAUAAAGUUGCCAAUACUCUGUAAUAUUUUCUCGGACUGAAAUCCAAGAGGCAGAUUAUACACUUGAACCCAGAAAUAUGUGUGGAAAAGAGGGAUAUUCUGCGGUUGUUCGUCUACCCCAAGUCUCCGAAUUAUAAGAAUAUGCUGAUCAAAGGUCCAGGGACCAGAUUCAAGAACCCUCCUCAUAUCAAUUUCAUGAAAGAACUGGAAGAGAAAAAGCGUGGGAGAUAAAUCCUUAAUACAAACACCACGCCCAGGACGCCAUAACGAAGCCAUAGUAUUUUUCAUGGCAAUAAAGUUCACUACUUUGUCCGUGAGAAAUCUUCCCACAAGGCAGAAUUUGGAAUCAAGACGGAUAUCCCCAGGAUUAUCAAUCUCCUCUCCAGCCACAAUCAAACCACCCUCCUCCUCCUCGUCAAGUUGCAGGCGCGCACAGAUGUUGCUCAUCUCAGAUUUCAAAGUAUUACUUGUGUUGGCCAUGGAUUAAAGAAAGAAAAGGAUUGAAUCCGUAGACAGUAGAGAAAUAACAAAAGGAGACCAGAAUUUACUUGUCAAAAGACAAGACACACACACUUGUCAAAAGACAAGACUCAUUUUUUAACAAUACUCAAAACAAGUAAACGCAUUGUUAAUUUGUCGCUGUUGUUAAAUAUAUCCUUUAUGGAUUUCAUAUGAGGUUUGAAAUGUUAUUUAGUGAAAUUUAAUUUCUUGUUGGCUCUAUUCACCACAGCAAGGCUACAAAUCUUGAUGGGACAUUCGCCCCCGCUUGGAUAGGUUAUGGAAAUGCUUUUGCUGCUCAAGAAGAGGGUGACCAAGCAAUGUUGGGUUAUCGCACUGCUGCUUGUUUGUUUCCAGGGUAAUUUUUAGCAUUAUUUAUUCAUUUCUAUACCUUCCUGAUUUUCUUUUCCUUGGAUCAGCAUAUUCAUGCAAUGAGGACAAGGACAAAGCCACUAACUUGCUUUUGAGCAAGUUUCAGAACACUUUUAGAAUUUCAUUUUUGGCUUUUUUUUUUUACUUUCUUGGUCUCUGAAAGAUAUCUUAAGGGUAGGGUUUGGUUGAUUUUGCUCAUCUUGAUAUUAUUCAAUUCUUGUUUAAUUUGAAGAACAGUGUGCUUUAGGUGUAUAAUCAUGUGGGUAAAAAAUUUUUUUGGUCCCUCAAGUUUCUAUUAGGUUUCAUGUAAUCCAUGAAAUUUCUGUUGCUUCAGCUUAAUCUGUUUCAAGUGCGCUACCACUAAAAAAAUUGGGUUUCAUGGGUUAUCAACCAAGAUUUUUUUUUCUCCUUUGAUUUAAUAUUAAUAAACUGUUUUACCAAUAUAAACUUUUGAUGAAUGCUUUGCAUUUGAUUUCCAUAUUUCUUCCUGAGAAAUGUUGUAAGUUGAUUAAACAUAGUCUUAAAUCAACCCAAGGCAUUGUUGUAAUGUCUUUCUAUUGUGAUAAUAAACCACAAUGUCAUAGUAGUUUUAUGGUCGUAAAGAUCAAUGAAUUUCAUUGUUUAUUGUUUAGUGAUGGUAUGCAUUGUGUUGUGGGAGUACUCUUAUCACUAUGAAUUGUCUUUUUACAGGUUGAAUCUUGAUGGUCUCUUAUUCCAGGUGCCAUUUACCAACUUUGUAUAUUGGAAUGGAGUACAUGCGAACUCACAGCUUUAAGCUUGCCGAACAGGUGUAUUACUUUCUUCUAAAUAUAGGCUGCCUUUCAUUUUUCUCUUUAGAUUUCAAUGAGAACUCUUAAGAGGUUGUUUGUUUGCAAUAUGAAGUCUGAUUGUUGGAUAUUCAGAUGUUGGUCUAUACGAUUUGCUAGUUGAUGUUGUCUUGGGGGUUUCAUUUUCCUCUUUGGAUUUAAUGUGAAUACGACUUCUUUCCUCUUUGUUUAAUUGUGACAACUUCUAAUAGAUGCUAAUCACAAUCUUUAUUCAUGAUUCUGAGACCUGUGUAAUUAGAAUUUUGGUCAUAUCGUCCAUUUUCCUUUGUUGUCAAAAUAAUGUCUUCUUUACCCAAAUCUCUUAGUCAUAAUUCUUUGAAUAUAUUGUUGAAUUUCUGAUUAGCUGCCCUUUCUCCAGUUUUUCAUGCAGGCAAAGACCAUAUGCCCAUCAGAUCCACUUGUAUAUAAUGAACUUGGUGUUGUUGCUUACCACAUGAAGGAUGUUUGGUUCACUUGAGUUGCUGUUUUCUGUUGAUCCGUUUACCUUAUUAGUGUUUCAUUUUUAAUAAUAUUAUUACUUAAGUAUAUGAAAUUCUAGUUGAUUUAAACUUAGGUCUUGUUUGGUGUUGAGGUGUUGUAUCUUUUAAACUACAAGUGUUGUGGAAAAAAGCUGCAACUAUUAAAUAAAAGUUAAUAGCUUGUAGUAAAUAUAAUUUUUAAAUAAUAAUUUUGACAAAAUUAGUAAAGAUAUAAUAAAGUUUUCAUCAUACAAGUGUAAAAUCAAAUCAAGUUAACUUUCAAACUACAACAGCUGGUGCUUACCAAAUACUUUAGUGCUUUAGUUUUUAAGCUAUAGUUGUCCAAUUCAAUCCCAAACGGUGCUUUUCAGGAAUUGUGCUCUUUUUAUUGUUAUAUGUUAUGGCUUUUGUAUGAGUUCCCAAUCAUCAGUUUGACCAGCAAUUAUUUGAAAUGUGUGGUGGUUUGAAAAGACCUUGGCGCACAUUCCGUCCUCUUUAAGUGAAAUGUGGAAACCAACCGUGGUGAAUCUUGCACAUGCUUACAGAAAGUUAAAGUAUGUUUAAAUUUAUUGGAAUAGGUUGUCUCACUUGCAUUUUCUUGUUCUAUUGCCUACUCAAGAUAUUUAUCCUUUAUUUUAUUGUGUUUUUGUUGAAUUUUACAUGAAAUAUCAUUCAGAUAUCUAGAUUUGUUUUUUUUUUUUUGGCUAAAUUUUCAAGUAGAGGAUCAUCUUUAUCUUGAUAAAUGCAUUUUAUUUUAGGGAUUCCAGCAUAGGGUAAUAAUGUAAGAUUUUUCAGUUUGCAUCGUCUGAGAUUGUGAGCAGCAUGAAGAUAUAAGAAAGAAGUAUAACCUUCCUUAUACCGUCAUGGCUGCUUAUGAUCAGCUUUGCCCAGUAAGCUCGAGAGACUACUAGGAGCCGUAGAAGUUGUCUGUAGCACUUCCUAAAAGGACUUGAUGCAAAUAGUUUAAAUAAGGAUAUGCCGGAUUAUGGAUUGGUCUACUCUCUACUGGCUACUUCAUAUGCUACCCGUUUAUAUAUUUUUCUCUUUAUGGAAGAGUACUUUUUUUUUCAUGUUUUUGCUUUUUUCCUUCUUAGUAGGCGGUGGAUUUAGGUUUAUUUCUAGUAUUGCUAAUCUAUAAACAUACAUUUGACUUAUUGUUUAUUGAACCUGAUUCUAGAAUCUAUCAUGUUUCAGGAUAUAUCACGAGGCAAUAUCCAGUUACGAGCGAGCGCUGACGUUGUCGAAUAGAAGUUUGAGCACAAUAUAAGUUUGAGCACCUAUGCAGGUCUUGCUUACACUUACCAUUUGCAGGUAUGGUGGAUUUAUUAUUAAUUCAUUUUUCAAUGAAAACUUGUGUGCCUAUGAAUAUUCUGCUGAUGUGAGGAGUAGUUAGCAAAUUGAUCUAAGUAGUAUUUGUUAGCAAAUACUAGUUUAUUGGAUGCAUCUAAUAUUUGUAGCUUAGGGUUUAAAAAACUAUUGUCAGAUCUUCACCGUUGCGUUAAAAAAACUGCUAGAGUCUAUGGUGGCGAAUUUGUUUCUUUUGGGUCUCUUGUGCAGGAUAACUUCUCUGCGGCCAUUACAUAUUAUCACAAGGUAAACUAAAAAGUGCUCUUGCUGUUUCCUUUAUGUGCAAUAAGCUUACUGUCUAUCGUAGUCAUCCACUGUUGAAGAGACAACUCUAAUCUCGCUACAUUAUAUGGAUCAUUGAUUUGCUUUUUCAUUCUAAUCUGCAAAUCAGGCAUUGUGGCUGAAGCCAGAUGAUCUGUUUUGUACCGAAAUGUUAAGUUUGGCUCUUGUUGAUGAAGGUCGCCAUGGCAUUGACCCCAAACUCGAAUUUGAGUGUAAUUUGUUAUUCAUACCUAUAACAGUUUAAUUAUUUUGGUAUUGGUGAAGGGCUUUUAUUGUAUAAGCUCAAGGGCGUCAUCUUCAUCUAUAUUCUACCUUUUACAUUAUUAAUUUAUUUCCUCAUUUGUUGAAAUCUACUUGGCUUAGAAGUGAUUUAAAUUGCUUGCUUUCAUGGAACCAUUUUCUUCAUAGUUUUUAUUAUUUACCACCAAACAGUUAAGUCCAGGGAAAUUUACAAAAAGAGCAAAAAAAAUUAAGCAUUUUUCAACUUUAACCCCCUCAAUUUUUUUCUAUCAACAUUAGUCAAAUCACCAAAUUGUGGACGAAAUUGCCCUCAGCAUUCUCACAUUUCCCUCAAGCAAAUUCCUCCCCUUUUCACCAAAAUCUCAUCACCGGAAUCCUGUAUACAUCGUCGGCGGCAUAGAUCGGCAGCGGAGGAAGUUGUCGGCGGCUGAAACAAGCUAAAUCACGUUGAAAAUCUUCGGAGAUCUCCAAAAUCAAAGACAAAAAUUGGAAACCCUAGGUGAGUUGUUAUUAUCGUUGUUGUUGUUGUUGUUGUUGAUGUUGUUGUUGUUGUUGUUGUUUGGGCUGUUGUUGUUCUUGUUGUUAUUGUUGUUGUUGUUGUUGUUGUUGUUAUUUGGGUUGUUGUUGUUGUUGUUAUUUGGGUUGUUGUUGUUGUUGUUAUUUGGGCUGUUGUUGUUGUUAUUGGUGUUUAAUGGCGGUGGUGGGUGAGAUGUAUGUGGGAAAGGGAAGGGAAGAGAAAGGGAAGGGAAAGGGAAGUGAAGGGGAGCGCGAGGCCGCGGCUGUCGCACGUGAGAUGCUCAUCUCGUGCGCGCGAGGCUGCGCCUGACGCACGCGAGAUGCGCAUCCCCCUCACGCGAGGCCGCGCCUGUCGCAAGCGAGAUGCACACGACACGCUCAUCCAGCGCGCACGGAUGGGUAUGCCACACGCAUUUCGGAUGAGCGUGCCGCGCGCAUCUCGCGGGCGACAGGCGCGGCCUCACCCACGAGAUGCGCAUGCCGCGCGCGAGACGCGUGCUAGCCUGCGCGCUUAGCGCAGCUCUUGGUGCCUGUCGCACCCCCGUCGCACCAAGAGACAGCUCAUUGUUUGGUGCUGCCUUUUUUUUUUUUGCUUUUGUUCAUAAUUUAUUAACAUAUAAUACUUUUAACUUGUACUAGAUAAAUGGGAAAAUAAAAAAUAGCAUUGCAUAACUCACCUGGACCGACGAAAGAACGAGGAAUGAUGAAGAUACCUUAUGCUGAUCACUUUCCCGGGCGUAUCACGAGUAUGUGUAAAUUAGAUGUCGUUGUUAAUGUCAUCCGGGAAAAAUUAACAAAGCAACAGUUGCAACUGUUCAAAGAUAAUAUAUUUGGGCAUUUCCUACAGUGCCGAAGCUAUCCGUUCAGUGGCGCAAUUGUGCACAAUAUAUUGCUUCGGCAAGUGUCCCAUGGCGCUGGAAAUGAAUAGAAUGAGUUAUGGUUUCAAGUUGGCGACCAUUUGAUAUGGCUAUCGAUUGGAGAGUGGUGCCUUGUAACGGGACUUUGCUAUGGCAAAAAUGUCGUCCUGACGAAGUAUAAAACAAUGCAUAGGUUACUUAAGAAGUACUUUGGAGGUAGGAAUCGAUAUAAAUCUUGGCCAGUUCGAGGAAAGAUUUAUGAACUUAGACUUUAAGACUAUGGAUGACACCGAUGCGCUAAAAAUUGCUAUGUUUUACUUUGCUGAUAGACCACUAAACGGAAGAAAAGAUCAUUGUCAAAUCAAUUUCAAGUUGCUUAAUGAGGUAGAUGACAUAAAUCACUUUCGAAGUUGUUCGUGGGGUCGUUUGUCAUAGGAAACAAUAUAUAAAAGCAUUAAUAAUGCAUUGAACGGCAAAGCCAAUAAAUUUAAGAGAGCAAGCGCAGAAAAUCCCUUGCAUAGAAUUAAGAAAUACAAUUUUUACGACUUUACGUCUGCAGUGCAUGUGAGUGAAGAAUUUUUUUUUAUAACUUAGUUUUGUUAUAAUAAUUAUUUAAUGACACGUUUUUUUACUUCAUAUUUUUCCUUGUUGAAGGCAUGGAUUUUUGAAGCGAUUGGAGGACUACCAUCAUAGUGGGUGGUGAAAAUUAGGAGGAAGGGUCCUCAAAUCGUGCGAUGGAAGCCCGUGGCUUCUUCAAAUAUAAACUUCGGCGAAGUCUAUAUAUACCUCAACGAGCGUCUUGAAGUCAUUUAUAUGUAUGUAUGUAUAUAACUGUUAAAUAAUAGAUGGUUAUACUAAUUGAAAAUUUGGUAUUCUUUACGACAGGAUGGCACCAUUUUCCAAACCCUCAAACCGGAUGCAAAUGAGAAAGCCACAAAUUAUUGGAAGACCGUCGAGGAUUACGUGCCAUAUUUGCCAAGUUAGGUCCGUAAUGUGGGUAUCCUUUAUAGUAUCAUUGAAAACCGGAUGCAAAGUCAUUUAUAUGUUUUUUUUUUGUAUUUACUGUUUUCUGUUUUACUUGGUGCAGCACCAGCCUUCAAUCAACGAGGCGGAUCAUGACACCACGAGCCAAAUAGGACUGCAGCAGAGUCAUGUUGAGGAUGACUGUGCUGCCGACGACCAUUAUGAAUCCGCACAUGAUUCAGAUGAUAGAAAUGAGCCGGAGAUAACUUUUGUCAUCUUGAACAUUUUGUUUAAUCACAUAUACCUAAUUUCAGCACUUUGUCAUUACUUUCUUAUUUUGUAAUAAUAAGUAAGGACUAAGUUCCGCAAUGAUUAUUUCGUUCAACGACUGGACAAAAUAGAGUCUUCCAUUCAUAAGUUGAGGUCGGAACUUCAGACUGGACACAGUUCCAUUAACGAACUGAGGUCAGAACUUCUGGCAGAACGCAGAGAAGCACAACAAUACAGAGAAGCGGUCAUGGGUUUAUGGCUUCGUUUGGCACGGGUUCUUCAAAGGGCGCGUACGUUGAUUUUCCGUUUGGCCCCUCGCACACGGUGAGCAAGUUUCAUAUGCUUUUGUUAUGUUAUUAUAAUUUCAAACCCGAAAUUAUUUUAAUAUGUUCAUCUCCUCGAAACAACAAGCCCCAGAUGGCUAUGGUCCAAAUGUUGAUGCUAGCUACGGUACGCAUACUGAUGCUGGUAAUGACGAUGAACACACCCCUAUGUCGUUGUACAGUUUAUAUGGGGACAUAAGUGGCGACAGUGUACAGAUAUUCACGGAGGCACCUCCCGGCGUUAGUAAUUUGGCCGUCCGUACUGACCGUCGUAUAUCAUUGGCAAUCCUUACUUCAAUCCCCCUUUCAAGAGAGUUAGGAAUGCCAGGCCUAUGAAAUUGAUGAACAUUACAGACUAUGAAAUUGAUAAAAGAUCGAGUGUGGAUAUGAAUCCACUUAGGGGAUUAGAAGAUUCAAGGCUAUGUGAGAAGUUUGAUCAGUGGUUUGCCGGUAAAUUUUCCGUGGAUCAGCCCGUCCAACAGUCCCGAAAUUUCUUUGAAAUACUCAUGGGCAAUGCUUUGAUGGGGUGGCUUGGUGACGAGGUAAGUGUGUUUAAUGGUCAAUACAUUACAAUAUUGUUCAUAUUUCCGCUAGCAUGAAUUAUGUUCUAAAUUUACUUGGUUUAAUCCCUUCACAACAUAUUCACACAUAUUACCGCUUGAUCAGCGAGAAGCAACGUCGGUUUUCAAAUGCACUACCGCAGUGCGUCACGCAUACAGAUACAUACUUUUGGGCAUGUUCACGAACUCUAUAAUCAUUAACUAUAAUUUUGAUAUUUUAAAUAUCUCGAAAUGUUAUUAAUUUUCUACUCAUCAUAUAAUAGGUGUUCCUGAAGCAAUUAUGGAACAAUGGUAGUUGUGAUGUCCAUUCAUUACAAUAUGGCAGCAACUUAAACUGAUAUAUGGAUGGACGGAAAGAUAUUAUGUCCAAACCGUUUACGGACGUUGAUAUGGUAAGAAUUGUCACUCAAGCUUAUGGUAAUUGUGUAUAAAAUAUACUAAUUUAGUAUUUUUUUAUGUAGAUAUUCAUCCCUGUGAAUUUGGGCGGCGAUCAUUGGGUACUAGCUCAAGCAGACCUUCACACAAAGAGGGUGCGGAUUUACGACUCGUUGGUUACCUUUCGCGAUGACAAAACAUAUUUGCGUAAAUUCAAACCUCUUUAGGUCGUCUUCCCUCAAUGGCUACAAGAUGUUGGAUUCUACAACAUCUGACCUGGGCUGCAGAAUGCCAACCCUUGGAAAAUAAGAAUCGUUAAGGAUGUGCCCCAACAAGAACCUGGAAGUGGUGAUUGUGGCGUAUUUAUGUUGAUGUUUACAAUGUAUUUGAUGUUCAGGCUAAAACUUGAUUUUGAUAGUAGCCACGAGCAUUACUUUAGGAAGAAAAUUGUUGUAGAUAUAUUCACGGGCGAUAUUGCCUUGUAAGGCAUUGUAUUGUGUUCAGACUUGAUAUAUGGAUGUAGAUUAUUUUUCUAAUAGAUAUAAACUUUUGAUAUAUUCAUAUAUUUAGCUAUAAGUAAUUGUUGAUCUACUUUAAUACUCAUUAUGCAAAUGAACAUAAAAUAAUAUACCUCAUUACAUAUAAUUGUAAAAUAAAUUAUAAUAAGAGUUCAGAAUUCAUAAUUAGUUACAAUGAUACAGUCAGUUUGGAUUCGACACAAUGAGAUUUUUACAUCUCUUGCGGUUAUGACCUGGUUGGUUGCAUCGACCGCAUCUCAUAGUUCUUCGGUUAACAUUCUCACCGAUAGAAGGAAUUCUUAACUCUGGACGACGACCAGGUGGUGGUGCUUCGAUCGGUGGGUUAACUCUGAUUUCCUAGAUUCUUCUGGAAUGUCCCAAUCUGUCACGUCACCAACCAGCUCCACUGGUUCUACAUAUGCCAUGACCAAUGAAUAUUUAAAGUAAUAAUCAGAGCAAAGACUUAUGUAAUCCACACGGACGGUCAGACAAGCAGCAAUUGCAUGCGCACAAACAAGCUGAUCGAGUUGGAAUACUCUACAGGAGCUAGUUCUUUCAUGAAUGUCAACUAUCCCUUCCUUCGUACCUUCACCCAAAACAUGAAAUCGAUGCUGAGACACAGGCCGAAUGGUCAUUCUUUCGGCCAAAAUUCUCCUUUCCCCGACUAUCUCAUCUGCCUACGUCGUUAGACGAGUGCUCAUCGAUUCAGCCACAAUUUUCCUAUCAUAAAACCAUUGCUGUAAUAUUUUUCUAAAGUGAUUAACAAGAUGAGUUACAGGGAAUUUAUGUGGUUCCCUAAUUAAAGAAUUCACGCUUUCCGCAAUGUUGGUGGUAAGUAUAUUGUAUCUCCUACCUUUAAAUUCAAACCUUGCCCAAUUACACGUACCCAUAUUAUUCUCUAAGUAAUCAGCCACACCCGAGUGGAGCAUCCACAACCCUUCAAGUUGUCUUUUAAAUUCUUCGUGUCCAUAUGCAUUUGCUGCAUUAAUAAAGCCUGGCUCGAAUUGAUCCCAAAUAGCUUUGGACAUCCUAAAUUUAGACUUAAUGUUGCCUUUGACAUGGUAAAAAAAAACUCCAUAAGCAACAGUGUGAAAUGCUUUUAAAAUGGCUCUCUUGAUGGUAGUGCAUCGAUCAGAGAUAAAUACUAACUCUGUUCUAUCGCCAAUCACUCCGUGUAACUUCGUUAUAAACCAUUCCUAAGCAUCAUUGUUUUCUGAAUCCAUGACCCCAAUAGCUAACGAAUACAAUUGAUUAUUACCAUCCAGACAUGCUGCUAUAAACAUGCUUCCACGAUAUAGCCCCUUUAAAUGAGUGUCAUCUACAGUGAUCACAGGCCUAAUGUACUGCGUGAAGCCCUUGAUGGAAGAUCCAAGCGCAACAAAGUAAUAUAAGAAAUUAUCAUCUCCAUCCAGCUGGAGGUAUGUCACUGUGCCCUCAUUCGCUUUGGUCAAAACGUGAGAGUAUUUGGGAAGUAAGUUGUAUGACUUUGCAGGGUUCCCUCGUACUAUUUCAAGACCGACUUCUUUAGCCCGAUAUGCUUGCUGAUAUGUUAACUGGACCCCGUAUUCUUACUGCAUGUCUGCUCUAAUGUCAUUCGGCGUGUAUAUCCGUUUAGCUUGAAUAAAUUUAUCUGCAAUAAGAUGGCCAACAACCCGACUCUUAACUUGACAGAGGCCACUAGGCAAAACCUCAUUAGAGUACGUAUGAACAUUGUCAACUCUUCUCACUACCCAAGGAACAUUCUGCUCAUUCGAAUCUUUCGUUGCGCAAAGAUGCCAAUUACAUGAUUCCGAAGAACAGUUAGCCUUAAAGCGUGUCGUUAUGGACCGUGCAAUCUUGAAAUCAAACUUUUCCCGCAAGGACACUUUGUGCAAUUCCAGUAUUAACUCAUUCUACUCAGCGAAUAACUUUCCCACACCAAUGUCAGCAGAAUUACAGCUUCUAACUAAGUCUGGAGCAACCAAAUUUAAAGGCAAAACUGGAGCAAGACUCACCAGGGGAUUAACUGUUGUCCUCCUCCUCGAACGGGCCAUCAGAGGAAUAGGUCGGUUGUCUCUAUUGUUAAUAGGAAUAUCAUACUGAUGCUCAUCCUCAUCAUUGAUAGGAAUAUCGGAAUGACCAAUGCCUAUAUCAUCAACUUCAGUAUUGGAGUUCAUGCCUUGCACACUAUUGAACGGUUCCAAACAAGCAUUAUCAGCUUCUGUGUUUUUGGUGUCAUAACCAAGAUCAUCAUAACUGCGGAACUCAUUAUUGUGAAAUGGAGAGUAAUGUUGCCCUAACGAUGUCCCUAAUGGUAACACAUUUUCUUCAACAUCCGCUAACAUAAUGCCAUUAUCAUCAAUAGUGUCAUUGUUUUCGUUGACUGGUGAGUAACGUUGCUGGAACGACAUGUGUUGUGGUAACACAUCUUCCUAAAUAUCGGGGACAGACUAGUUUGCUCUAAACGAAGUUUCACUUUCCACAAGUGGCUCAGGAUUUUCGGCCGGAACUCGAGGAUAUGUGGUGACAAAUAUAGGGAGACAUCCAUAAUUGACCACAUCAGAGGCCAUGUGCAGUACAACAUUAACCAUUUCAUCAUUAAAUAUGUCCAUAGGUAGUGAACAUGCACGAUAUAUUGUGUUACUAGACCUCAAAGUUGUCUUCAUCAUCAAACUAUAUUCAUUAGGAUUUAUCUGUAAAACUUCAUACACCCUUGCCAGAAAUUGCUCAAACGUACAAUCUUUCCGAACUAAAAAUGUUGUAUUCUUCGCAUUCACGUACUCCGUACGGCCAUCUGCUAACGUCUCCUACCAACCGUCGUAACAUAAUUGAAGUACAACGAAAUCCAUUAAACUUAAAAAUUAUAAAAAAAAACAUAAGAGAUAAGAUUUCACGCUACAAAACCUAGUAAAGUGAAUAUGCAGUACAUUUAUGUGGAUGAAAUGAAGUAUACAAUUUUGGAUUUGCUUCGUCUCAUCGUAAGCUUCAAAACGAUAUAUUAUACGCCUAAAACGGACACAUCUAGCCCAAGUUAUUACUUUCGAAAAAUAGCUUAAAUUUAGUGAGACAGGCAGUGGGACAUGUGCCUGUCUCACAUAAAACCAGUGGGAACAAGUGAGACAGGCGCCUGUCUCACAUAAAACCAGUGGGUUUAUAUGUGCGACAGGCGCCUGUCCCACUUGCCCGUCACACAUAUUUUGGUGAGACAGGCAAGUGGGACAAGUGCCUAUCUCACAUAAAUCUGCUGGUUUUAUGUGAGACAGGCGUCUGUCUCACUUGUUCUGGGCUUUUGUUUUGCUCGAUUUUUUAGGGGUUUAAAUGAUUGAUCUUCAUUUCUCAACUCAAACUAACUAAUUUAACAAGUCACAUUAUUUUGUUAAUGAAAAAUAACAACGUUUGCAAUAAAAAACGCACUUCAAUUUCGAACUCAAAUGAUAAAAUCAAUAGAUUAAAAGUUUAAGUUAUGGUAAGAGUAUAAACUAACCUUAAGAAGCUCUCCAAUUGAUAAUUAUAUCUUCAAUUAUGUAAUGCUUGUUUGAUGAAAUUUGUUAAUUUAUUGAGAGUGAUGGAGUUUGUUGAGUGAUGAAGUUUGUUAAGUUGAAAAGAGAAAAGUGGUGGAAGUGUUGGAAUUGAAAAGGGAAAAGUGGCAUGCUUUGUAAAUUUGAUGAAAGUGAUGAGGGUAAUGUAGUACAAAAAUAGGGUGUUUGGCUAGUUAUGAUAGAAAAAACUUUGAGGGGUUAAAGUUGAAAAACGCUUAAUUUUUUUGGUUAUUUUUGUAAAUUUCCCUUAAGUCCAUUAAGAAAUUAAUGAUGUCACAUGGAUAUUUCAAGAAUUUUAGUUUAUUAAGCUGGAAGUAUUAUAAUAUUUACAAUUUUAUCAAUUGAUCAAUUUGGAUAAAUAAAACAACCAAUUGAUAAAAGUAUUAUCUCUUUGUGUAUGUUAACUUUAUUUUUUUAUUGAUUUGGAAGAUUAAACUUAUUUUCACAAUUUAGGGGUAAACCAGACUUUUAGUAUAAAUUCUAUUAAAAUUUUGUUAUUUUAGCAAGUAAAAUGUAAUAGUUGGAAUAUUAAACUGUAAAAAUAUAAUUAUUAAAAAAAUUUACUAAUAAAGUGAUAUAUUAGACGAAGUUAGGCGAUAAAGAGAUAACAUCCCUCUUAGGAAUUAAUUAUAUUAGUUUACAACCUUGUAAUCCUUUGUUAAGCAGCAAAGUUAAAUAUCUUUUAUUGAGUAUUUUUGUUUCCUAUUUAACACAUGCAAUCUUUAUUAAAUGAAUAAAGAUUUUUUUUAAAUAAAUAAAUAAAAGAGGAGCAAAGCCGAAAUCAAAAGAGUUAAAUUUCGUCGAGCCUCGUGUACUCAGUUUAGAAUUCUAAAUUCACAAGUCUAAUUAGGUUUAUAUUAUUAUUAUGAUAUUAGUUAGAAAGGCAGCUAGUAAGCAAGUCGAAUAAGACAGCUAUUAUUAUUAUUAUUAAGUUUUUUUGGCCUCCUGCCUUUCCUCUUAUGUGAACUUUGGUGAACGACUAAAGAAAGCAUCAGCUAAGCUUCUGAGUCUCAUCCAAAAAUUAUUGGUUUAUACCAAGAUUCCUAAUUGCUACCAUUUGAAUUGUUUUUCAACUUCUAGUUCUCAUAAUUUUGAGAACAAUGAAACAUGAAAAUAAUUGCUUUCUUUGGUGAUUGAUUGAUGUGAUUCUAUUUCAUUGGAUCAUUUUCUAUUUCAUUAUUAUUAUUAUUAUUAUUAUUAUUAUUGUGGUCGUCGUUUGUUUAGGUCACUUUGUAGUGUAGAUCCCGAUAAGUAAUGAAUUUUUUUGUCAUUUAUUCUUUUAGCAACUUUAAUAUUUUUCCUUAAGACUUUUCGUUUUCAGUGGAAACACGAGAUGCACGCGAGGUAGUUGUUAAUUUAGGAGUUGAGUUGAGUUUUUAUUGAGUAUUGAAUUAAUAUUUAUCAAAUAAAAGAAUAAAAGGAUAAAAUUGUAAAAUAAAUUCUUAUCAUUAAUAUAUUGUUCAGUAAAAAUUGAGUUGAAUAUUAAAUAUAGGUUAUAUUGUAACUUUCUUUUAAGUUAUAUAAUUUUAUAAUUAAAUCUAGAGUCGUGCUAAAUUACCGGGUGAGUAAUUUAUGACCCAAUCAUUUUGUGUAAAUAUGAAUAAUUAUAAGAGUGGAUCCGGGCUACAAGUUACUACUGAUGCUUUAUCUCAGCGAAAAGCCUUAAGUUUAAUUUUUUUGGGAUUAUUUUCUCCAUUUGGAUAACACCACUCGAACUUUAGUUGACUACGUGUCAACAUUUCAAUGGUAUCAUAUCAAAUUAUUAGCUGUGAAUAAUUGAGCGAGAAAACAUACGGAGCCACAACUUUUGCUUUUACGUGAACGUGAAUCAGAUUCUUGGAAGCUGUGAAGUGGGGACUGAUCGUUUAAAUUAUUUAAAGCCAGCAAUAAUUGAAGUUUUAUUUAUUUUUUAAAUGAGGCAAUAAUUGAUUAUUACUUUCGAAAGUUGUCAAUUUUCUCUCUAUAAUAAUUAAUAUAUAUUAUUUUUUUAUUAUUUUUAUAAUGGUAAAAAAUUUUCAUGACAGUAUAAGUUUAUAAUAUUACCCUUAUUUUUAACUAUUUUUUUAUUUAUAUUUAUUAUAAGUUAAAUAAAUCACAUGAAUAGAAACUAAAUAAAAAAUCAAAUAUGAAAAAUAAAAAAUAUAUGUUAUGAUAUGAGCAAAAAAAUUAAUAAUAAAUUUUUUUCUUGUACUUAUUUAUUUUGUGAAAAUUUUCUUAUAAUAAAUAUAUAAGAAAAUUAUUAUAAAAUGAUAAAAAAAUUAUUAUAAGAAAACUUGAAUGAAAAAUAAAAAUUUAUUAUAAGAUAAAUAAUAAAAUAUUUUACCUAUACUUUUUACAUUUAAUAAUUAUAAGAAAAAAAUUUUAUUAUUAUUUUUUUACUCAUAUCAAAAUAUAUAUUUCUUAUUUAAUUUCUAUUCAUGUAAUUUAUAAUAAAUAUAAAUAAAAAAAUAACUAAAAAUAAAGAUAAUAUUAUAAAUUUAUGGUGUUAGGAGGGAUUUUAAUAAUUAUAAAAAUAAUAAAAAAUACAUAAUAUAUUUUAAUUACUGUAAGAAAAAAAAUGGCAAUCCCCUUAUUACCUCCACCAAAGCUUUAUGAAAAGGGAGCUGCUACCUUGUUUUCCACGAGACGGCAUAAGACGAUCGCUCUUAAUUUUUAAAUGACUCAAGUUGACUUACCGUUGAACUGGAAGGACAUAAAGCGAAUGACCUUCUCAUUUUCCAUCUGCCACAAAAAUUUAUUUAAAAAAUAAGUGCAUAAACUAAGCCGGUCUUAACGUUUAAUUUUUAACCAAUAUAUAUAUAUAUAUAUAUAGAAAAAUGAUAUUUACAUUUCAAGGUUUAGGAAAAUAAUCACAAAAACUCUUGAGUUUUUAAUAAAGGACACCGAAAUUCAUUUAUGACUAUAAUACCCUUUGACUCUAUAAAUCUCUAAAAAAAUAACUCUAAAAUUUUAUAAUAAAUAAAAAUAUGGCAUUAAAAUAAAUGUAAUAAUAUAUAUAUUUCAAAAUAAUUUUAAUAUUUAAAAAUAUUUUAAUAUUUUUAAUCUAUUAGACCUCUUUUAUUAUAUUAAAGCAAUUUUUAAUAAUAAAUAGAAACAAAAUAUUAAAAUUAAAAUUAUUUUGGCUAUUAUGUAAAAGUUAAUUUUAAUAUUAUUAAUAGGGGGAUUUUUUUAAUUGUAAAAUCUAUUUAACCCAAAGAUUUAUUUAAAAUCUUUUUAAUAUUACAAUUAUAUUAUUAAAAUAAAUAUAAUAAUUUAAAAUUUUAAUAUUAUUUUAAAUGUAAAAAAAAUUAUUAUUAUUAGUCUACCAAAUAGAUUUAUAUUAUUUAUAUUAAAUUUGUGUUAAUUAAAAACUUUUAAAAUCAAUUUUUUAAUUACUAUAAUCAAAGGGUAUUAUGGGUAAAAAAGAGUUUUUGUAUCUUUUUUUUAAAACUUGAGAGUUUUUAUAACUAUUUUCUCAAAUUUGGGAAAUGUCAUUGUCCUUUUUCUUUUUUUAUACGAACUUGGAUCUCAGUUUUUUACAAGUAUUUAAAUAUUAGUACGUGAAAUGUAUUUUAAAAUAUCCAUCAAUUUAUUAUUUCUUAAAGUACCUUUUAUUAAUAAAUAGCAUAAUACACACGAAGGACCACUGAUAUUGAUGUUCAGACAUCCGAAUCAAUUUUCUUUAUGAGGAGUCUACGUCAUGAUUUUUAUGUCACGAAUUCUCCAAAAUAUGAUGUAUAUCUUGAUUUCUACCUUUUAUGAGGAGUCUAUGUCAUGAUUUCUACCUUUUAUUAAUAAAUAACAUAAUACACACGAAGAUAUGGGUGAUCGCGGAUCGGAUUUUAUGGAUUGGACAUUAAUCCAUAUCCGAUCUACGAUUUUACGGAUUAUAAAUUUUCAAUUCAAUCCAAUCUAUGGAUUGGUAAAAUUCAAUUCAAAUCCAAAUACAAUCCAUACAUUUGCAGAUCGGAUACGGAUUUGACCAAAUCCAUAUCCAAUUCAUCAUUUUACGGAUUAGUUUGCGGGCUAAAAAUUUUUAAUUCUGUCAAAUCCACAAACUAACUAAAUAAAAAAAAUUUAAUAUAAAAAUAAUUUUACUACCGAUCAAAUUUAAAAUUAAAUAAGAUUUCAAUAAAUUAAUUGUUUAAAUAAAGCUAGAAAAUAUAUUUAAAGUUUCAAAAGAUAGCACACUAAAACGAAAAAAAUCUUAUUUGUUUAGAUCGGUACAUUUUUUUUUUAUGCAAAUACCACUCUAUUGGUGGGGGGUUAGGUGGGACCCCUACUUGGCAUUUAGAACAGAUAAUGAAAAAUACAUGUGGAGGGAGACAUAAACCAAAACCUCCAAUCUAGAGAAAUAAAUAUAACAGUAAAAGAAAUGACUUAGGCAUAGCCUAACAUAAGAAGAAAAAGAGUAAUGCAGACGGUGACAAUAUCUCUUACGAUACUUGCGGCCAGCAAGUAAUUUAAUGUCAUUUUUCGAGUGACCGACAACGCUAAAAUCAGGGCUAGAGUCAAUUCUCUCAGAAUUCUCAGGAGCAGACAGAAAAUAUUCAUUAUUCGCCAAAUGUUCGUCAGAACUAUCAUCAUUAUCAAUAUGAGAAUUGUAAUGCCUAAAAUAUGUGCUGGAUGCUCGAUGAAGCUAUCUAUUAUACUCACUUGGUUCUCGGAUCCUAGAAUCAUGAGUCGUGACAUCCUGGCCAGUCGGCUCCUGAAUGGAAGUAGAGUUUGUAGCGUUAACUCGGUUCUCCGUAGGUACAAUUGGAGACCCCACAUCUGCAAUUUGCUUAGUGAUGGAAGGCUCAAGUUGUGGAGUAUCCAAGGGUUGUGGAGUAUCUGACGGCAGAAUUUCAGACCUUUUAUUAUUUACUCUGGUCUGUCAAUUCCCACUAGGUCGCUGGGGAAGGACCCCUGGAUUGGACACGAAACACAUCUCAAUGGUAUGGCCAAGGCGCUUGCAGGAAGCACAGUAGAGAGGGAUUUUCUAAAAAAUUACACUCUGCCAAAAUCCAGAAUCUCUCACACUGAUUCGUAUUCGUGGCAACGAAGGUUGAGUGACAUCAUACUCCAUUAACACCCUAGUUGCAGAAGGGCGAGCUAAAGAGGCAGUAGCUUGGUCAAUCCGUAAUGGCUUGCCAAUAGCUUAUGUAAUAGAAAAUAAUGCUUCCUUACAGUGCAUAAAGUGGACAAGCAAGUAAGGAAAUGAAAUCCAUACUGGAACUAUAGGGGACUCCUCGGAACAUCGAAAAUCGAUGGUCUAUUUAAAAAUUCUCAUGGCACUCUCAUUGAUGUACCAUGUCUAUCUAACCCGUAGGCGGGAGUAGUCCUCCUCAACAUCCAAUUGAAUUAACACAUGUCGAUUAUCUAAAAAGGACACCUUGGAAGUUCCCUUCAAUCUCAUAGUAUUAAAAAAAUUUUAAAUUAAUUCCAUACUAGGUCUAUUGUAGGAAAAUUUACCUACCAAUGUCAGCUUGAAAGGAAUAGCCAUCGCUUGAAUUUCAGCAGUGGAAAAUUGCACUUUAGGCUCUCCCUCGAAUGAAGUGGCAAUCUUGAUUAGAAUCGACGAGCUAGUUGGGCCGUUCAUAAUAUCCACCAAAGAUUUUUUAGUGGGUUUAUUUUGAUUCAGAUUAGGGAUGGAUUUCAAAACCGAGGCAUGAGAAGGUGCGGAUGUGGGCUGAGUGGUAUUUUAGAUUAGCAGAUUAUUUUGGGGGUUAUUUAAUAAGAUUGGAGAGGGCAUUCGGGAGGGCUGGGUGUUGGGGUUUAUUUCGAAAACAGAUUGGGCUUAGGUUUUGUUUGGGGGAAAAAUAAGAAAGAUAGUAGAACGCCACGUGUCGAAGAAUGAAAUAACUUCAGUGCAAUCCGAGGUACCCGACAUGAUUAGAGGUACCUCGCAUGAUUAGAAAUACCUGUCCUGAUUUGAGGUACCCGGCACCGUCAGAGGUACCCCGCAUAGACUGGGGUACCCUGUAUAAUUCGAGGUACCCGGAAUAACUCCAGCAUAAUUUAAGGUACCCGGCCUGAUUAGAGGUACCCUACAUAAUUAGAGGUACCCGGUGUGAUUAGAGGUACCCAGCCUGAUUAGAGGUACCCCGCGUGAUUAGUGGUACCCUGCGUGAUUAGAGGUACCCGGCCUGAUUAGAGGUACGCCGCAUGAUUAGAGGUACCCGGCGUGAUUAGAGGUACCCCGCAUGAUUAGAGGUACCCGGCGUAAUUAGAGGUCCCCGGCUUGAUUAGAGGUACCCUGCGCAAUUAGAGGUACCCGGCGUAAUUAGAAGUACCCUGCUUGAUUAGAGGUACCCCUCACAAUUAGAAGUACCCUACAUGAUACGAGGUACCCCACACAAAUAGAGGUACCCCGCACAAUUAGGGGUACCCCACAUAAAUUGAGGUACCCCACGUAACUCGAGGUACCCGGCAGAUCAGAUGCAAGAGAAUCCUCCAAAAAUAUCCGCCAUGAGAAACGUCUCCACCUCUUAAAAGAUAUUAUUCGAUUUUGUCAGAAUUAGGAAUCAAGAACUUCGUACCAAAAGGGGGGGGACAACCGCCUGCUACCUCUGUCAAAAGUAAAGGACACUGUCCCAAGGGCAGUGGUCCUCAGCCGUCUACCCGACAGUUACUGCAGAGGUACCCUGGACCACUCUCCAGCGCACGCCACGUUUCCAAAGGAUGAGAUACGCCGCGAACAUGCACAUAACGGCCCAAAAAUCAUAAAAAUGUAAAAGGACGUUAGCCAAAAGGAUACGCCACGUGAUAGCUGAGGUACUCCAUGUAUAAAGGUGCCUAGAUUUCAUUCUCCAAGAGUUUCUGACUCACCAAAAACACUCACACUCCAAAAUAGAGAUUUUCUUCAACCUUAAACUCUAAUUUACAGAGGGUUAGCCAGCUCUCUUUGCCAUAAAAGCUUAAGUUUGCUAACUUGAGCGUCGGAGUGUGAACGCCGGGGUACCCCGGUUUCACCUUUAACCUCUAUUUCACUGUUUUGCUGGCAUGUAGUUCAUUUUGAAGGACACCUCUCUUGGUUUUGACCUUUCACCAUUGUUACCACUCUCUCUCCCCUUCUCACCUCCCCCGAACUUCAGAUACACCGCACCGCACACAACAAACCAGUGAGGUACCCCAUCUCCCCCAAAAAUAUAAAUUCAUUGUUCAAGAUAGAUUUUGGCUUUUCCUACCUCAAAAUCAGUUGAAAACAGGUUUGACUAGUGGGAAAGGUUAAUGGGGCAUGGGAAGAGCUAGUGGGAGACACACAUAAGGAGCACAAUUCAUGUGCUAUCGAAAGUGUCUUAUGAGCAUGGGAAUUACACGCGUGUAGACUUUUAAGCUGGUGUUGGGUGGAUGUUUGCUGACCUUGGCUGGGUUCUGUGGUGGUUGCUUGCAUCUGACUUUCUGUUGACAGCUGCAGCUGGCCGUGAGCUUGUGAUUUGCAUGGGGUUUUUUGUCUUGUGGGAGUUGUUUGUGUAGGUGGUGAUUGUGGCUGGCUAGUGGUUCUAUCUUGGACCGAAUCUUGAGACAAAUGGCCAUGGAGUACGGGCUGGUUUUGAUGGUGUCUAGAGGCUGUGACAGCAGGAUGAACUCCCGAAUGGUGUGUGGUUUGUGUUGGCUACGGGCUAGAGGCUGGUGGCUGGUUGGUUUGAGAUGAAAACCCAUUCACCAAGUCUGGUGGUGAAAGCUUGGAGUUGGAUGUUGAAGAGGUGACGAUGGCGGUUGGAGAUGAUUGUUGAAGGGACGACGAUAGCGGUGUGUUUGCAGAAGUUGAGGGCUGUUGGGGUUGAGCUGGUGUUUGACUCCUAUAUUUUGAGCGAGUUUGCCUUUGGGAUCUCCUAAGAAAAGGAGGUUCAUUUCUGGAAGUGAGGGGAGGAGCCGGUGGUGGUUGGCUGCCAUUAUCGUCAACCGGCAAGAUAAGAAUCGACUUGUCUCCAGUAUUGGUUUCUUCCCCUUCUUCUAGUGAAUGGAGGGGUGAUUUUGCUACCUCACGGCAGCAUUCAUAGUCAUUAAUGCCACCAUUGAUUGCCAUUUCUUUUUGCUCACUUAUGGCAUUAGGUGUGAUUGAAGGUUGUUGAAGUUUCGAGAGGAUAGCAACAGUGGACAAUGGUGGUUGGUUUGCAUGGGGUUGGAUUUGAGAUGGAGGGUCUGCAUGAGAGUGGUUUGGUUUGAUUCGCGGUGAUGGCAACUGGACGUCCGGUGGCGGUUCAUUGGUGAAUUUUGGGGGUCGUCUAAAUGAUUUCUUAGGAGGGUUCAAACUCCUGAUAAUUUGUUCUUCUGCAGAGAGGGUGUAGACUGGCGGCGGCCGGUUGCCAUCAUCGGCGGCCGGAGAGGCCAUUAAGGCCGUUUAAGGCUUUUGAAGGGGGAAGGGGGAGACAUGUAGUUGAUAUUAGCAAUUAGAUCAGUACAUGGAAAUUAACUAUUUAAGAAGUUAUAUUUGUUUAUUUAGUUGUUUUUAUUUUAUAUUAUUAUUGGCUAAAAUAUAAUAUAGUGUUAAUGUAACUAUAUUUUAAUUUAUUUAUUUACUAGUAAAUACUAAUGUCAUAUUUACAAGUUUUAUUUUUUUAAUUAAAUAAAUACUUUUUAUUUUUUUGCGGAUUCGUGGAUUUUUGUGAAUUUACAGAAGUAAAUCCAUAUUCAAUCCAUCGAUUGCGGAUUAUCAAAUUUUCAAUCCAAUUCAAUCCACGGAUCGGAUUUCUACGGAUCAGACGGAUUGAGCGGAUCGAAUUGGAUUCUGAACACCUCUAUAUGAAGGACCACUGAUAUUGAUGUUCAUACAUCCGAAUCAAUUUUCUUUACGAGGAGUCUACGUCAUGAUUUCUACGUCACGAAUUCUCCAAAAUAUGAUGUCUCUCACUCUUAUUUAAGGCAAACCUCAUAGAGGCAAUCACAGAACAUGAAGAAAAUUAAUUUUGUUCCUAGUCCUCACUAUCUAAAGAGAAUUUUCGUUGAAGCUAUAUAUAUAUAUAUAUUGAAUCUUUUGAAAAAAAUUGCUUCCUGAGCAAAUGAUUUCUUGCUGGGUUUCUUCAAUUGCUCUUCUUGUUCAGUUGUUAAAACUUUCCAGUUUCCUCUCUGUAGUACAAAGAAUAUUUGAUCAUUGAAGUGCCACCUUCGUAGUGUUAAUUUCGGUGAUGGAGUCCGCUGCUCAAGUGAGGGAUGUCGAUGCUUUGUAUGAGCUAAUUCGACAUGAUCGAUAUUUUUUGGACAACUUUGACGAGAAACCUUUUGUCGAUACUCCUUUGCAUGCUGCUGCAAGGGAUGGAAAUGUUGAAUGGUCCAUGGAGAUUAUCAGACUAAAGCCAUCAUUUGCCAGGAAGCUAAACCAAGAUGGCUUCUC